AAUCCUCCUCCUCUUAAACUUAAUCCCAAUUAAUUGGAUAACAAUAUAUCUAGCAUGAGGAUUGGUUGCAUGUUAUAAAUUUACAUGCAUGGGUUAGCCAAACCGUGCUAGCUAUUAUUGUUCGAUUUAUUGCAGCAUUUUGGAAAGAGAGAUUUGGGUGGUGAUUGGCUUCCUUUAUGAUUCAAAUUAUUUGGCUAGCCCAAUCUCCUUGCGCCUAGAUUGCAGUGCUCCUCCUUAGUGCCCAAUACACCUGGACAGAGGAAGUAGUUCUGAUAACCCCCAUAGAAUCAGAGGAUGUAACAGCUUUGUACAGAUUUAGGUCCUGCAUCAAACACAGCCCCUCAGGGCACGCCAUUGCCUCAACACAAACUGGAUCAUAAGCACUCUUCAUAGCCAACACCGAAGCCCUCAGGUAGGUACCAGCACCAGUGCGAAAAAUAGUUCCAGCCGAGCAUAUGUUGUUCUCAUAUGACAAUGCAGCAUCAAAUUACCUUUCACAACGCCCUGUGGAGGAGGGAUCCAACGCCCUGCGCCUUCUGCUGAAUCGAUCCAACCCAGCACAUGAAGAAAAUGUGUUAUAAACUUGCAUGUAUGAAAAGGGCUCUGAUAAACAUCUUCCUGUAUGAUAUCUCGCCUUGCCUUCCAGAUCGCCCACACGGUAGUAAUCAUCUUCACAUAAUCUGUUCUGGAUAGGAAUCACCCAUCUCGAACAACCAGGUUCCAGCAUUUGGCUCACUGGCACCGCAGCUCCUCAAUUUAUCAGAGUUCUUCAUCGACUAGUACCCAAACACAUCAAGCCAUUCUGCACUGUAGUAAUGAAUAUCUCCACUGAAUCCUCGCUCCAGCCACAAAUGCUGCAAACACUAGUCGGUGCCAUGUUCCUGUGGUGAGCAACAUCUGCAGUGGGUAAGCUUUGGCGCGCAAGCCUCCAAGAAAAGCCUUUAAUUUAGUGGGUAUUGUAUGCUUCCACAUUCUUGUCCAUGCUCUUUCAAAACAAAAAUUCAACUCAGACCCACAUACUCGCCCAUCCAGCGAGGCCUCACGACAAGUUUUGGUAUGCACAAGCAUCAUGUAGGUUGAUCAAACAGUGAAGCAGCCCUUCUUCUCAAAAAACCAUGCCCUUUCAUCUUCUAAGUUGAUUGUUGGUAGCGGAAUCCGACAUACUAUGUCCACGUCCAUCGGCAACAUGUGCUUAGCUAGCACCUGGUCAUUCCAUGAAUGGGUUGCGUCAUCAAUGAGUUUAUUAACCAACUCUCGUCUUGCUUCUACCAAAGGUCCAAACGGUCGCAUCAUCGACUCCCUCGGGAGCCAACAAUUGUUCCGCACCUCACGUCCUUCUGGAAUUGAUCUCCAAACUUGCGAAGGUUGUGAACCAAAUUGGGUUGACGAGAAAUCUGAAUUAAGGAAAUACCUUGCUUUUAAAAUCUGUGCACUCAAAGUGUUUGGCUUUUGCAACACCCAAUGUCCUUCCCUGGACCAAACGUAUGGCUGCUGUACAAGUGGGACGACCCACCUACUCAAUCCUUGGAGCAAGAAGGACGGGUGUACCGUAAGGUAAGAUGAAGAGCAGGAAGAAGAAACUGAAAAUUUCUCCUCUGUCUCUGUUCGUCUCCUUCAGGUCCGUUUGCUCUCCGUCAGGUCCGGUUGCUCUCCACAAGCAAUCCUUAUCUUCUCACGUCACGGCAAUAGCCGGCGGCAAUGGGAGGUGACACCUUUGAAGUGCCAACGUAAUACAUACAUAUACAUACCUACAUUAAAGCUGCUGAGCAGGGAGCCACCAGGGAGCUCCCCAGUGCUGGCCCUGGGCUUCCCCCGGGCAAACAGUAACCCGAACAGUGCACCCCGGUGAACAGUAACAUUUGACAAACAGUAUCCUUACUGAAUAGUCUUUCCUUUUUUUAAACGGAAUAGUGCCCUAUGUUUUUCCUUUUUUUUAGCCUCCCUUUUUUCAAAAUCAAAAUUUAAAAGUUAAAAUUAAAAAAACAUUUUUUCGAGUUUUAAAACAAAUAUCACCCCACUUUUCUGUAACAAAUACUAUUUUCUUAUUUUCUUGCCUUCUUUAUUUUUAAAAACCCUUCUAAAAAUAAUCAAAAAGUUAAAUAUUAUAAAAAAGCAAAUUUGUGGUCGGGGCUCUCCCGUGCAUGACAUCUUCUUUGAAAUUAAAAUUAAGGAGAUAAAAAGACAAAACAAAAAAUGAAUCCUGCGAUGAACAAUAACCCUUAUUUUUCCUUUUCCUUAAGUAUUGCAAAAAAAUAAUUUGUGGUCGGGGCUCUCCCAUGCGUGACAUCUUCUUUGAAAUUAAGAUUAAGGAGAUAAAAAGACAAAACAAAAAUGAACCCUGCGAUGAACAAAAACCCUUAUUUUGUUCAUUUUCCUUUUGAAAUUCCCCUCUUUUUCUGAAUUAAAAAAUUAAAGUUAAAAAUUUAAAAAAACGUUUCCCCAAGUUCUAAAACAAAUAUUACACCACAUUUUAAAAUUAAGGUGAUAAAAAUACCAAAAAAUAAAAACAAAUAAAUACAUCGCUUUUCUACAAAAUAAUAGUAGUAGUCCAACAGUAACUACGAGUGCGAUGAACAAUACCUCCCCCGCCCCCAUGAAUAACCUACCUCUUUUUUCUCCUUCUUUAAAAUUCAAAUUAAGGAGAUAAAAUUCCAAAUAAAAAUGAAAACAUAUAUUAUUUAUUUAUUCCCCUUCUUAUUUAAAAUUCAAAUUAAGGAGAUAAAAUUCCGAAGAAAAAUAAAAACAUAUAUUAUUUCUCCUUUUCCCCCUUCUCCAUUGAAAUUUAAAUAUUAAAAUUACAAAAUUACCAUUUUCCCCCUUCUUCUUAAAAACUUAAAAUUACCAACAAAAAUUGAAAACAAACAUUACAUCACCUUUUUGUAAAUAGUAAUUGCAGUCAAAAAAUAAGCUAUGGUUACAACGAAUCCACAUUUUUCCUCCUUCUUUAAAAUUAAACUUAAAAAGAUAAAUUUACCAAAAAAAUAUAUUAUAUCACUUUUCUACAAAUAAUAAUAGUGGGUAAACGGUAACUAUAAGUAACCAAUAAUUAUAACGCAAAAUUUUUCACACUUCUUUCCAAGUGAAAGAUAAAAUUACCAAAAACAAAUAUGAAAAUAAAUAUUACAUAAAAAAUAAAUUUGCUAAAUGACGGGCUUUAACUCGGGUGCGACGUGCCGCCGCACCUUCUGCCCUACUAGUUUCAAAUCAUUUGUGUACGGUAUUUCCUUUAUUUUAUGGAAAAUUGUUUAUGUGUAGUCGGUGAACCAAACAACACCAAAAGGCAUCCAUCCAUAUGUUGUGUUUAUGUUCUUCUUCGUGUUCUUGUGCAGCUAUCGGAGAUUGGUUAACAUCAAUUGAUGCUCUUAUAUACUGAGCAGUAUCUUGGGUCAUAUGUCUCAUGCCCGCCCUCACUUGCAAAGACGGAGCUAAUCUUGACGACCACCAUCCGAAUGGGCGAUGUUCCAAGUCCAAACGUAGUUGCGCAGAUGGUUACAUUGACCACUUUGACCGCAAGGAACACCUAGUAAUUUGUGCAAGUGCCCUUGGCUAUAUGUUUACAAUGAGCAUUUUCUGCUUCACUGUGUUGUACACUAUAGUCACGAAUGGCACAGCUAACGUGGCCCAAGGACCCAGGGACAUCUUCGUCCGACUUGUAGGAAAAAGAGGGCUCGAUCCCCGUGCCUCUCCGCCGACUUCACCGGCUUUCAACGUUGCCUUGGACUUUGAUCGGAGACCACCAACCUACCGGCACUGCAGCGGAGGCGGUAACUCAUUGCUGCUCGUCUCCUACCAUGAUAUGAUCCUAGCGUGGGCUCAGGUGCCGCUUUUUGCGUCUAUGGCGACGGGAGCCUUGCCAGUGUUGGUACCUUGGAGGUUGAGGCCAAGGAAAACGCCCGCGUGCUGCAAGAGGAGGUGCGCAACUUUCUUCGGAGCGAGAUUCAGGUCGUGGGCAAGGUUGAGUUCGCCGUGGAUGGAGAGGUGUGAUACGUCUCCAUCGUAUGUACUUUUCCAAACUCUUUUGCCCUUGUUUUGGACUCUAAUUUGCAUGANNNNNNNNNNCAGACUGACGUUGUUUUCAGCAGAAUUGCAAUGGUGUUGUUUUUGUGCAAAAAUGGAAGUUCUCGGAACGUCCUGAAAAUUUAGAGAAAAUAUUUCUGGAAAAUAUGAAAAAUACCUGCGCAAAGAUCCACCGGAGGGGACGGGCCACUGGGCCACAAUCCCUGUAGCCGCGGCCUCCCCCCUGGCGGCGGCUACCAAGCUUGUGGGGCCCACGUGGCUCUGCUGCCCCCAAUUCCAGGGCUAUUUAUUCCCUUUCGUCCUGGAAAAAAUCAAGAUAGAAGAUUUCAUCGCGUUUCACGAUCCAGAGGCGCCGCCACAUCCCGUUCUUCAUCUGGAGGGCAGAUCUAGAGUCUGUUUUGGGCUCCGGAUCAAGGAGAUCGUCGCCAUCGUCAUCAUCAACCUUCUUCCCUCUCCAAUUUCAUGAAGCUCUCCGUCGUUCGUGAGUAAUCUAUUCGUAGGCUCGCUGGACGGUGAUGAGUAGGAUGAGAUCUAUCAUGUAAUCGAGUUAGUUUUGACGGGGAUUGAUCCCUAGUAUCCACUAUGUCUUGAGAUUGAUGUUGCUACUACUUUGCCAUGCUUAAUGCUUGUCACUAGGGCCCGAGUGCCAUGAUUUCAGAUCUGAACUUAUUAUGUUGUCACCAAUAUAUGUGUGUUUUAGAUCCGAUCUUGCAAGUUGUAGUUACCUACUAUGUGUUAUGAUCCGGCAACCCCGGAGUGACAAUAACCGGAACCACUCCCGGUGAUGACCAUAGUUUGAGGAGUUCAUGUGUUCACCAAGUGCUAAUGCGUUGUUCCGGUUCUUUAUUAAAAGGAGAACCUUAAUAUCCCGUAGUAUCCUUUUGGACCCCGCUGCCAUGGGAGGGAUGGACAAUAGAUGGCAUGCAAGUUCUUUUCCCUAAGCACAUAUGAUGACACACGGAAUGCAUGCCUACAUCACAUUUACGAACGGGAGCUAGCCACAUAUCUCUCUGUGUUAUAACUGUUGCAUGAUGAAUGUCAUCCAACAAAUCUCCGACCCAUUGCCUACGAGUUUGUCCCACUGUUGCUAUUAUUUGUUUUGCUCUGCUGUUGUUACUACUGUUGCUGCUACUGUUACUUGUUUCUACUGUUACUUGCUUUGUCCUGCUGCUGCCACUACUGUUACUUGCUGUUGCUGUUACUUGCUACUGUUGCUACUUGCUACUGCUGUCACUAUCGCUGUUCCUUGCCACUGUUGUUACUCGUUACACUGCUGCUACCUGCUACAAUACUUUUCUGGCGCCAUCGAUACAACAUUUAGGAAUAGUCUACCAUCAACAGACCGUUUCUGGCACCGUUGUUAUCAUACUGCUUUGCUGUUGACACUUUGCUUGGAGAUACUAAUCUUUCAGGUGUGGUUGAAUCUGACACAUUCAGCUGCUAAUACUUGAGAAUAUUCUUUCUCUUCCCGUCGCGCGAACCAACAAAUUUGGGUUGAAUACUCUACCCUCGAAAACUGCCUCAAUCCCACACGCUGGUGGGCUAUUGCAAGACUAUUUCUAAUUGUUGAGCAAUUGGGAGCAGCUCUUUUCUGACUCCGUUACCGUGGAGGCAUCAAGUCAGGAAUAGUUGCACGUCAAUAAGGUGGCGGGCCUAGGGUAUCUUCACUACAAGUUUUUCAUCAUGAAGGAUCAGGCUAUGGAUGUGCCCAAGAGCAUGUGCAUCUUCGGUCAAUAGGGUGGACCUAUGUGUUCUAAUAAGGGUGUUAGAUAUUCUCCUUUCUGUCACCGGAUUGCAUUUAUUUUUGUAAUAGCUACUAUAUUCUGCUUUGAAAUAAAACAAACAAUUUCAGCUGUAUAUAUUUUUUCGAGUGGUUAUUUUCUUCAGAAAAUGCUACCUCAAUCCUCCGUGCAAAAACCCGACGGAAAGUUUCGCCAUACUAUGUAGGCUUUAGACUUGCAUAACACCUAGUAGGUCACUUUGGAACUGGAAGCUUGGUCAGCUCGAAGGAAGGUUACUCUACUCAACUAUUGGACUUUCAGGGGGACUUGCUUUGAGUAUAUACAUUGGGAUUUUGUGCUAAUUUUGCUAAUCUAAUUUAUGAUAAGGGUGUACACCUGAAGCUUCACUUAGUUUUAUUCAGUUACAAGCUAGUCUAGGAUCUUUCCUGCGCGCGCACCUUCUCCUCCAUGCUUGUUCCUUCUUGAACUGAAGUCUUCCUCGACGGAAACCCAUCUUCCUCACCCAAAUAAGGCUUCAAAUCUGCAAUGUUUAAAGUGGGACUAAUCCCAAACUCUGCAGGAAGCUCAAGUUUAUAUGCAUUAUCAUUUAUUUUCUCUAACACCUAAAAAACGACCAUCAUCACGUGGCAUUAGCUUUGACUUUUGUAAAUCAGGAAAUCUAUCCUUUCGCAAAUGUAACCAAACAAGAUCUCGAGGUGCAAAGACAACAUGUUUUCUACCCUUAUCUCCAACAAGUUUGUAUUUAGCAUUCAUACGCUCAAUGUUUUCCUUAUGUAACAUCCCAAACUCUAGAAGGUUAUAUUAUUAAAAUUUAAUGAUUGAUUGUUUGAAUGAUUGUUUGAAAUUGAGUGAAAAUUGAAAUUUUUUGGAACUUUUAAAUGAGAGGGAAUAACAUGACUUUCCCCCUUUGUUCUUGCAUUCAAAUUCAUCCAUUUCAAAUCAUUGAGACAAGAUGACAUGACUUCUUCAAAAUAAAAGAUUUGAAAUUUUGGAUUUGAAAACUACUCAUAUUUUCCAUUUGGAAUUUAUUUCAUAAUGAGUUCUAUUUCUAUUUUAAAUUUGAAUGAAUUCAAACUUCCUUGCCAAAAUUCAAAAAAUUCUUGAGAGGAGAAAUUUGACACUCCAAACGAGGGGAAAGAUUGAAUUAUAUUUGAAUUUAAAAUGCUCAGAAAUUGUUUGGAAAAUAUUUCAUAUUGGGUUUCCAAGCCAUUCUUUAAGUGGUUUUCAAAAUUAUUUUCCUCCAAAAAUAAAAUACUUGGAAAAUAGGUUAAAAUGAUUCCCUUCAAUAUAAAAAUGGAGAAAAAUGAAUUUGCAAUCAUUUUGGUAUUUUUGAAAAUAUUGUAUUACAUUUUAAACUCAAUAGUAGCACUAUUUGAAUUAUUUGAAUCGGUCAGAAUUUUGUUUGAACUUGACAAUAUGUUCAUGUUGUAGGAAAUCUUUUUCCUGUCAUUUGGUAUACUAUAUGCCUAUAUGUGGUUUCCAUUUAUUUUCAUUUUAUUUAUUUUAUGUCUUUGUUUGAAAAUAUAAAGAAAAGGGUUUUCUGUUAAAACAAAAGGGUGAAGCCCAACAGAGCGCCCGAGGCCGAGGUCGUCGACAACCCACCUUUCGCCCACGCCUGAAAUGGCAAGCGUCCGGCCGACGAUCCCCUCGGGAAUCCUCUUCCUCUCACUAAUAUGAGGGCCCAGCCGACCGUUCCCGAGAUCCUCAUGGUCACCUUCCUCCCACGCUCCCCUUUCCUUCCAGUUGUCGGCGUCGCCGCGAUCCGUCGAUCCUCUACCAUUUAGACUCGCCCUCCUUCAUGCAAGGCCCCCAAUAAAUACCCCACCUCCCGCACUCAUUCCUCGCCCGAAGCCCUCUCUCUUACUCCCCAGCGCCCACACAAUCCCUCGCCAGAGUUAGCCACGGUUGCCUCGCCAUUACCAUGCCACCACUCCCCCUAGCCCUCCCCAACGAAUGUAGACACCUCCAUUCGCUUCGCCACUCUUGUUUGUACCUCCCCAUGCACUCGCGCGAGCUACAGAAUGAGGGAAGCUAAUCCCCCCCGACAACCACCGAAUGUCGUCGUCACUACCACGCUCGCCGCCGUCACUCCCGUACACCCCGAACUCCACAUGGACCACCAGAAGAACCGCCUUGCUUGUCCGCGUCGUUGGAGUCGUCCUCGACGUCGUAGGACCAUCGGAGCACCGCCCCGCAUUGCCUCACCGCCUCGGACAUUGUCGAAGCCUCGCCGGAGACCUCCACCAUCGCGGUAAGUCACCAGCACCAUCCUCGCCCGUCCGAUCUAGCAUCUACGGUGUAAAUUAGAUCAAGCGUACCCCUUCGGUUUAUUUAAAGAACCGGUCGGUUUUUCUUUGUUUAUUUAGACCAAAGGGUUUUCCUCCAACGUGCGGUUGUCCGCUAUUUUACACCGCGCGUGCACACCAGUAAGCCUACCAGAGCGCGCCACGUAGCCCCUGUCCGUUUAUUAGGACUUUUUCUUUUUGUGUUUGAGUUUCUUUACACAAUUAGUUCAAUUUUUAGAUUUCUUAUAUCGUUUAUGUUUUUAAGUUAUUCCUUUUCCAUUAGUUCACGAAUUUGUUUUAGUUUCUGUUAGUGCAAUUAGAUUUCAAAUUGUAUAGUUUUAAAUUUGAAUUCAAACAAAUUUUCUUCAAGCCUUCUUUUGUGGAUAACUUGAGUUUAAAAAUAGGUAUUUAGCUCAUUCUUUUUGCUACUCGUCACUUCUGACUUUAGUUAUCAUUGUGUAUAAUUUGAGGAAUUUUAGUAUAUUUUAAAUUAAGGUUGUAAGAAAACAGAAUUGUUUUAGUUCAUUUUGGGUUUAUUGUUAUUUCUUUUUAUUAUUGUUAUGCGAUCUUUAGAAGACCUAACCCGUGAUGAAUAGUCAUGUUAGAUGCGAAGAUUUGUGAGUUGUCCCUUGUGUGUCCGCUUUUCCGACAGCAAACAAAUAAAAUAUUUUUCAAAACUAUAUUGUUUGUAUGGUUAUAUUUCUCCCUCUCUCUCCAACCUUGCCUCAUUGCUGCUAAACCCAUCAGAUGCCGCCGAGAUGGAACAACACCAGGAAUAGCUCAAGGAACAAUGGACUUAGCAUAGAACAGUUACUCCAGACCCAGAACCAAAUGUUGCAACUCUUGAUGCAGAACGAGAAUGAGAACAACAACAAUAACCCGCCACCCCAAGUUGAUAACCUUACCCGCUUUCUAAAGUUGAACCCACCAGUGUUCUCUAGCAGCAUAGAGCCAAUUGUGAUAGAGGACUGGCUCCGCAAGAUAGGAAGAGAGCUGGCCACUGUAGGAUGCACAGACAGAGAGAAGGAGAUGAUUGUUGCUCACCAGUUGGAUGGACCAGCAGCUUCCUGGUGGGAGAAUUACACUGCUACAUACCCCAUGACGAAUGUAACUUGGGAUCGGCUCCAACAAGCUUUUCGCAUCGCACAUGUUACAGGUGGAGCCAUGAUUCUGAAGAAGGAGUUCCACAACCCACGCCAAGGAAGCCAUGCAGUAGCACGGUAUGUGGAUGAGUUAUGCCAGCUACCCCGCUAUGCUCCACGAGACAUAGCGACAGAUGUCGCUAAAUAUGAGAAGUUUCUGGAGGGACUGAAUUAUGAGCUGGGAAUGCAGUUGACCAUGGCUACUUUUAAUAACUAUCAAGAAUUGGUAGACAAGGCUAUCAUUCUUGAAGGCCAGCAAAUGCAGACGGAGAACCGCAAGAGAAAGUACGAACAAGGUAUAACUCUAGAGUUCAGGAGGAGCCCCGCUACACCCCGUACCUAGGAAAUUCUGGAUCAGGACCCGUGAAGUUUGGAGGACCCAAUCAUGAGAACCAUUGAGGUCAUUCUCAUCACAGAAGCAUUGGAUACCACCCUAAUGGCCGCAAGCAUGAAAAUGAAACUGGAGGAAUUGGAAAACAACGUCAUCCCAACCCAGCUGCACCAACAAAGAAAGAUAAGAGUCAUAUUACCUGUUUUGAGUGCACGAAAACGGGACAUUGUGCCAAUGAUUGUCCAGAAGAUAAGCAGAAGCCCGGAGAAUUGUUGGAACUUAACUGCUUUCUUUGUGAUGCUGUGGGGAAUUAUGCCAUUGACUGUCGAGACCCAAAGAAUGUUGGAUCUGAGUAGUUGAGAUCAUAAUGUUGGCAAUAAGUGUAAUAGGUGACACUCUCGUUUUCAUGAGAUUAUGGAGUUGAAUGUUGUAACAAAAGUUUAAGACAUUGUAAUAACUUAAUGAAUCAAUAGAAUUUAUUUUUUCAUGACUUCUUGUGUCGAAUUAUAUCAGUUGUUACUCUAUAAACAAAGAUCUCUGGCCAUUUUCGAGGAUAUGAGAAAAUACGAUCUUCACAUGCAUGUGUACAUUUCAUUUUAAGUGUGGUAGUAAUCGGUAAAACCAUAGGAAUCCAAGGAAAAAAUAAUGUACCAUAUAUGCCAAGGAGUCUGGACCAAUCAAUACAUCUGAAGCUCAUACUGGACCAUAUCAAACUGUGUGGAUGACAACAUUUGUAAUAAAGUGCUUUUGGGGAACGUGGUACAGGAAACAAAAAAAUUCCACGCAGACGCAAUACCUAUCAUGGUGAUGUCCAUCUACGAGAGGGGAUUUCCGAUCUACGUACCCUUGUAGAUCACACAACAGGAGGCGUUAAGAAAGGCGGUUGAUGUAGUGGAACGUCCUCACAUCCCUUGAUCCGCCCCACGAACCGUCCCACGAACCGUCCCGCGAUCCGUCCCACGAUCCGCUCCGAUCUGUGCCGAACGGACGGCACCUCCGCAUUCAGCACACGUACAGCGCGACAAUGAUCUCGGCCUUCUUGAUCCAGCAAGAGAUACAGAGAGGUAGAUGAGUUCUCCGGCAGCGUGACGGUGCUCCGGAGGUUGGUGGUGAUCUAUCCCAGCAGGGCUUCGCCCGAGCUCCGUGGAAAUACGAUCUAGAGGAACAACCAUGGAGGUAUGUGGUCGGACUCUCGUGGCAAAGUUGUCUCAAAUCAGCCCUAAUACCUCAGUAUAUAUAGGAGGGAGGGGGAGGGCCUUUCCUUGAGGCUCAAGGGAGCCCCAAGGGGUCGGCCGCACCAAGUGGAGAAGUCCUCCUCCUCCAAUCCUAGUCCAACUAGGAUUGGAAGGUGGAGUCCUUCCCUUCCUUCCCACUUCCCCUUUUUUCCAUUUGACUUCUUUAUCUCCUGCACAUAGGGCCUCUUGGGCUGUCCCACCAGCCCACUAAGGGCUGGUACGACACCCAUAAGGCCUAUGGGCUUUCCCCGGGUGGGCUGCCCCCCCCCCCCCCNNNNNNNNNNCGAGUUCGUCGAGUACCACAACGUCCCCGACGACCCCCGAACAUCUACGGAUUCGCGAACGACUACCGACGUCGAAGAUCGUCUGCCUACGCCGAGCGAACGACUACUGUCGACGAGACCGUGUACGACUACUUCCACAACGACCACGACUUCCACGACGACCGUUGGUCUCCUUCUCUGAACCGAACCGCUCCGAUAUGCAUGUGUCGAAGGUAUUGUUGGAGAACGUCGCAUGGGAAAAAAAAAAAUUCCUACGCGCACGAAGACCUAUCAUGGAGAUGUCCAUCUACGAGAGGGGAUGUUCGAUCUAUCUACCCUUGUAGACCGCACAGAAGAAGCGUUAGUGAACGCGGUUGAUGUAGUGGAACGUCCUCACGUCCCUCGAUCCGCCCCGCGAACCGUCCCGCGAUCAGUCCCACGAUCUAGUGCCGAACGGACGGCACCUCCGCGUUUAGCACACGUACAACCCGACGAUGAUCUCGGCCUUCUUGAUCCAGCAAGAGAGACGGAGAGGUAGAAGAGUUCUCCGGCAGCGUGACGGUGCUCCGGAGGUUGGUGAUGAUCUUAUCUCAGGAGGGCUCCGCCCGAGCUCCACAGAAGCGCGAUCUAGAGGUAAAACCGUGGAGAUAUGUGGUCGGGCUGCCGUGGCAAAGUUGUCUCAAAUCAGCCCUAAAACCUCCGUAUAUAUAGGGGNNNNNNNNNNCAGUUCUCCGGCAGCAUGACGGCGCUCCGGAGGUUGGUGAUGAUCUUAUCUCAGCAGGGCUCCGCCCGAGCUCCGCACAAACGCGAUCUAGAGGUAAAACCGUGGAGAUAUGUGGUCGGGAUGCCAUGGCAAAGUUGUCUCAAAUCAGCCCUAAAACCUCCGUAUAUAUAGGGGGAAGAGGGGGAGCCUUGCCUUGGGGUCCAAGGACCCCAAAGGAGUUCGGCCGAGCCAAGGGGGGCAACCCUCCCCUUCCAAACCGAGUCCAACUAGGUUUGGAAGGAGGAGUCCUUCCCCCUUUUCCCACCUCCUCUUUUUUUUCUCUUUGAUUUUCUUCCUAUGGCGCAUAGGGACUUCUUGGGCUGUCCCACCAGCCCACUAAGGGCUGGUGCGCCACCCCCAAGGACUAUGGGCUUCCCCGGGGUGGGUUGCCCCCCCCGGUGAACACCCGGAACCCAUUCGUCAUUCCCGGUACAUUCCCGGUAACNNNNNNNNNNUCUUUUCUCUUUGAUUUUCUUCCUAUGGCGCAUAGGGCAUUCUUGGGCUGUCCCACCAGCCCACUAAGGGCUGGUGCGCCACCCCAAGGCCUAUGGGCUUCCUCGGGGUGGGUUGCCCCCCAGGUGAACACCCGGAACCCAUUCGUCAUUCCCGGUACAUUCCCGGUAACUCCGAAAACCUUCCGGUAAUCAAAUGAGGUCAUCCUAUAUAUCAAUCUUCGUUUCCGGAAAAUUCCGGAAACCCUCGUGACGUCCGUGAUCUCAUCCGGGACUCCGAACAACAUUCGGUAACCAACCAUAUAACNNNNNNNNNNAUUCCAGGUAAUGCCCGAAAACUUUCCGGUAAUCAAAUGAGGUCAUCCUAUCUAUCAAUCUUCAUCUCCGGACCAUUCCGGAAACUCUCGUGACGUCCGUGAUCUCAUACGGGACUCCGAACAACAUUCGGUAACCAACCAUAUAACUCAAAUACACAUAAAACAUCGUCGAACCUUAAGUGUGCAGACCCUGCGGGUUCGAGAACUAUGUAGACAUGACCCGAGGGACUCCUCGGUCAAUAUCCAAUAGCGGGACCUGGAUGCCCAUAUUGGAUCCUACAUAUUCUACGAAGAUCUUAUCGAUUGAACCUCAGUGCCAAGGAUUCAUAUAAUGCCGUAUGUCAUUCCCUUUGUCCUUCGGUAUGUUACUUGCCCGAGAUUCNNNNNNNNNNUUUGAACCUCAGUGCCAAGGAUUCAUAUAAUCCCGUAUGUCAUUCCCUUUGUCCUUCGGUAUGUUACUUGCCCGAGAUUCAAUCGUUAGUAUCGGCAUACCUAUUUCAAUCUCGUUUACCGGCAAGUCUCUUUACUCGUUCCGUAAUACAAGAUCCCUCAACUUACACUAAGUCACAUUGCUUGCAAGGCUUGUGUGUGAUGUUGUAUNNNNNNNNNNGAUCGUCAGUAUCCGCAUACCUAUUUCAAUCUCGUUUACCGGCAAGUCUCUUCACUCGUUCCGUAAUACAAGAUCCCGUGACUUACACUAAGUCACAUUGCUUGCAAGGCUUGUGUGUGAUGUUGUAUUACCGAGUGGGCCCCGAGAUACCUCUCCGUCACACGGAGUGACAAAUCCCAGUAUCGAUCCAUACUAACUCAACGAACACCUUCGGAGAUACCUGUAGAGCAUCUUUAUAGUCACCCAGUUACGUUGCGAUGUUUGAUACACACAAAGCAUUCCUCCGGUAUCAGUGAGUUAUAUGAUCUCAUGGUCAUAGGAACAAAUACUUGACACGUAGAAAACAGUAGCAACAAAAUGACACGAUCAACAUGCUACGUCUAUUAGUUUGGGUCUAAUCCCUCACGUGAUUCUCCUAAUGACGUGAUCCAGUUAUCAAGCAACAACAUCUUGUUCAUAAUCAGAAGACACUGACUAUCUUUGAUCAACUGGCUAGCNNNNNNNNNNACCAGUUACGUUGCGACGUUUGAUACACACAAAGCAUUCCUUCGGUGUCAGUGAGUUAUAUGAUCUCAUGGUCACAGGAACAUAUACUUGACAUGCAGAAAACAGUAGCAACAAAAUGACACGAUCAACAUGCUACGUCUAUUANNNNNNNNNNGUAUACCGAUGAGACGUGUCGUGGCCAUGUGCAUGUGAUGUAUGAGAUGUAAUGUAUGAUUGCACCUUAUGUUUGACGUUGCACGGUGUCCCUCUAUGUUGUGCCCGACACAUGGGAACCCGAGAUACGGGAUCACGCCAUCUUUAUUUAACGUUCCCGCACACGCUUCUAGUACGUUGGCACGAUAUCUCGACGAGUUAUCGGGAUAGGAACGUUGCCGUGGCAUCGUUUCCGAUUUGCCGCCAUGGUUCCCUCUCGCUCGNNNNNNNNNNAAACUAGAGGCUUGCUAGGGACAGUGUUUUUUGUCUAUGUAUCCACACAUGUAUAUAAGUCUUCAUUCAACACAAUUAUAGCAUGGAUAAUAAACAAUUAUCAUGAACUAAGAAAUAUAAUAAUAACUAAUUUAUUAUUGCCUCNNNNNNNNNNNNNNNNNNNNNNNNNNNNNNNNNNNNNNNNNNNNNNNNNNNNNNNNNNNNNNNNNNNNNNNNNNNNNNNNNNNNNNNNNNNNNNNNNNNNGGAAAAUGAACAAAAUAAGGGUUUUUGUUCAUCGCAGGGUUCAUUUUUGUUUUGUCUUUUUAUCUCCUUAAUCUUAAUUUCAAAGAAGAUGUCACGCAUGGGAGAGCCCCGACCACAAAUUAUUUUUUUGCAAUACUUAAGGAAAAGGAAAAAUAAGGGUUAUUGUUCAUCGCAGGAUUCAUUUUUUGUUUUGUCUUUUUAUCUCCUUAAUUUUAAUUUCAAAGAAGAUGUCACGCAUGGGAGAGCCCCGACCACAAAUUAUUUUUUUGCAAUACUUAAGGAAAAGGAAAAAUAAGGGUUAUUGUUCAUCGCAGGAUUCAUUUUUUGUUUUGUCUUUUUAUCUCCUUAAUUUUAAUUUCAAAGAAGAUGUCAUGCACGGGAGAGCCCCGACCACAAAUUUGCUUUUUUAUAAUAUUUAACUUUUUGAUUAUUUUUAGAAGGGUUUUUAAAAAUAAAGAAGGCAAGAAAAUAAGAAAAUAGUAUUUGUUACAGAAAAGUGGGGUGAUAUUUGUUUUAAAACUCGAAAAAAUGUUUUUUUAAUUUUAACUUUUAAAUUUUGAUUUUGAAAAAAGGGAGGCUAAAAAAAAGGAAAAACAUAGGGCACUAUUCCGUUUAAAAAAAGGAAAGACUAUUCAGUAAGGAUACUGUUUGUCAAAUGUUACUGUUCACCGGGGUGCACUGUUCGGGUUACUGUUUGCCCGGGGGAAGCCCAGGGCCAGCACUGGGGAGCUCCCUGGUGGCUCCCUGCUCAGCAGCUUUAAUGUAGGUAUGUAUAUGUAUGUAUUACGUUGGCACUUCAAAGGUGUCACCUCCCAUUGCCGCCGGCUAUUGCCGUGACGUGAGAAGAUAAGGAUUGCUUGUGGAGAGCAACCGGACCUGACGGAGAGCAAACGGACCUGAAGGAGACGAACAGAGACAGAGGAGAAAUUUUCAGUUUCUUCUUCCUGCUCUUCAUCUUACCUUACGGUACACCCGUCCUUCUUGCUCCAAGGAUUGAGUAGGUGGGUCGUCCCACUUGUACAGCAGCCAUACGUUUGGUCCAGGGAAGGACAUUGGGUGUUGCAAAAGCCAAACACUUUGAGUGCACAGAUUUUAAAAGCAAGGUAUUUCCUUAAUUCAGAUUUCUCGUCAACCCAAUUUGGUUCACAACCUUCGCAAGUUUGGAGAUCAAUUCCAGAAGGACGUGAGGUGCGGAACAAUUGUUGGCUCCCGAGGGAGUCGAUGAUGCGACCGUUUGGACCUUUGGUAGAAGCAAGACGAGAGUUGGUUAAUAAACUCAUUGAUGACGCAACCCAUUCAUGGAAUGACCAGGUGCUAGCUAAGCACAUGCUGCCGAUGGACGCGGACAUAGUAUGUCGGAUUCCGCUACCAACAAUCAACUUAGAAGAUGAAAGGGCAUGGUUUUUUGAGAAGAAGGGCUGCUUCACUGUUUGAUCAACCUACAUGAUGCUUGUGCAUACCAAAACUUGUCGUCAGGCCUGGCUGGAUGGACGAGUAUGUGGGUCUGAGUUGAUUUUUUUUAAAGAUCAUGGACAAGAAUGUGGAAGCAUACAAUACCCACUAAAUUAAAGGCUUUUCUUGGAGGCUUGCGUGCCAAACCUUACCCAGUGCACAUGUUGCUCACCACAAGAACAUGGCACCGACUAGUGUUUGCAGCAUUUGUGGCUGGAGUGAGGAUUCGGUGGAGAUAUUCAUUACUAGAGUGCAGAACGGCUUGAUGUGUUUGGGUACUAGUCGAUGAACAACUCUGAUAAAUUGAGGAGCUGCGGUGCUGGCGAGCCAAAUGCUGGAACCUGGUUGUUCGAGAUGGAUGAUUCCUAUCCAUAAUAGAUUAUGUGAAGAUGAUUACUACCUUGUGGGCGAUCUGGAAGGCAAGGCGAGAUAUCAUACAGGAAGAUGUUUAUCAGAGCCAUUUUCAUACAUGCAAGUUUAUAACACAUUUUCUGCAUGUGCUGGGUUGGAUCGAUUUAGUAGAAGGCGCAGGGUGUUGGAUCCCUCCUCCACAGGGUGUUGUGAAAGGUAAUGUUGAUGUUGCAUUGUCAUAUGAGAACAACAUGUGCCCGGCUGGAACUAUUUUUCGCGAUGGUGCUGGUACCAACCUGACGGCUUCGGUGUUGGCUAUGGAGAGUGCUUAUGAUCCAGUUUGUGUUGAGGCAAUGGUGUGCCCUGAAGGGUUGUGCUUGAUGUAGGACCUAAAUCUGUACAAAGUUGUUAGGCUGGUUGUAAUGGGUAGUAUCAUAUACUAGUAUCAUGCAUAUGAUACUAGCCUAUGAUACCACAUUCGUAAUGUAUAGUAUCAUAUGUUAGUAUCAUAGGAUAGUUCAUUUAUUGCCAUGCAAGACACAUAAUAGCACAUCAUUUAAUAUGAUACGGUAUCAUGAUAUGAUACUCAACCAUCUCUUUCUUCAUUUAAUUCUAUGCCACAUAAUCGAAAUUGCCUAGUUGGCAUGCAUGAUACUACCUAUGAUACUCCCAUUACGGGCAGCCCUAUAUCCUCUGAUUCUAUGGGGGUUAUCAGAACUACUUCCUUUGUCCAGGUGUAUUGGGGACUAAGGAGGAGCACUGGAAUCUAGGCACAAGGACAUUGGGCUAGCCAAAUAAUUUGAAUCAUAAAGGAAGCCAAUCACCAUCCAAAUCUCUUUUUCCAAAAUGCUGCAAUAAAUCGAACAAUAAUAGCUGGCACGGUUUGGCUAACCCAUGCAUGUAAAUUUAUAACAUGCAACCAAUCCUCAUGCUAGAUAUAUUGUUAUCCAAUUAAUUGGGAUUAAGUUUAAGAGGAGGAGGAUUGCAUGCAUUGGUCCAAGGUUUUUAAAGGAAGAGCUAAUUACGAAGAUUAAUGCAUCUAUAAUAACUUACGCGACUUAUACUUUUUGAAUUUCAAAAUUCUCUUACGUGCCCAACACACCUGGACGGAGGGAGUAUCUAUGAAGGAAACAGAGGAGAGGAGGAGGCUAACAAAAGCCACGCGCAAGCUGGAGGGUUUACGAGAUGUUUCCUUUAAACAUAAAACGAGGGUAUACAACAUAGAUGCUCAUAAUAUUGCUAGAAUGUCUCAAGUUCUAUGUCAAGGCCGUCAUGUUUGGCUCCUCGAGCCGAGCCCCUGGGAUUUGUAUGUGCUACUCUAGAUAAUCUUCAUAAUACGCACACAUACAUAUAUACAUUUUGUGUAUAUUUUACACCAUGUUUUUAUGUUUAUAACUUUACGUAGCAUAAAAUACUUUUUAUGAUGAUUUUAAUAUUUUCUUACGUUCUCUUUUUAGGUAUGAAGUAAGAAAAAAAAUACGAUUCAUAAAAAUACGGUGCUUUGAUGGGAAAAUAGAGGGGUGAAGAAUAAUUAUUCCUCAUCCACGGUGACAAAUAGCGCGACCCUUAACUGAGAUUUAGGAAUCGAGCCUUGUAUAUCGAAAUAGUCAUAUAUAAUAGAAACUCUAUUCAUCACCUAGGGUGCAAAAUAGUUUACUUUUCACCAGAGAUAAUCUUACGAUCAAUUAACAAAUAAAUUACAUUUGAAAUACAAAUAGUUACAUUUAUAUUGAAUCACUACGUAAAAUUUGGCAAAAGAAAAACAAAAAUAAAGGUCACAUAUUUUUUUAUGUAUAUUUUUAUGUUCAUUAUAUUUUUUUACGGUCUCUUUUUACGUAUAAAAUAAGACAAAAUUUACAUAACGUAAAAUGACGGUGCAUUGAUGUUAAAAUAGAGGGGGGUGAAGAAUAACUAUAACUCACCCAGGGAGACGAAUAGCGCAACCCUACACACACACACACACACAUAUAUAUAUAUAUACACACACACACACACAUAAAGGAGAGGAGAGAUGUGGUAGCGGUGUGGAUUAUGCUCGUCUCUAAUGCAGAGACACGAUUUAAUCAAUUUUGAAAAGAGUUGUUAGGCGGCCUUGGUUUUGAGAAGGCAAUUUCUCAAGAGUCUGGGCUGCAUCUCCUAUAGUAGUAUACAGCGAGGAGAUGAACAUAUCACAUACUCCCUGCGAGUAGGCCGUUUGGAUCUGCGGCCACCAAUCCGCCCGUGGAGAAAAGAGAGGACGGAAAAGAAAAAUCUAACUAAUAACUAGGCUCAUGCACGGAUCUUAUAUCCAAUAUACGCACUACAAGGGACCAAGAGAAACCUAUGCAAACUUGAAGCUUAUAGAUUGCUUACCGACAAAGAAGAGAUUCGCUUCCGGGUCGAGGCGGCGGCAGCGGACUGAGGAUCCAAGCCACAGCCAGGCGGAGGCUGCAGUACAGAAGGGACUUGGGCGGCGGAGCGCUUUUACAUCCUGAGUGCGUUGCGUAUCGAUCCCCAACGGACCGACCGGCUCUAUCUCUUCAUCCUCUAUGGAACUGGAAGAGAGGACGCCACGUGCCUUUCCUAAUCUCAAAGCAGUUUUUGUUUCCCAGUCUUGUCUAGUAGUGUCAUGCACCUUUCUGGCCUGCAUCUUUUAGUUCUAUUCAGUUCAGGUGUCAUUUUCUUCAGAUAACUCUUCCGUGAUCGAACAAAUGAAUGAAUGAGCAGCUGAAACAACAUCUUACAGCAGGGACAAAACAGAAUAAAAAGGGUCUACUUAAAGAUGGAACCUCAUCGUAUGGCCGAUUUUGGAUGUCGCGGAGCAAUCAAAUUACAACACAAAUACUAGGGUCCUCCUCACCGCUGGCCCACUCCCUCCUGCCCGAGGUGCCUCCUCCCGCAUCCACAACUGCCCGCAUCUUCUCCCGGCGGCACGGCCAGCUAGUGCAGAUCCCGCGCCGGAGAUACGCGCAGCCACACGCCGCGCCGCCCUACUGGCUCCCGGCCCUCUGUUGCAUCCAGUGCAUUGGCAGGUGCAGUGGAUCCCCUGUUUAUUUACAGUUCGUUUGCUGCUAGUUCAUGAAGUACUAAUGGAUUUAUUAACCCAAGGCGGUCCCGUCUCUGGAGGGUGAUCUGCAGACAAGGACGCGGCCGUCUUGGGUUAAUACCAUCGUGCCGGUCGCGUUGACUAGUAUUUGUGUUGUAAUUUGAUUGCUCCGCGACAUCCAAAAUCGGCCAUACGAUGAGGUUCCAUCUUUAAGUAGACCCUCUUCAUUCUGUUUUGUGCCUGCUGUAAGAUGUUGUUUCAGCUACACAAUCAUUCAUUUGUUCGAUCACGGAAGAGUUAUCUGAAGAAAAUGACACUUGAACUGAACUGAAAGAUGCAGGCCAGAAAGGUGCAUGACACUACUGGACUCUGAGAUGAACAUAACAUAUACUCCUACUGGACUCGGCUUCAGUGCCUUUGAAGAGCCAAGGCACAGAGCGCCUUAGCCUACAAUAUCUGCCACUCAAUUCUACAUCAUAUGCACGGGAUUGACUGAAACCAAAAUACACCCAGACUUGGUAGUUUUCAGGAGAGACAGAGGCGGGGCGAGGUGUUUUUGCACGCGGGUGGGAUCGAGUUCUCCUGAGCCGCUCGACGGAGGUGAGGGUUUGACAAGCGAGCUCACCGAGGAGAGAGACGGAGUCAAGCCGUGUCAUGCCGCCGUGAGAGAGAGAGCCGCUCCCCCACAGAGGAGAGGGAGCAGGGCCUCGCACCGCAUCCACUAGAGAGCGAGCAGGUGCCACGGCGAGGGGUGAAGGUCGUGCCGUCACAGAGGCGAGGGAUGAUGGUCGUGCCGCACCGGUGGAUGGCAGUCCGCCCAAACUUCCCCUCGAUUUCGCUAUGAAUCUGCAGCCACUGCCAGCCAGAGGNNNNNNNNNNNNNNNNNNNNNNNNNNNNNNNNNNNNNNNNNNNNNNNNNNNNNNNNNNNNNNNNNNNNNNNNNNNNNNNNNNNNNNNNNNNNNNNNNNNNGGAUCAACACACAUUUUUCUUAGGAGGAUACAAAAACCCGAGAGCUGUGAAGAAACGAUAUAAAUUUUGUUCAACUUGCAGAAUCAAUGGAGUUAUCCAAACUUCAUUCAUGGACAAGAGAAAUGUUGCAAUGCUUGUGAGGAUGCCAAAGUGUUAGAAUACGAGAUUCGUUAAACCUUAUACAAGGUAAUGAUUUGAGCGCGACAUGGCUUGGCCACCAUGACGACUUACCCUUAUCAUUCUCUUACUAUUCAAAAUGGUAAAUCUGAGUGACUUACCCAUAGUAAAGAGACAACAAUCUUUGAAGCUUUUGUUUAAGCCUUAGAAUGGUAUGAUGAUGAACCCCUCUACAUGGCAGUAGUUGCCAAAUGUAGGAAUUUUACAGUGAGAAUGAAGCCAAGACCCAUUUCACUACUGGAUAACAAAAAAUGGUAAACUACCAUGAGAUCAUUGAUAAGUUAUUUAGAAUUCUCACAAGACUUGUCAGCUAAGAAGACCCAGUGUCGGCAGAAUUGUAUAGUGAAGAAAGAACAGAAGGUUUUGAGAGAAACAUUAUGACUAUAAUGGAGGAGCAUCAACAAAUGAGUUAUUGUGAGGAAUGUAAAGAGACAUAUAUUGUCGAGACCCUAGCGAAAUGACAUGACUUUGAGGGACCAGUAACUCUCAUUUUAAGUGUGGUAGCACCCACACUUUUCAAGACAACGGAUUUGCUAGAAGACCCCCAAACCCUAACCUUUUAUCUAUAGUCCCUUCGAAUCUCGAGGACAAGAUUCAUUUUAAGUGUGGUAGGUUCCUAACAUCCCAAACUCUGGAAUGUUAUAUUAUUAACAUUUAAUGACUAAUUGUUUGAAUGAUUGUUUGAAAUUGAGUGAAAAUUGAAACUUUUUGAAACUUUUAAAUGAGAGGGAAUAACAUAACUGUCCCCCUUUAUUCUUGAAUUCAAAUUCAUGCUUUUCAAAUCAUUGAGAUAAGAUGACAUGACUUCUUCAAAAUAAAGGAUUUGAAAUUUUGGAUUUGAAAACUACUGAAAUUUCCAUUUCGAAUUUAUUUCAUAAUGAGUUCCAUUUCUAUUUUAAAGUUUGAAUGAAUUCGAAUUUCCUUGCCCAAAUUCAGAAAAAAAUCUUGAGAGGAGAAAUAUGACACUCCAAACCACGGGAAAGUUUGAAUUAUAUUUAAUUUUAAAAUGCCGAGAAAACUAUUUGGAAAAUAUUUCAUAUUAGGUUUCCAAGCCAUUCUUGAAGUGAUUUUCAAAAUUAUUUUCCUCCAAAAAUAAAAAUACUUGGAAAAUAGGUUUAAAAGAUUCCCUUCAAUAUAAAAAUGGAAAAAAAUGGAUUUGAAAUCAUUUUGGUAUUUUUGAAAAUAUUGUAUUGCAUUUUAAACUCAAUAGUAGCGCUGGUUGAAUUAGUUGAAUCAGUCAGAAUUUUAUUUGACCUUGACAAUAUGUUCAUGUUGUAGGAAAUCAUUUUUCGGUCAUUUUGGUAUACUAUAUGCCUAUAUAUGGUUUCCAUUUAUUUUCAUUUAUUUAUUUUUGGUCUCUAUUUUAAAAUAAAAAGGAAAGGGUUUUAUUUUAAAACAAAAUGGCAAAGCCCGACAAAGCUCCCCAGGCCUAGGCCGCCGACAGCCCACCUUUCGCUCGCGCUCGAAAUGGCAAGAGAUCGGCCAUCGAUCCCCUCGCAGAUCUUCUUCCUAUCACUAACGCGCGGGCCCAGCCGACCGACCCCGAGAUCCCUGCGGUCACCUUCCUCUCACGUUCCCCUUUCCUUCCCAAUGCCGGCGCCAUCGCGAUCCGCUGAUCCCCUGACAUUUAGACCUCGUCCCGCCUUCAGCAAGCCUCCCUAUAAAUACCCGGCCUUCCGCACUCAUUGCUCGCUCGAAGCCCUCUCACUCACUCCCUUGGGCCAACUCAAUCCCUCGCCGGAGUUAGCCACGUCCGCCCCGCCAUUGCCACGCCACCAAUCCCCUAGCCCUCCCCAACAAACGUAGACACCUACAUUUGCUCUGCCACUCUCGUCUCCACCUCCACGUGCCCUCGCGCGAGCUCUAGAAUGACCGGAGCUAGCCCCCCCUCCCCCCCCCGGUCGACCAUAGAAUGACGUCAUUGCUCUCACGCUCGCCGCCGUCACUCCCGUACACCCCAAGCUCCACCUGGACCACCAGAAGAACCGCCUCGCUCGUCUGCGUCGCUUGGACUCGUCCCCGACGUCGUAAGAUCAUGGGCGUGUCGCCCCGCAUCGCCUCACCGCCUCGGACAUCGCCAAAGAUCUCCACCACCGCGGUAAGUCAUCGACACUGUCCUCGCCCGUCCGAUCUAGCAUCUACGGUGUACAUUAGAUCAAGCGUACCCGUUGGGUUUAUUUAAAGAACCGGCCGGUUUUUCUCUGUUUCUUUAAACCGAAGCAUUUUCCUCGAGCGUGAGGUCGUCCGCUAGUUUACACCACGCGCGCACACUAGUAGGCCUAUGAAAGCGCGCCACAUAGCCCUUGUGUGUUCGUUAGGAUUUUUCUUUUUCUAUUUAAGUUUCUUUUACACAAUUAGUACUCUUUUAAAUUUUUUUAUAUAUUUUAUGUUUUUAAGUGUUUUUGAGUGAUUCCAUUUGCAUUAGUUCACAAAUUUCUUUUAGUUUCUAUUAUUACAAUUAGAUUUGAAAUUUUAUAGUUUUAAUUUUGAAUCCAAACAAAUUUUCUUCAAAUGUUGUUUUUUGGAUAACUUAAGUUUAAAAAUAGGUUUUUAGUUGAUUCUUUUUGCUACUCGUCACUUGUGACUUUAGUUAUAUAUAUGUUUAAUUUGAGGAUUUUAAUUUAUUUUAAAUUAAAUUUUUAAGCAAAACAGUACUGUUUUACUUCAUUUUAGGUUUAUUGNNNNNNNNNNNNNNNNNNNNNNNNNNNNNNNNNNNNNNNNNNNNNNCAUUUUAGGUUUAUUGCUAUUUCUUUUGUUUUAAAUUUUUUUAAUUUGUUUCCUCUUCUGUUUGUGACAAGUUUUGUUUUGUUUUAGAUAGUUAAUAGUAGCUUUUCAAGAUUUUUUUAUUUUAGUUUGUGUUAUCUUAAGCUUGAUUUGCAUAGAAUCAACUCUAGUUUAAUAAAUAACUUCAAAUUGAUUUCAAUGCUAAUAAGAUUGUUUUGAAAAAUACUUUAUAUAAAUUGAUUUAUAAGUUUUAUUUUGUGUUAACUUUAGUUUAGAUGAGAAACAAUUUAUAUUAAAGUUGAUUUUUUUUGUUUAAUUCAAGUUUAACAUUGUUUAGGUCAUAGGAAGAGUUUAAUAAAAUCUUUUCAAUUAAAUUUUUGUUAAUAAAGUUUUAUGAGAAAUAUUUUUUGUUAAUUCAAUUGUUUUAUAUUCUGUAUUUUAGUGUUUAUAUUGCUGUUAAGUUUGUUAGGACAAAAGCUUAUGUUGUUUGGUGUGAUGUUCUUUAUAGUUCUUAGAUGUUCUUUAAAAGUAAUUCUUUUUGCUAGUAAAAGAUGUACUAAAAUACUUUUGUUAGAUUUUUAUCUUGUUGUUGGUUUGUUGCUGUUGAAAAUAGGUUAUUUUGUCGAAAAAACAACUCUUAGUUGCUUUGAUAAAGUUUUGUUGUUUCAACUUUUGUCUUAAGUAUUUCCUUCAUCACAACACUAUUAUAUUUAGUAUUUAUGUUUCUUUUUGAUUAAUAAUAUUGCUUGCUAGAAGUGUUUGCUUAUAUUGACUACAAUGUAUGAUUAUACAGAUUUUCGUCGUAGAGUGACGAAUAGUUCUAUCAGGUUAAUUUUUUGAGAGCGAUAUUACCUUCAUCAACCUUAACACACAAGUUCACUUUGACCAUGUAUUUCAUACCUAUCUUUUAUUGCAUUUAGUGAAAUCAACCAACAAAUUCCUCCAGUGGUGAUACUGAAACUUGGAGUUUGAGUAGAAUCAUGAGGUAGGAACCCUUACCCAUGUCACCAAGCCCCGGGAAUCGUGGUUAAGUUACUCGCAGCUAUGCUUUAGUAGACUGGGAUUGGUAUGAGUGUUUCAUGUGAGAUGUGAGUGUGAUAACAAUAUAUGGAUCAACCUUAAGGCUACAAGACUUGAAGAUUUCAAUACACCUCUGGGUGGAUUGCCUGCAAGAAGAGGGGAUCCUAGGGAUUGACUAGUGAACACCCAGUUCAAGAAGGGAUCCUAGGGAUUGACUAGUGAUCACCCAGCUAUACAGACUCAAGCGGGGAUCCUAGGGAGUGACUAAUGAUCACCCAAUGCUUCGGACUCAAGAGGGGAAUCUCGGGAUUGACGAGUGACCACCCAGUUUUACUAGGGGGUCGUGGGGAUUGACCAGUGACCACCUUGUUUUAUGAGGGGGCCGGGGGGAUUGACCAGGGAUCACCCACAUUUACGGAAGGCCACCCACUCCCAAAAAGGUUGAUGCACUACUGGAAUCCAGAAAUUUGUCGUCUGCCAUGCCUUUGUCGUCUGCUGACACAUGGCAAAGAUCUUAUUUGCCGUCAGCUGGCACAAAGCACACAGCAAACAGAUUCCUGAUGGCAAAAGCACAAAGGAACCAAAGGCAGACGACAAAGGGGAGGCAGACGGCAAAGGGGACGCCACACUAACGGCGCCUAGUCCCCGACCCCUCCCCUAAUGGCUCGCCCGCCCUGCCCGCCCCCUCUCUCUCUCUCGCCCUGCCCUCUCUCUCGCCCUUNNNNNNNNNNNNNNNNNNNNNNNNNNNNNNNNNNNNNNNNNNNNNNNNNNNNNNNNNNNNNNNNNNNNNNNNNNNNNNNNNNNNNNNNNNNNNNNNNNNNNNNNNNNNNNNNNNNNNNNNNNNNNNNNNNNNNNNNNNNNNNNNNNNNNNNNNNNNNNNNNNNNNNNNNNNNNNNNNNNNNNNNNNNNNNNNNNNNNNNNNNNNNNNNNNNNNNNNNNNNNNNNNNNNNNNNNNNNNNNNNNNNNNNNNNNNNNNNNNNNNNNNNNNNNNNNNNNNNNNNNNNNNNNNNNNNNNNNNNNNNNNNNNNNNNNNNNNNNNNNNNNNNNNNNNNNNNNNNNNNNNNNNNNNNNNNNNNNNNNNNNNNNNNNNNNNNNNNNNNNNNNNNNNNNNNNNNNNNNNNNNNNNNNNNNNNNNNNNNNNNNNNNNNNNNNNNNNNNNNNNNNNNNNNNNNNNNNNNNNNNNNNNNNNNNNNNNNNNNNNNNNNNNNNNNNNNNNNNNNNNNNNNNNNNNNNNNNNNNNNNNNNNNNNNNNNNNNNNNNNNNNNNNNNNNNNNNNNNNNNNNNNNNNNNNNNNNNNNNNNNNNNNNNNNNNNNNNNNNNNNNNNNNNNNNNNNNNNNNNNNNNNNNNNNNNNNNNNNNNNNNNNNNNNNNNNNNNNNNNNNNNNNNNNNNNNNNNNNNNNNNNNNNNNNNNNNNNNNNNNNNNNNNNNNNNNNNNNNNNNNNNNNNNNNNNNNNNNNNNNNNNNNNNNNNNNNNNNNNNNNNNNNNNNNNNNNNNNNNNNNNNNNNNNNNNNNNNNNNNNNNNNNNNNNNNNNNNNNNNNNNNNNNNNNNNNNNNNNNNNNNNNNNNNNNNNNNNNNNNNNNNNNNNNNNNNNNNNNNNNNNNNNNNNNNNNNNNNNNNNNNNNNNNNNNNNNNNNNNNNNNNNNNNNNNNNNNNNNNNNNNNNNNNNNNNNNNNNNNNNNNNNNNNNNNNNNNNNNNNNNNNNNNNNNNNNNNNNNNNNNNNNNNNNNNNNNNNNNNNNNNNNNNNNNNNNNNNNNNNNNNNNNNNNNNNNNNNNNNNNNNNNNNNNNNNNNNNNNNNNNNNNNNNNNNNNNCCCCUACCCCCGACCCCGACACCUCUUCGGCCUCUUGUUGACCGAAAAGACCCCCGACCCCGACACCUCUUCGGCCUCUUGUUGACGGAAAAUACCCCCGACCCCCGAUGCCACUCACCCUCAACCCCCGACCACCGAUGCCACUAACCCCCGACGCCACCGUCACCCAACACCACAGACCCUCGAUGGCACAGACUCCCGACGCCACUAAGCCCCGACCCCCGACACCUCCUCUGCCUCCUCUUGAACGAGAAGGUGCUUUUCGGCCUUCUAGAGGCCGACGAGGUCAUAGUUUUGUAAAUUAUGAGUUAGGUCACAUAUUUUCUGAUUAUGUUAUAAAAACAUCAUAUUUGUGUUGAUCGGGUGAACUUCAAUGUGCAGUUAUUUGAUGACCUCCAUGUGCGUUGGACGAGCUUCGCCCCUGCGUUUGUUGGUGAGCACAAAUGGCUUCUCCUCCCACCCCCUUAAUUUGCUCUGUUCCGGUCUUCGUGUCGAUGAAACUUGCUAGCUAUAGGUUUCUUCAAUCAUGAGUAUGCGUGACCAGUAUGCGUCUCCCGUUCGAAAGGGCGGCAUCUAUAAAUAUGCAUGUCUUUGCAUAUUUAUAACCGCCAUCCUUUCGAAUUGUCCAACGUUAUCCAUGGACACCCCGAGUAUGUGUAGAUUGGUUUCGUUUUCCCGUAUGCUCUGCUCCAGAUCCAAUGGGGAAUUGCAUCAGUGCCUCCUUGUUGUUCUCCGGGUACACAUCCUCUCUGCUUAUUGCCGAGACGUGUAUCAGGAGAACAGCAGGGAGGUGCUGUCAAAAUUCUGCGUCAGAUCUAGAGCAGAGCAUGGGAAAACGAACCCAAUCUACACAUACUCGGGUGGGAUUAGGACCUAUAUUUACCUAUUAGCGUGUAGAUUGCAUGGACGUAAUAAAACUCACAAACUUGAUUAGCGGAUGAAUAUAGAUGAUGAAUUAUAUAUAUAUUUCUUGUGUGCCCAUAGGUAGCUAGGCAAGAUAAGUGAUCGUGCUUGGAUGUACACUGGUCACCCUAGUCAAAAUGACAUGACCAAUGAAUGGUUAACAAAAUCCAGGGGGUUUGUGAGAGCCGCAUUUGCAAAUGGCCAGCAAAAAAGAUGGUGCCCUUGUCCCAACUGCGACAACAGGAAAAAGCAGACAUAGUUUGAAAUGGGUAAACACCUGCAGAAGUGGGGUUUUACACCUAAUUAUACGGUGUGGACUUUUCAUGGUGAGUCUGACCAACGUGCCAGAGCUGAGGUGAUUCGUCGUCGCACCGACGAGCAUGGUACCGGGAUCGUAGACAUGGUGCAAGACUUUGAUGAUGCUCGGGAUUCAGACGAUGAGAUGGAGGAAUCUGCAAAGGCCUUCUAUGAAAUGUUGGAGUCCUCAAAAUGUCCUCUCCAUGAGCACACUGAGCUUUGUCAGCUGGAUGCCAUCGCGCAAGUAAUGGCUCUGAAGGCUCAAUUCAACCUAGGCAGAGAAUGCUACGACACGAUGAUGCCGAUAUUUGCACGCUUUCUACCCAAAGGCCAUGUACUGCCUGCAAACCUAUACCAGUCAGAGAAAAUCCUCCGUGUACUUAAGAUGCCCUAUGAGAAGAUACAUGCCUGUGAGAAUGGAUGUGCCUUUUUUAGGCUUGAGUAUGCGGCCUUCAACUAUUGCCCCAUUUGCAAUUCUUUCACGUAUAUUGUGGUAGACAACGGUAUGGAUGAGAAGAUUCAGAGCAAAAUCCCCAUUAAUGUUCUUUGGUAUCUGCCAAUCGUACCAAGACAUCAACGUCUUUUAUGGUCGAAGAUACGGCCAGACAAAUGACGGCAAAAGAACCGAACUAGAUGCGGAUGGGAACAAGCUGUUGGUACACACUUCAGAUGCUUUUGCGUGGAAGCACUUCGAUGCAUUACAUAAGGAUAAAUCGAAAGAUCCAAGGCAUCCUCUGAUGCAUUACAUAAGGAUAAAACGGAAGAUCCAAGGCAUCCUCGAGUUGCCAUCAGCAUAGAUGGGUUCAAUGUGUAUGGUAUGACGGGAGCACAGUACAGUAGUUGGCCUGUAUUUGUCAUUCCACUCAAUCUCCCACCCGGAGAGAUUAUGAAAAGAAAGAACAUUUUCCUGACAUUUAUAAUUCCAGGGCCCAACUAUCCGGGGAAGAAUAUGAAUGUGUACAUGCAGCCGCUUAAGGAUGACUUGCAAGAAGCUUGGGAUAAUGGGAUCAAGACAUACGACGCCGCUACCAUUUUUUUUCAAAAUGCGUGUGUGGUACAUGUACUCGACGCAUGAUUAUCCGGCGUUUGCGCUAUUCGCUGGCUGGUGUUUGCAUGGAAGGUUCCCGUGCACCACAUGCAAGGCAACUCUUCAGUUCCGUUGGCUGCAGGCGGGUCGCAAGUUUUCUUGCUUCGACAUGCAUAGAUAGUUCCUGGAUCCUGACCAUAAGUUCAGAAAAGACAAGAAGAAUUUCAUCAAAGGUAGAGUUGUCAAAAACAUUGUGUUAGAGCAUAUAUCUCCAUUUGUGGUUUUAGUAAUUGAUGACAAUUCCUAUGGACUAAUGGUUGCCUUAAGUUAUAUUUAUAGGAUUUGUCCAUAGGCACUUCUUGAAGUCCAUAUAUUGGGUUCAAGGAGUUUAUAUGAUGACCAAGAUGGUAUUCAAGGUAUUAUCCAAAGAAUGGUCAUAGAGACACAAGGUUGAUCAAGAUCUCAGACAAAGAGUAAAUCAAGAUGAUCAACACACAAAGCGUACAAGAUGUACCGAGAGGGAUCAAGUGAUCCCAUGGUAUGGUAAGCAUUGUCCAUUACGUGUUUGUGUACUAACCCGUAGUCUUUGUGAGAGUUCUAUGUGGGGGUUAGGUGUGCUUCCAUGGGCUUGCGUCAAAAGGAAGAUCUCAUACAACCCAUGAAGGAUGACGUCAAGUGGUGAUCGUCAUCAAGAUUGCGGUGUGCAAGUUCAAGUGGAUCAGCACGAAUAUAUCAUGCUUGAUGCUUGCCGUCCAUUGUGGUGGCAAUGGACUUGUGAAGAUAUGCUGAAGAGCGGCUCACCCAUAGUGUGUAUGGGGGAGAAAUCAACUAGUCUUCUUCAAGCCAACGCAAUCAAAAAAGGUGGUCCAUCUUGAGGAAGCCAAGAUCAUCGUCAUCUAGCUCAAUAGGACGAGGUGUAAGGUAUAGGUUUGCCCUUGAUAGGUUUUCUGUUUUAGGAUAGAUUGUCGUACUGUCAGGGGGGCUCUCAAGUGAUUAGCUUGAUAGUAUUGUUCGUUGAGAGCUCAAACCAUUUGCAUCCUUGCAUCAUACUUCUUGGUUCUUGUUUGUUGUUUCUAUUUGUGAGUUUUAGAGCUUAUGUUCAUUUUCAUGACAAGCUCGAGUUCAUCGAAAACAGAGUCCAUAUGCAUCUUCUAUGAUGUUUUCGAUGUUGGGAGUUUUUACCGGUAUUAUUCGAAUAAGGGUUCUCACCAUUUUCUUAUGGGACUUUUCUCACUUGAUUAUUAUUGAUAUUUCUAUCAAUAUUUUGUUAGCCCAUGUCGUUAGCUUUCCAACAAACUUGGUUUCGUUGAAUUCAGAGUCCGUAUGCGAAAGUUACAGCAGUUUCAGUAUCCAGCGGUAGUACCGCUCCUAGUGCGAGCGGUAGUACCGCUCCUGUAGCGGUAGUACCACCCCCACAGAGGUAGUACCGCCCCCGGAGCGGUAGUAAUUUUUUACUACCGCUCCCUAGCGGUAGUACCGCUCCUGUAGCGGUAGUACCACCCCCACAGAGGUAGUACCGCCCCCGGAGCGGUAGUAAUUUUUUACUACCGCUCCCUAGCGGUAGUACCGCUCCGUCGGGCUGUUUUUGCAUACUUUUUGGCCUCAACAUGGUUGGUGAACCUACCGAUCGGUAGUACCGCUCCAUGAGCGGUAGUACCGCUCUGUGCGGGCUGUGAGGCUUAACGGUUGGAUUUUUCCCCACCUAUAAAAGGGGGUCUUCUUCCCCAUUGAACCUUAUCUCUUUAGCUCGUGUUCUUUCCCCAUUGUUGACCUUCUUCGAGCUUGCUAACUCUCAAUCCUUCCAAUGAAUCUUGCUAGUUCUUGAGGGAAAAGAGAGAGGAGAUCUAGAUCCACAUUUCCACCAAUCACUUUCUCCUCUAAGUGAGGGGAACCCAUUGGGUCUAGAUCUUGGAGUUCUUCGUGUUCUUCUUCAUUCUUCCUCUCAUUUUCCUCCCUAGCAUUAGUUGCUUUGGUGGGAUUUGGGAGAGAAGGAUUUGGGCACUUCGUGUGCCCUUGCCAUUGCAUUUGGUGCAUCGGUUUGAAUUCUCCACGGUGAUACGUGGAAGUGAGAAGUUGAGAAGCUUAUUACCUUUGGGUACUUGAUACCCCUAGAAGCUUGGUGGUGCCUCAGAGCUCAAUCAUUGUGGUGUAAAGCUCCGGGCAAGUGUCAGGGUCUCCAAUUAAGUUGUGGAGAUUGCUCCGAGCAUUUGUGGUCACCUCGAAGCCAUAUGCCAUUGUGGUGAAGCUUUGUGGUGUUGUUGGGAGCCUCCAAUUAAGUUGUGGAGAUUGCCCCAACCUUGUUUGUACGGGUUCGGUGACCGCCCUCAAGGGUCCCUUAGUGGAAUCACGACAUCUUGCAUUGUGCAAGGGCGUGAGGAGAUUACGGUGGACUUAGUGGCAUCUUGGGGAGCAUUGUGCCUCUACACCGCUCCAACAGAGAUUAGCAUCCGCAAGGGUGUGAACUUCGGGAUACAUCAUCAUCUCCGCGUGCCUCGGUUAUCUCUUACCCGAACCCUUUACUUAUGCACUUUACUUUGUGAUAGCCAUAUUGUUUCUUGUCAUAUAUCUUGCUAUCAUUUAGUUGUGUAUCUUGCUUAGCAUAAGUUAUUGGUGCACAUAGUUGAGCCUAGUUGUUUUAGGUUUUGUGCUUGACAAAUUAAACAUUAGUUUAAUUCCGCAUUUGUUCAAGCCUAAACCGUAAUUAUUUCAAAGCACCUAUUCACCCCCCCCUCUAGGCGACAUCCACGUCCUUUCAAUUGGUAUCAGAGCUAGGUCUCUCUUUAUUCGGUUUAACCACCUAGAGAGUAAGGAUGUCGACUAGGGGUUUAGGAUUCACUCACACUCUUAGUUUCGAUUGCACAAAUUUUGAUGUUUGGGUAAUUCGCAUGCUUAAUCACUUUCGGGUCUUGGACCCAAAUUUAGAGCGAAUUGUAGAUAUGAGUUUUUCUCCUCCAAAGGAUUCUCAAAAUAUAUCUUUAGAGGAUGAGAAAAACUCUUAUCUCAAUGCUCAAGCUUCUAAUGUGCUUUUUGAUGCUUUGAGCAAUGUAGUUAUAUUUCAACUCAUGCCAUUCCGGGAUGCUCAUGAGUUGUGGACAAAGCUUCAAGAUAAAUAUGGUGUGUCCAAGAUUUGUGGCAAUGAUUGUUCUCCCUCCACCUCCAGUCGUGUGGUAUUCUCAACUUCAUCUACUUCACCUACAUGUGGAUUGCCACAAGGUAAUGAUAUGGUGAGUAGUGGUGAUCAUUGCAACGAUGAUAGUGGGUUUAUUGUUGAUGAUCCUUCAUCACUAUAUUAUUGCAAUGCUUCAUCUUUGGGCAUUAACACUUCGAGCACUCUAAAUGUUUUACAUGCUUGUGUUGAUAGUCCUUGCAUAUCAUGUAAAACUGCUUGACUAAAUCUCAUGAUGAUAUGCUUCCUAUAUCUUGUUGCCAUGAUAAAAAUGUAUAUAUUUCCUCGAGUUGUUGUGCUAACAAUGUAGAGGAAAAUCAUAACUCCAUGGAACAAGAUGUGGCUUGAAUGAUGCUUCAAGGGAUCCUACAUCAUCAUCUAUUGCUACUCACUUUUGCCUUAUGGCUAAGGCUUCAAAGGUAUCUCCUACUUUGAAUCCCAAUGUAUCUCAUGAUGAUGGUGUUCAUGAUAAUGAGGUUGAGAAUAAUGAUGAAGAGAGUGAUAUUGCUGCAUCCUUAAAAAUUAAGGGUGAAAUGAUUUUUAAAUCUCUUUAUAAGAAUAAACUUGCUUGUUCCAACUUCUUGGAAAUCAUGUCUAUUGCCACUGAGGGCAAGAAAUACAUUGAGGAAUUGGAAGCUCAUCUUGAGGAGCAUGAGGCCACCAUUGAGACAAUGGAAGGUCAUGGGCGUGAUUACGCUAAUGAGAUGGCAGAGCUAUCUCAAGCUCUUGAAAAUGAACAAACCACCAAGGAAUCUCUUGAGGAAACCUUUGCUCUAGAAUUAUCUAGAUUAAAGGGAUCCCAUGAUAGAGCUCUCGAGGUGGCUAAUGAUUUUAGAACUAAAAAUGAUAAGCUUGGAGUUGCACAUGCUAAACUCCUUGAGAACUAUGAGCACCUCGAAAAUGGCUCAAUGGAUAUUAAAAGUUCGCUCAUCGAACUCACCGAGUCUCAUGCUCAACUUGAAGCUUCAUAUGCUAAAGAGCUUGCCAAGGUGCCUUCUCCUCUUAUUGCUAAUGAUGAUGCUUGUGCUACUAACUCUACUUCUUGUGAAGCAUCCAUUUUAAAGGAGAAUGUUGAGCUAAGGGCUCAACUUGAGUUGCUAUCUAGCAAUUAUGGGAAAUUGGAAGAAAGUCAUGUAAUGCUCACAAGCUCUCAUGAUGAUCUUCUAGCAUCCCAUAAUGCGCUAAAAUUAGCUCAUGAGGCUAUUACUACCAAGGUAACAUCAAGUGAGCCUCAUGUGAACAAUGGCACUACUUCUAGUCAAAAUGCUAUAUUGCCAUGUGCUAGUCCUCGUAAUUCUUCUACUCAUAAUGUUGCUACCUUUUGUGAUGAAUUACAUUCCUUGCCUUGUUACUCUAACAAUGAAGCUUAUACUUCCUCUAGUACUUGUGUUGAUACUAACCAUGUAGAGGAAAUCGAAGAGCUCAAGGCCCAAGUCACUUCUUUGAAGAAAGACUUGGAAAAGAGUCAUGAAGGGAUGUCCACACUCAACAAUGUCUUGUGUGGGCAAAAAUCCAUGAAUGACAAAAAUGGGCUUGGAUUCAACUCCAAAAAGAAGAAGAAGUCCAAAAACUUAAAGAAGAAGGGCCAAGAACAAGUCAAGAAUUCGGCCAAGAUUAUUUGCUUCAAGUGCAAAGUUGAAGGGCACCAUGUUAUAUCUUGUCCACUAAAGAAGAAGCCCCAAAGUCACAAGCAACAAGGGAACCGGCCACAAGUUCAAUCACAUACUCAACUACAAGUUGAAGAAAGGCCCCUUCCCAAGAAUACCCAAGCCAACACUCCUCAUGUUGAGAAAUCAAUAGGGAAGAAAUUAAAGGGUAGAUGUUGCUACUUAUGUCGUGAGAAGGGUCACUUCGCUUCUUCUUGCACGAGAGGUAAUUUAUCCAACCCAAUCAUUAUUGAUGAUAUCUAUUCUCUUAGGAAGGAUAAGGUUGGCAAUGUGUUUGCCAAGUUUGUUGUUACUCAAAGUGGUGUCAAGAAAAGUACCAUUUGGGUUGCCAAGCCUAUUGUGACUAACCUCUUAGGACCCAACGUGGUUGGGGACCAACAAGCUCAAACUUGAUCAAUAGGUGAAUGUGGAGGACAUUAGAGACUUGGAUACAUAAUGAAUAAUUAAGGGGUCUUCAUCAUUCAUAUUUUCUCAAGCCAAGUCAUUUGGAUUAUCGAGUUUCUAUCUUAUAUCCAAUGUGCCUCCUUACGGUAACUUGUACUUAAACUGUUUACAUUGUUAGUUGCUUGCCGCUUUGCAUUUUGUGGUUUUGUACCUUGCAUGUGUUUGUAUAUGUUGUUCUUCCAACUUGCUUAUCUUGAGUAAUCGAGUAUGUGUAUGUUGGUUUGCAUAUCAUGUACAUGUGAGUCUUGUAUUGAGCCUUUUUGCAUCUUGUUUGUAUCUUUGUUGGCUCUUGUGGGAGAUUAAUGGAUUAUCCCAUUGUGGGGGAGUGAUGUGCUUUGCACACCUCACAAUCCUAUAAAUGUGUAUACAUGGGGAAUACCACUUAGUAUUGAUAUUUCAAGAUUAUCUAGUUUCUAUGUGGUAUGUCUUACUCAUGAGAAAUUCAAAUUCUAUAUGGUCCAUUAAUUCUCUCUUGUUGGUUUUAAUUUUCCACUUGUUAAUAUUGUUGGUUUAUCACAUUAUGAGGGAGUAAUAUGCUAUGUGCAUAUUAUAAACCUAGAAAAUGUGUACAUUUGAGGUGUUGCCACUUAGUGUUGAUAUUGUAAACUAUCUUGUUCCAAGGCGGCAUGUUAGCUCUACAAGUGUCAUUUGCUUGUGUUUUAUGGGUAAAGAUGAUCUUGGAUAUAUUUGCGAUCUACCAAUGAGUAUCAUUUCCAAAAUACUUCUUGUCCUUGACAAUUGGUAUUCCCAUCAUGUGGUAGGAAUUUCUAAUCGUCUUUACAUUGGAUUUUGUGUUUCGUUUGUCUUCCUUGCCUCUUGUGGAUCUAUUUUAACAUGUCUAGUGUUUUUAUAGAUAUAGAGAAAGUGAUGAUCCCAUCUUGUGCAUUUUGUAUUUAAAUGCAAUUUCUAUAUAAUGCACGUCCCUUGGGGGAGCUAUCCUAUUUUCCUUAGAACACUCUCUUUAUUCACCCAUCAUAAAAUCUUUUGAUCCCCAUCAAUUGUAUGUUGAUGGGAGGCAAGUCUUGCUCUUUAUGAUGCUUUGUGCCAUCAUGAAAAUUUGUUAAGGGUUUGGUUUGUUUGAACCUAGCUCUCUUUUGGAAAUUAGAUACCUCGUGUUUGUUUUCCUUCAAUUGGUAUCUUGUUUCCUUUUAUUUGGCAUGUGUCAAUGGAUAUCUCAUUCCUUGAGGUAUCUUUUAAUUGAUAUCCUUCAAGUGAUAGUUUUUUUUGUUUGGGAUCUUAUUAUCACUUGAUACCUUGUCUUUUGGUGACUUAUCAACUUUGUGUUGAGUUGAUUCUUGAGAGUCUUGAGCAUGCAUAUCUACUAUAUACAGCUUCUUUUGCUUUCUUUCUUUCUUUGACCCAAUAUAUAGGGGAAACUCCACCUUGUCAUAAAUUGGCUAAAGUGUGCAUGAAAUUCAAAUUCAUAUCUAUAUGCACAUAUGUAUGUGGAGUUUGUCCUAUGUAUUGUUGGUUUUCUAACUCUUUUGUCCCAAUGAGUUUGGGCACCAUUUUGUUUGUUUUGCUGUUCCAGGAACAACUGGAGAUGCAUUGGAUGCUCGGCUCACCUAUAAGGAAGGUGUUGAGACCAUGUGAUUAUUGGAGCCAAGUUAGGAUGAUCAAAGAACAACUAUCUACUACAUCAAUCCAAUGUUGUCUCGGUUACAAGUAUCCACUUCAUGCAUUCUUUUCUUGCAAAGGCCCCAACCUGUCUUUUCUUUUCCAGGUUGCAUCAUGGCAUGAAUCUCAUGAUUCGUUCUUGUAGUACUUGUUUCCUUUAUCAAAGCAUCCGAACGAUGAUGUCUUACUACUAGUUGGGAUGUCUUUGAUGUUCGUAUGUUGGAAGUUCAUAUUGUACAAUAAGAAAAUAUUAGGCCAUGUGAUAUGCUUCCAAGCAAAAGAUCUUAUUGAUAUAUUUAUGACUUCCUUUUGGAUAUCUAGUUUGUUCCUUCUUGUAACCAUUUCAUGUGUACAUCCUUCUUUGUGGAUAUAUAUCAUCAUGAUUGUCUUCUACUUAGAAUCUUUUACACAUGAGAGAAGUUACAUCUCUUAUUGAUAUCCUCUUUUCUUUCACGUCCACCGUUGCAUUUCCUUUUUCAGUUUUUGGUGGCUUCGUGAAAGGAUUUGUCUUGAGUGUGUAUCUUAUUUUCCUACAUCUUGAUGCACUCUUUGGUCGUGAAGAUUAUUUUUCCUCAUGCUUGUCUUGAUGAGGGUUUUGCCAUUUCGAUUGGUAUCCCUCCACUUGACAAGGUUCUUACUUCCUAUCUUCACCAUGGGUUGUCACAAGCGUUGGUUCUUAUUUUGUUUAUUAGUAAGCUUGUGAACCCAUUUUCUAGUAUGUGUGUGUGGGAAUGAUAUGUCUUGCACUUUGUGUCUCAUUUCAUCAAGACUAUGUUGAUGAGUAAUGCUCAUCCUUAUCUUAGUCUUCUCAAGUGCUUUGCCAUGACUCACACACAUUAUUUUGGUUGAGCCUAUUCUUAAGUUGCUUCUUUUACAUGUUGCUCAACCAUUUGUUUUGUGCAAUUGAUAUGCUUAUUUUCUCAUCUAUCUUCUUGCACUCGUUGUGUGUUUUUAUUAAUUUUGGGGGAGCAACGAUCCUAUUUUGUGCACUUGUAUCAAAUACAAAAAUCUCGUAUUAGUGCACAAAUCAUGGGGAGCUUUCCUAGUUUUGAUAAAACACUAUGUUGCCUUUAUCAUAUUAUCUUUUAUUCAUGUGGUUCGAAGGACCAUAUUAUUGUUUGUUCCAUCUGGUAUCUUUUGAUUGCUUGCCUCUAUUUUUGUAUGUCUUUGUGGCAUACGAUCCUUUUAUUUGCAAUCUUUGGGUCCUCAAUAUAGUUUGUUUUCCUCCAACUACUUAUCAUUGUAUUUGUGUAUUUCUUUGCACUCAUUUGUUGAGAAGUACACACUUUUUGGAGGACCACCUACUAUAUUGGCUUUCUAAAUUUUCGUCCAUUUUGGCAAAUGAUGCCAAUGGGGGAGAAGUUUAGAGAGUUUACUUUGGAUAUGUUUAGAGGGUUUUGCUUUUAUUGCGUAAGCAUUUACAUCUUGCACGCAUGCAUUAUUGCUUUGUAUGUGUGAGCUUGGUUAUGCUUAUUUCCUUAUAUAAACUCUCUUGAAGUGGUUGUCAUCAAUUACCAAAAUGGGGGAGAUUGUUAGAGCAUAUAUCUCCAUAUGUGGUUUUAGUAAUUGAUGACAAUUCCUAUGGACUAAUGGUUGCCUUAAGUUAUAUUUAUAGGAUUUUCCAUAGGCACUUCUUGAAGUCCAUCUGUUGGGUUCAAGGAGUUUAUAUGAUGACCAAGAUGCUAUUCAAGGUAUUAUCCAAAGAAUGGUCAUAGAGACACAAGGUUGAUCAAGAUCUCAGACAAAGAGUAAAUCAAGAUGAUCAACACACAAAGCGUACAAGAUGUACCGAGAGGGAUCAAGUGAUCCCAUGGUAUGGUAAGCAUUGUCCAUUACGUGUUUGUGUACUAACCCGUAGUCUUUGUGAGAGUUCUAUGUGGGGGUUAGGUGUGCUUCCAUGGGCUUGCGUCAAAAGGAAGAUCUCAUACAACCCAUGAAGGAUGACGUCAAGUGGUGAUCGUCAUCAAGAUUGCGGUGUGCAAGUUCAAGUGGAUCAGCACGAAUAUAUCAUGCUUGAUGCUUGCCGUCCAUUGUGGUGGCAAUGGACUUGUGAAGAUAUGCUGAAGAGCGGCUCACCCAUAGUGUGUAUGGGGGAGCAAUCAACUAGUCUUCAUCAAUCCAACGCAAUCAAGAAAGGUGGUCCAUCUUGAGGAAGCCAAGAUCAUCGUCUUCUAGCUCAAUAGGACGAGGUGCAAGGUAUAGGUUUGCCCUUGAUAGGUUUUCUGUUUUAGGAUAGAUUGUCGUACUGUCAGGGGGGGCUCUUAAGUGAGUAGCUUGAUCGUAUUGUUCGUUGAGAGCUCAAACCAUUUGCAUCCUUGCAUCAUACUUCUUGGUUCUUGUUUGCUGUUUCUCUUUGUGAGUUUUAGAUCUUAUGUUCAUUUUCAUGACAAGCGCGAGUUCAUCGAAAACGGAGUCCAUAUGCAUCUUUUAUGAUGUUUUCGAUGUUGGGAGUUUUUACCGGUCUUAUUCGAAUAAGGGUUCUCACCAUUUUCUUAUGGGACUUUUCUCACUUUCUUCUUAUUGAUAUUUCUAUACAGAUUGUGUUAGUCCAUGUCAUUAGCUUUCCAACAAACUUGGUUUCGUUGAAUUCGGAGUCCGUAUGCGAAAGUUACAGCAGUUUCAGUAUCCAAUGGUAGUACCGCUCCUGGUGCGAGCGGUAGUACCGCUCCUCUAGCGGUAGUACCGCCCCCGGAGAGGUAGUACCGCCCCCGGAGCGGUAGUAAUUUUUUACUACCGCUCCCUAGCAGUAGUACCGCUCCGUUGGGCUGUUUUUUGCAUACUUUUUGGCCUCAGCAUGGUUGGUGAACCUAUCGAGCGGUAGUACCGCUCUGUGCGGGCUGUGAGGCUUAACGGUUGGGUUUUUUCCCACCUAUAAAAGGGGGUCUUCUUCCCCAUUGAACCUUAUCUCUUUAGCUCGUGUUCUUUCCCCAUUGUUGACCUUCUUCGAGCUUGCUAACUCUCAAUCCUUCCAAUGAAUCUUGCUAGUUCUUGAGGGAAAAGAGAGAGGAGAUCUAGAUCCACAUUUCCACCAAUCACUUUCUCCUCUAAGUGAGGGGAACCCAUUGGGUCUAGAUCUUGGAGUUCUUCGUGUUCUUCUUCAUUCUUCCUCUCAUUUUCCUCCCUAGCAUUAGUUGCUUUGGUGGGAUUUGGGAGAGAAGGAUUUGGGAUGUGGGUGGGAGCUCUGUGGCGUUUCUAAUAUUAUAUGUGGAUGACAUAUUGUUGAUUGGAAACUACGUAGAGUUUUUGGAGAGCAUAAAGGAUUACUUGAAUAAAAGUUUCUCUAUGAAGGACCUAGGAGAAGCUGCUUACAUUCUAGGCAUUAAGAUCUACAUGGAUAGAUCAAAAUGCCUGAUAAGACUUUCACAAAGCACAUACCUUGAUAAAGUUUUGAAGAGGUUCAAAAUGGAACAGUCCAAGAAAGGGUUCUAGCCAGUUUUACAAGGUACGAGAUUGAGUAAGACUCAUUGCCCAGCAAAUGAUGAGGAUAGAGAGCAUAUGCGCUCCGUCCCCUAUGCUUCAGCCAUAGGUUCUAUCAUGUAUGCAAUGUUGUGCACUAGACCGGACGUUAGCCUGGCCAUAAGUAUGGCAGGUAGGUUCCAGAGUAAUCCAGGAGUGGAUCACUGGACGGCGGUCAAGAAUAUCCUGAAGUACCUGAAAAGGACUAAGGAGAUGUUUCUCGUGUAUGGAGGUGACGAAGAGCUCGCCGUAAAAGGUUACGUUGAUGCUAGCUUUGGCACAGAUCCGGACGACUCUAAGUCGCAAACCGGAUACGUAUUUAUUCUUAAUGGGGUGCGGUAAGCUAGUGCAGUUCCAAGCACAGCGUCGUAGCAGAUUCUACAUGUGAAGCGGAGUACAUGGCUGCCUCGGAGGCGGCUAAGGAGGGUGUCUGGAUGAAGCAGUUCAUGACGGAUCUUGGAGUGGUGCAGAGCGCACUGAAUCCAAUAACCUUGUUCUGUUACAACACAGGUGCCAUUGCCCUAGCAAAGGAACCACGCUUUCACAAGAAGUCCAGACACAUCAAACGACGCUUCAACCUCAUCCGCGACUACGUCGAAGGGGAGGACGUAAAUAUAUGCAAAGUGCACACGGAUCUGAAUGUAGCAGACCCGCUGACUAAACCUCUUCCACGGGCAAAGCAUGAUCAACACCAGAACUGUAUGGGUGUUAGAUUUAUUACAAUGUAAUUCGCAUGAUGAUGUGAGGGCUAGAUUAUUGACUCUAGUGCAAGUGGGAGACUGUUAGAAUUAUGCCCUAGAGGCAAUAAUAAAUAUAGUUAUUAUUAUAAUUCCUGUAUCAAGAUAAUCGUUUAUUAUCCAUGCUAUAAUUGUAUUGAAUGAAGACUUAUAUACAUGUGUGGAUACAUAGACAAAACACUGUCCCUAGCAAGCCUCUAGUUGGCUAGCCAGUUGAUCAAAGAUAGUCAGUGUCUUCUGAUUAUGAACAAGGUGUUGUUGCUUGAUAACUGGAUCACGACAUGAGGAGAAUCACGUGAUGGACUAGACUCAAACUAAUAGACGUAGCAUGUUGAUCGUGUCAUUUUAUUGCUACUGUUUUCUGCGUGUCAAGUAUUUGUUCCUAUGACCAUGAGAUCAUAUAACUCACUAACACCGGAGGAAUACUUUGUGUGUAUCAAACGUCGCAACGUAACUGGGUGACUAUAAAGAUGCUCUACAGGUAUCUCCGAAGGUGUUCGUUCAGUUAGUAUGGAUCGAGACUGGGAUUUGUCACUCCGUGUGACGGAGAGGUAUCUCGGGGCCCACUCGGUAAUACAACAUCACACACAAGCCUUGCAAGCAAUGUGACUUAGUGUAAGUUGUGGGAUCUUGUAUUACGGAACGAGUAAAGAGACAUGCCGGUAAACGAGAUUGAAAUAGGUAUGCGGAUACUGACGAUCGAAUCUCGGGCAAGUAACAUACCGACGGACAAAGGGAAUGACAUACGGGAUUAUAUGAAUCUUUGGCACUGAAGUUCAAACGAUAAGAUCUUCAUAGAAUAUGUAGGAUCCAAUAUGGGCAUCCAGGUCCCUCUAUUGGAUAUUGACCGAGGAGUCUCUCGGGUCAUGUCUACAUAGUUCUCGAACCCGCAAGGUCUGCACACUUAAGGUUCGACGUUGUUCUAUGCGUAUUUGAGUUAUAUGGUUGGUUACCGAAUGUUGUUCGGAGUCCCGGAUGAGAACACGGACGUCACGAGGGUUUCCGGAAUGGUCCGGAAACAAAGAUUGAUAUAUAGGAUGACCUCGUUUGAUUACCGGAAGGUUUUCGGAGUUACCGGGAAUGUACCGGGAAUGACGAAUGGGUUCCGGGAGUUCACCGGGGGGGCAACCCACCCCGGGGAAGCCCAUAGGCCUUGGGGGUGGCGCACCAGCCCUUAGUGGACUGGUGGGACAGCCCAAGAAGGCCCUAUGCGCCAUAGGAAGAAAAUCAAAGAGAAAAAAAAGAGGAGGUGGGAAAAGGGGGAAGGACUCCUCCUUCCAAACCUAGUUGGACUCGGUUUGGAAGGGGAGGGUUCCCCCCUUAGGCUCGGCCGACCCCCUUGGGAGUCCUUGGACCCCAAGGCAAGGCUCCCCCUCCUCCCCCUAUAUAUACGGAGGUUUUAGGGCUGAUUUGACACAACUUUGCCACGGCAGCCCGACCACAUAUCUCCACGGUUUUACCUCUAGAUCGCGUUUCUGCAAAGCUCGGGCGGAGCCCUGCCGAGACAAGAUCAUCACCAACCUCCGGAGUGUCGUCACGCUGCCGGAGAACUCUUCUACAUCUCUGUCUCUCUUGCUGGAUCAAGAAGGCCGAGAUCAUCGUCGAGCUGUACGUGUGCUGAACGCGGAGGUGCCGUCCGUUCGGCACUAGAUCAUGGGACUGAUCGCGGGACGAUUCGCGGGGCGGAUCGAGGGACGUGAGGACGUUCCACUACAUCAACCGUGUUCACUAACGCUUCUGUUGUACGGUCUACAAGGGUACGUAGAUCACACAUCCCCUCUCAUAGAUGGACAUCACCAUGAUAGGUCUUCGUGCGCGUAGGAAAAUUUUUGUUUCCCAUGCGACGUUCCCCAACAGUUCGGUGACCGCCCUCAAGGGUCCCUUAGUGGAAUCACGACAUCUUGCAUUGUGCGAGGGCGUGAGGAGAUUAUGGUGGCCUUAGUUGCAUCUUGGGGAGCAUUGUGCCUCUACACCGCUCCAACGGAGAUUAGCAUCCGCAAGGGUGUGAACUUCGGGAUACAUCAUCGUCUCCGUGUGCCUCGGUUAUCUCUUACCCGAACCCUUUACUUAUGCACUUUACUUUGUGAUAGCCAUGUUUCUUGUCAUAUAUCUUGCUAUCACUUAGUUGUUUAUCUUGCUUAGCAUAAGUUAUUGGUGCACAUAGUUGAGCCUAGUUGUUUUAGGUUUUGUGCUUGACAAAUUAAACGUUAAUUUUAUUCCGCAUUUGUUCAAGCCUAAACCGUAAUUAUUUUAAAGCGCCUAUUCACCCCCCCCCUCUAGGCAACAUCCACGUCCUUUCACACUGCACCAGUUGCGUUGACAGGCCAACGCACCCUUGAUCAGUUAAACGCUCUCGAGCCUGAUCCUUUGCGUCCAGGGUAUAUCAAAGGGUAUAAUACGAAACACGCCUGAACUCACAAGUCAUGCUUAUGGGAUCUGCCUUACUUCAAAGACCUCCUUUGCCCACACAACAUAGACGUGAUGCACACUGAAAAGAAUAUUGCGGAGGCCAUUUUUGGUAUAUUGUUCGGCAUAGAGGGGAAGUCAAAGGAUAAUCCUAAGGCUAGAAUCGACCAGGAGGCUCUAUGUGAUAGACCGUUACAAAACUUGCGACAACGGGAAGGAAAGCAAAGCAUAGCGAAGCCAAAGGCAUGGUUCAAUCUUGAAAGGCCAGCUAUGAGGGAAAUGCUAUUGUGGGUGAAAAUGCAGUUGAUGUUCCCCGAUGGGUAUGUUGCGAAUCUAAAGAGGGGAGCGAGUCUUGAGAAACUGAAAAUAUUUGGUCUCAAGAGUCAUGAUUGACACAUAUGGAUUGAGCGGGUAAUGCCGGUGAUGUUGCGUGGAUUUAUCCGUGAGGAUAAAUGGCUAGUACUCGCAGAGCUGAGCUAUUUCUUCCAUUCUCUUUGUGCGAAAGAACUAUCGCCUGGUGUGCUAGAUGAAAUGGAAGAGUUGGUGGCGGAGUUGAUCUGCAAAUUAGAAAAGAUCUUUCCACCGGGCUUCUUGAAUCCAAUGCAGCAUUUGAUUUUGCAUGUCCCGACCGAGGCAAGAUUGGGGGGCCCGUUCAAAAUAGAUGGUGCUUCUCACGUGAGAGGAUGCAGAAGACGCUUCGAGCUAAAUGUAAAAAUAAAUGUAGAAUUGAAGCAUCGAUGGCCGAGGCAUUCAUUACUUAGGAGGCGGCAAACUUCGUGACAACACAGUAUGAAGCCAAAAAUCAUCAUUUGCAUAACCCGAAGCCUCGGUACAAUGAUGGCGAUCCUAAAAAAGGUCGAUCCAACCUCAGCCUAUUCAAAGGGAAGCUCGCACCAUCCGGUGCUUCGAAAGGGAAAUUGUUGGAUGUCGAAGAAUGGCGGACCAUUUCAUUGUAUAUCUUCACCAACCUAACAGAAGUGCGGCUGUACAUCGAGUAAGUUCUCGGUAAAUUAUUGUUCCGCGACUUCUAAUUCCUUUGAACUGCUCUUAUUCCCGGAUAUUUGAUAUAGUCGAUACGUCGCUGAAUUCUCGGAUGGAGCGGUCAUCGAAAAGGAUUCCGUCGAAUAGUAUGAGCUUCUCGCAAAGCAUGGAGGCGACUAUCUCGGUUUCAUCUCUUGGUUCAAACAAAGGGUAAUUAAUUACCAUUAAUGGGCCAUUUGAUUUCUUGGUCUAAUUUGAGGCUAAUGCAUCCAUUCUUUCAUAUUAAACUUGUAGGAUGAUGUAGAGUCUAUGGACGCCAAGUUGAGACAAGUCGCUAACAGUUUUGACUAUAAGGUUCGUUCAUUUGACAAAUACAACAUCAACGAGUAUCACUUUCGUACCUUUGGCUAAGAACUAUCUAUGCCUGACCUAAAGACUACAAAUUGUUUUGUCUUUGCUAUCGGCGAAGGAGGUACCGAUUAUUAUGGAAGAGUUGAAGCAAUUUAUGAACUUCUAUUCUAUGGUGAAAACCCACCAACCGUCGUAGUCUUCAAAUGUUAUUGGUUUGAGCUAAGGGAGACUAGAAGGACUCAUGAACAUAUAGGACUAUUGGAAAUCAACCAAAACACCCACUUAGAUGUUAUCGAUGUCUAUAUUACGGCUCAACAGGUGACACAAGUUUUAUAUCUACCGUGGGCCUGCCAAACUGAUCCAAAUAUGAAAGGUUGGGAUGUCGUUUAUGAAGUGUCGCCAUGUUUUAGACCACCUACCCUCAAUGAAGAGGAUUACGAACCUCACAUUAACCCAGACACAUAUGAAGGAUAAUUCUUCCAAGAAACACGUAUGUCCAAGAAAUGUUUCAAGAACUGCUCUACUUCACCCCAGAACAUUGAAGUAGACAGCGAUAGUGAAUCCGUCUUAACCCCUGAGCCCGAACAGGAAGAGUCGGAAGAAGAAGAGGUUACUACUGCGGAUGACCUGUCACUUCUUGACCGAUUACAUAAUGGUGGCCUUCCACAUGUUCUUCCUGAUAGUGAUGAUGAUGUAGCAUUUAUUGAUGAUAGUGAUGAUCAAGAUGCAUUUAUUGACCCCGAAGCAUAUAUAGACGAGCACGAUUGUUAUUAGUUCAUGUCAGGUAUUCAACUAUUACUAUAUAUACAUAUAUAAAUUUUUAGUUCAUGUUAGGUAUUCAUUUUUUAUUAGUCAUGUUGGUAUUUAUGAUGAUGAUACACUUAAAUUAUAUACAUUUUAUUACUCAUGUUGGCAUUUAUGUUGUACUAAUUAAUUUCAUUUACUCUUUGUCAUGGCAGGUGUUGAAAGAUGGUGGAAAAGGGUCGAAAGCAUUCAACGGAUCCUUCUUCGUCGGCGGGUGGUGGGAUGGAUACUUCCAUUCCUGCCUCGCCUCUCCGGAGAGUGUUGCUCUCUACUCUGCAUGGAGUGGUCGCUUCUUCGACUCCUGCAGCCCCCGUGAGAGGAGGUCGACCCCCCAUGAAGUCGAGAGGUACUAAAGGUACACAUGGCCGCAGGAGAGGUAGGGUGGCUGCCACGCCUUCCUCGCCGCCACCCCUAGCUGAUUCACCUGAGCACAGGACUACUAGGGUGGACCCGUCUGAGGUGGAGGCUACACGGUCUCCGGUUCACAAUCCUCAGGUCGAGGAGCCUUCGACCCACGAGACUCGUGUCCCAGAGGCUUCGUUCCAGGAGACUUCGGAGCAAAGCAGGGAUGAGAGUACGUCCCAAGAGUGGGAUACAUGGACUGAUCUAGGGCAGUCGGAGCCAACUGGCCAUGCUGAUAGCGACGAGGAGCUGGGUGAGGGGGCCACCCUGUACCAGCGUGGUAGUUCGGGGCUCCCGCUCGUGCCAGCAACCCGCGAGCAGAGGUGGUCGAUUAAGCCAAAUGGGGACAAGUUAAUUUACUCUUAUUUAACCUUUUGCCUUGACGUUUUCUCAAAUAUCUAAUGUUCUGGCUUUAAUUUUUCAUACUGCAGGUGUUGGAUUGUUGCCAAGGGUCUCCGCAAGCCCAACAACGUCCUUGUUGUGAUUUGCUAGCAAAACUUCCCGAGGUUUGUUACGUUGCCCGGUCGGGAGCGAGAGGUAGAAAUGACCUGGGAGCACUACUUGGGUGCCCCGACCCCCGGUAGGUGUGCCACACCAUUAAGGGAGCGUCAACUUAAUCCAAUUUGGCGAGAACUGGGUGUGUGGUUUGCUUCAUGACUCAUGCAAUUCAUUCUUAAUGCUAGCUUGGUCCCUUUACUAAUACAUUUUUCCUCUCUCUCUCUUUUAGGCGCGUCACAAUAAGACGGAGGUACCACAGAUGUACGACCUCGAUGCGUUGUCCCAUACUGCCUCGUACAAGAAGGUCAAGGCAUUCUCUGAGUCUGACCUCGAGCAUCCUGAAAACUUCACCAACAUCUCCUCCCACCACAAGCUCGUGAAGUACAGAGAUCACGGGAAGGCGAGGAAAGGGGAGGACUUUAACCCGAGCCAGGGGCCUAUUGAUCCAGAGCUGGUGAUGAUAGCUCGCAACGGGAGGCCCCAUGGCUCGAUCGCCGUCAGAGACGGCCUUAUACGUUGUCCUAGCACUCUCCGGCAAAUAAAGGCACGCCAAACAAGCUCCUGUCCUGAGAUAACACCUUGUCCACGGCCAGUCGAGCUCGCCAUCGAGGUUAGUUUAAUGGACUCAACUAUCUUUCCGCAUUACGUUGUGUGUGCGAACCAAUAUGAUUACAAUGCUAACAAUGAGUUGUGUUGCAGGCUGCUAUUCUGAAAGAGAGAGAGGCAAUGCAGGCGCUUUUGGCGGAGAAGGAUAAGGAGAUGAAGGAGCGGGAGGAGAGGAUGGCUACGUUGGAGGAGGCGGAAAGGGCAUGGAAUGAUGCGUCUAACAGGGCGAUGUAAGAGCUUAUCGUGGUAAGUUUCUUAUUCAUAUUUGUCAAAUCUUGCAUUUUAAUGUGCGUUUCAUUAAUAAUUAAAAAGUUUGACUUGUCGAAACCAAAUGUACAGUCUAUGUGCGAGAAGACCGGCCACGUCCCUCCCGGAAUGCCAGUCAUUAAAAUGGCGGGGACGGUUAGUUUCAUUUCAAUGCAGUGAUCUUUUGAGUGUCAUCAUGAUAACGACACAUUGCAAACGAUGUUUGGUGCAGAAUAUCUCCCAAAACGCAUCGCACGACCCUUCUACAGUGGAGCCUUCUCCAGGGCAGCCUUCUCGAGGUGAAACAAGCCAGAGCCACCAUGCUUCACCGCCGUGAUGACGAGAAUGGUAUGUUUUUUCUAGUGUUUUGCUUAACAACCGCAUAAUGAUCUUUACUUACCUUACCUUAGCUCCAAAAUGACAUAUUUUACCCAAGUUAGCUCUAGAAUGACCUAUACUUGGCUUGGCUUCCACCUAAAUGACAUAAUUAGCUUAGUUAGCUCCAAAAUGGCCUAUUUGAUAAAAAAAAUGACCUAUACUUAGCUAAGUUCUCUCCUAAAUGACAUAAUAAGCUUAUGUAGCUCCAAGAUGACCUAUUCCCCCUAACUUAGCUAUUAAAUGGCCUAUAAUUAGCUUAGUUAGCUACAAAAUGGCUUAAUAAGCAUAGUUAGCUUUAAAAUGACAUAUUUUACCCAAGUUAGCUCUAGAAUGACCUAUACUUAGCUUGGCUUCGACCUAAAUGACAUAAUUAACUUACUUAGCUCCAAAAUGGCCUAUUUAAUAAAAAAAUGACCUAUACUUAGCUAAGUUCUCUCCUAAAUGACAUAAUUAACUUACUUAGCUCCAAAAUGGCCUAUUUAAUAAAAAAAUGACCUAUACUUAGCUAAGUUCUCUCCUAAAUGACAUAAUAAGCUUAUGUAGUUCCAAGAUGACCUAUUCCCCCUAACUUAGCUAUUAAAUGGCCUAGAAUUAGCAUAGUUAGCUUCAAAAUGACAUAUUUUACCCGAUCCUGAUUAUCCCAAAACCCAAUGUGAGUUUUUUCUAUUUUUACAUACUCCCCCGCCACGAGCUAACGAGUUAGCUCUAGAAUGACCUAUACUUAGCUUGGCUUCCACCUAAAUGACAUAAUUAGCUUAGUUAGCUCCAAAUUGGUCUAUUUAAUAAAAAAUGACCUAUACUUAGCUAAGUUCUCUCCUAAAUGACAUAAUAAGCUUAUGUAGCUCCAAGAUGACCUAUUCCCCCUAACUUAGCUAUUAAAUGGCCUAUAAUUAGCUUAGUUAGCUACAAAAAGGCUUAAUAAGCAUAGUUAGCUCCAAAAUGACAUAUUUUACCCAAGUUAGCUCUAGAAUGACCUAUACUUAGCCUGGCUUCCACCUAAAUGACAUAAUUAGCUCAGUUAGAUCCAAAAUGGCCUAUUUAAUAAAAAAAUUGACAUAUACUUAGCUAAGUUCUCUCCUAAAUGACAUAAUAAGCUUAUGUAGCUCCAAGAUGACCUAUUCCCCCUAACUUAGCUAUUAAAUGGCCUAUAAUUAGCUUAGUUAGCUACAAAAUGGCUUAAUAAGCAUAGUUAGCUUUAAAAUGACAUAUUUUACCCAAGUUAGCUCUAGAAUGACCUAUACUUAGCUUGGCUUCCACGUAAAUGACGUAAUUAACUUAGUUAGCUCCAAAAUGGACUAUUUAAUAAAAAAUAACAUAUACUUAGCUAAGUUUUCUCCUAAAUGACAUAAAAUGCUUAUGUAGCUCCAAGAUGACCCAUUCCCCCUAAGUUAGCUAUUCAAUGACCUAUAAUUAGCUUAGUUAGCUCCAAAAUGGCUUAAUAAGCAUUGUUAGCUCCUAAAUACCUAUUUUUACCUAAGUAGCUCCAAAAUGACAUAUACUUAGCUUAGUUUCGUCCUAAAUGAUGUAGUAAACUAAAUUAGCUCCGAAAUGACCUAUACUUCUCUUCUUCAUCUAGUCUUCUUCUUCUAACUUACUUAUUUCCCAUUUUGCAGAUUACAUUCACUUCACGGAAGUUUGGAUUGAUGGAGUGCUUCAAUAUGGUUUCUUCUAAAAUGGCGUCACGAAAGCUUGGAUUGAAACUAUUGUAAUAUAUGGAUAUGAAACUUUGUAUGUAUGGAUGAAACUAGUGUAAUAUAUGGUUUUGGUACGGAUGAAACUUGCAUAAUAUGUAUGUAUUAUGGAUGAAACUUAUUUUAAUAUGGUUAUCAGUAUGGCAACACAACAUUAUUUAUGUCAUAUAUAUAUAUGAUUUAUGUGAAAAUUGCUGGAUAUAAUAAAAAAUAAAAUAAACAGGGGCAGUUUGGAGCCUUUGCCGUCCGCCCACCGACGGCAAAGGGGUUGCAGCAAACGACAAAGGGUCCAAAGCCCUGGGCUGAAGAAGACUGGGUGCCCCCUUUGUCGUCAGCCCACUAGCAUGGCAGACGGCAAAGGGGGCAAGGGCAGACGACAAAGGGUCUGAAGCCCUGGGCUGUAGCAGAAUGGGUGCCCCCUUUGCCGUCAGCCCACAAGCAUAGCAGGCGGCAAAGGGGGGCAUGGCAGAUGGCAAAGGGUCUGUGGGCCCAACAGGCUGCCGUUAACACUUGACGGAGGUGCCCCACGGAUCUGCCGUCCCAUGUUCUCUGCCGUAUGCCCCCCACGGCAAAGGUUCUUUGCCAUCCGCAGGACCAAUGCAGACGGCAAAGAACCCCUUCACCAGAUUUUUCUUUGCCGUCCAUUUUGUCGUCUGCAGACGGACGGCAAAGGCCUUCGCCGUCCGGGGUGCUUCCCUUUGCCGUCAGCCAUGGCAGACGGCAAAGUCUUUGAUUCCUGUAGUGAUGGAUCAUUCAAGACUAGAAGCUUCCAUGUGCAGCCGCAAGCUAUUAUGGGCUCCAGCAUAGUUGUGUACUCCAGAAAUACUGUGUCUCGGUCAUCCUAUUCUCAAACACCAUGUAGUGUGAGGACUUCAAGGGAGGUGAUCGAGUCUUGCGGGAAAAGUGUGGAAACCUCUGUAGAGUGUUAAACUAACCGAUUAGUCGUGUCCCCGGUUACGGACAAUUUGAGCGACUAGAAUUGGAUUAUCUAGAUAUUCUCAACACUUGAUACAUUAAAUGAACAUGGGAUUAUUGACAACCUUGGGUUAUGAGAAUUUGGUUGGUGGAACCAUCUCUUUAGUUACACCAUCUUUGUAGAAAGAAAUCUGAUUUAACUUUGAUUUAGGACAAAACUGGCUUUUAUGCAAAAAAAACUCAGACAUAGAGCCUCCACUGCCAUAUUGCAUAUAGUGAUAGACUUAUUUUCAUCUCCCUUUAUAUGUGAUCUUGCCAGUACUUUCAAUGUAUUAACCUACAUGGCUCCAACGUAUUAUGUUGUAGAUAUUCAUACGAUGAGUAAGAGUACGACUUAGGGUUACGGUUUACACUCAACCUGUCGUUGGUGUUUAUUGGGACUCCGCUCCCGUUGACUGUUUCUGCUGAGAAAGAGGUGUAUAUCAUUAUUGCGUUAUUUACACGUGAUUGCACUUUGAGAUAUACAUUGAUGUAUUGUGUGUGCCAACAUACUGAUCCAGGGAUGGCAGAGAGACAUAGAGGCUUGACUCGUUUUGAUUUGGGUCACUACACCUUAGUUACUUCAUGCAUUUUUAAGAUCAAUUCAGCAUGUUGUUAGCUUCAAAAUUAACCUUCUUCGAAGAUGGGAGAGACAACAAAUCAAUAGGUGCACGAGGUAGGAAACCAUACAAAAUUUCAAAAGGGCUCAUCUUAGUAGUAGAAUGCAACGAACGAUUAUAAGCAAAUUCAAUAUGAGGCAAGCAAUCUUCCCACAUUUUCAAGUUAUUCUUCAAAACAACCCUAAGCAUAGUAGACAAUGAUCUAUUGACUACUUUAGUUUGUCCAUCAAUUUGGGGUGACAUGUAGUACUUAAAAGCAGUUUAGUCCCCAACUUAGCCUAUAAACAUCUCCAAAAAUGGAUAAGGAAUUUAGCAUCACAGUCUGAAACAAUUGUAUUUAGCACAUGAUGCAAGCGAGUAAUAUCACAAAAGAAAAAUCAGCAACAUUAGCGGCAUCAUCACUUUUAUGACAUGGUAUAAAGUCUGUCAUUUUAGAAAAUCUAUCCUCGAAAACAAAUAUGCUAUUCGUCCCCUUCAUUGUUCGAGGUAAACCUAAAAUAAAGUCCAUAGAUGUAUCCUCCCAAGGAACACUAGGUACAGGCAAAGGCAUAUAUAAACCAUGAGGAUUGAGUCAUGACUUAGCUUUUUGACAUGUAGUGCAGCGAGCAACAAAACGCUCCACAUCCCGUCUCAUAUUUGGCCAAAAUAAAUGUGUAGCAAGUACGCCCUCUGUCUUUUUCAUGUCAAAGUGCCCCAUUAAUCCUCCUCUGUGCGCCUCCCGCAACAACAAAAGACAAACAGAGCUACCUGGAAUGCACAACUUGUUAGCACGGAACACAAAUCCAUCAUGAAUGACGAACUUGUUCCAUGUUCUCCCUUCUUUACAAUUAUGCAACACAUCUUUAAAUUUUACAUCAUGCACAUAUUGAUCUUUGAUGGUAUCCAAACCAAAUAUUUUAAAGUCAAGUUGUUAAAGUAAAGUAUAGCGAUGAGACAAUGCAUCGGCAAUAAAAUUUUAUUUUCCCUUCUUGUGUUUUAUGACAUAAGGGAAAGUUUCAAUGAAUUCAACCCAUUUAGCAUGUCUACGGUUCAUUUUUGCUUGACUUCUAAUAUGUUUCAAAGAUUCAUGAUCAAAAUGUAUAACAAAUUCUUUGGGCCAUAAAUAAUGUUGCCAUGUUUCCAAAGUCCGAACAACACGUAAAUGUUUCAAGUGUUCCUCCAAGGAUCUACUACAAAUCAAUAUAUCAUCAAAAUAGACUACCACAAUUCGUCCAAUGAAAGCACGUAAAACCUCCUUCAUUAAUCUAAUGAAAGUACUAGGUGCAUUAGUUAACCCAAAAGGCAUGACUAACCACUCAUAUAAUCUAAAGUUAGUUUUAGAUGCUCUUUUCCAUUCAUCCCCCAAUUUCAUAUGAAUUUGAUGGUAUACACUACGCAUAUCAACUUUGGAGGAAAUUGUAGAGCCACUUAAUUCAUCAAGCAUAUCAUCUAACCUGGGAAUAGGAUGAUGAUAAUGAAUAGUAAUAUUAUUAAUGCCUCUACGAUCAACACGGAUACGCGAUGUACCAUCCUUUUUCGGCACUAGGAUAAUAGGAACAAGACAAGGACUAAGGGAUUCUCAUAUAUAACCUUUGUCAAGCAACUCCUGUACUUGACACAUAAUUUCCUUCGUCUCCUCUGGAUUUGUACGGUAUGGAGCACGGGUGGGUAGUGAUGCACCGGGAAUUAAGUCAACUUGAUGCUCAAUCCCUCUAACAGGUGGUAAUCACGGGGGUACGUCUUGUGUAAAGACGUGUGCGAACUCCUCAAAAUGUUAAUUACAACAAAAGUCAAAGAGGGAGGCAUGUCCUCGAAUGAAAAUAAUACCUCUUUGCAUAUGAAAGCAUAGCAAACAACUAUAGUAACAUCCAAAUCAGUAAUAUCAGAUUUAUUCGCAAGUAAACAACCACUCUUCAGUUUUAUUUCAGAUGCAACACUAGAUGAUGGUUUAUUAGGCUUAUUGUGUUGCUCAAAUUCCUUUGCCGCAAUCUGAUUUUCACUCUCAUUUUGCUCUUGUUUUGCUUUACUAGCUCUAGCAAUGUCAUCUUUCAUAAUAUGUUUAGGAGACAUAGGAAGCAAAGUUAUAUUUUUAUCCUUAUGAACAAGAGUAUAUUGAUUUGUCCUACCAUGGUGUACAUAUUUUUUAUUUAUCAAAUUGCCAUGGUCUACCAAGUAAAUCGGAGCAUGCUUGCAUGGGUACCACAUCACAAUCAGCACCAUCAAAAUAUGUAGCAAUGCUAAAGUGCACACGAACAAUACGUGUUACCUUAACCUUGCCACUGUUGUUGAACCAUUGGAUGUAAUAUGGAUGAGGAUGUGCUCUGGUGGUUAGAGACAACUUCUUCACCAUCUCCAUGCUAGUCAAGUUGUUGCAACUCCCUCCAUCGAUGAUUAUCCGAACAUAACGUUCCUUCACUACUCCCUUUGUAUGGAACAAGUUGUGGCUCUGAUUUUUCUUAGCAUGUGUUACUUGCACACUUAAAACACAUUGAGCGACUAAACUUUCAUACCCGUCGGCGUAGUCAGCAACCAUGUAGUGUGUCUCUUGUUGAGUCUCAUCAACACCCUGUUCUUCACUUGCAGUAAGAGGCAGAGUCUCCUCAUUAUAAUCACUAGCAGAGUAAUAUGCACCAUCCUAAGUAACAAUCAUGACACGCUUGGACGGGGCUGUCUCUCGCAUAGUGACCUCCACCCAGGCAACGGCGACAUAUAACCUCAUGUGUUCUCCCUAUUGAUGCAAUGGAUGAAGAAGAGCUCUAUGCAGACCCGGAAGGUGUGCUCUUGGCGGAGGGUGGGCAUGUGCCUGUUUCCUGGUAUGUCAGUUGGAGUUGAUUGCUGAAGUAGGUGGUGCUGCAACAGGAUGUGUGGAAGUAGAUGAGGUACGUGGCGUCCAUGAUGAAGUGCAACCUAUAGAAAAAUUAGUUAUGGCCAAUGCUUGUCGAUCCUGCACUUCAUGUUCAGCUUUGCAAGCAAUAUGGAAUAAACGAGUGAUAGUGUUGUACUCUUUAUAUUAUAAAAUAAUAUGAAUAUCUCUAUUUAAUUCACCCCUAAAACGUGCAAGCAUAGCUUCAUUGUCCUCAACAAUACCACAUCUAACCAUGCCAGUUUGUAAUUCCUCACAAUAUUCUUCUAUAAAAUUCUUUCCUUGUCUUAAAUGCUGCAAUUUUGAAGUGAUUCACGUUGAUAAUAUGGAGGAACCCAACGAGUACGCAUAGCUGUUUUCAAAGCAGGACAAGUAGUUGGUAUAUUAGCAUGAUGUAUUCUACAAUGUUCAGACCACCAAACACAAGUAAAACUAGUGAAUGAACAAACAACGAAAUCAACACGUCUAUCAUCAGGAAAUUGUAAGCAUGUAAAACGUUGCUCUGUUUCUAACUCCCAAGUAAGAUAUAUAUCAGGAACAUAUAUACCAUCAAAUGUAGGAAUAUUCAAUUUAAGUUUAGGGAUAUGGUCAUGAUCCCGUACCUGAGGAGGUGGUGCAACCCUACCAUUGCGAUUGUAUCCAUGUGGACGACACGGUUCUUGUGGUGGUGGAUGUUGUCCCCGGUGCUGAUUUGGAGCAACCUCUCCGUCAUCAUCGUAAUCACCAUCAUAAUCCUCAUUCUGCUCAACUACAGUAGCAGCAGCAUCCACGGAAACCACAGUAGUAGCAGCAGGAGCAACAACACCAGGGUUCUGGACUUGGCCGGCAGGCACACGUCGCGCUCGUCCCACACAAUUCUGGCCUUGUUCCUGUCGUUGUUGUUUUUGUUGGACUGAGACGGAAGCUGCAGCUGGUGGUGGUAGACGGGCAAGCACCUCAUUGAACUUGGCGUCCAUCCUGGUGUCGAAUGUCUUAUCCAAACUGUCUAUCUUCUCCAUGGCCUCUCCAAGGCUAGUCAUGAAGUCUUUUACCUGGUCAGCCAUAAUUUGCUGAAAUUUAUCAUGGAGAUCCUGGUUGGUCAGGCUCUCCCAGUUGAUCUCGUCGGCUUGUGAUCCUGGCAUUGUUAGUAGCAAUAGGAACAUAGAAUAAUAUGAACCUACAGACUACUAACAAGUGUUGUUGGUGGUGGUGUGUCAUAAAUCCGUCAAGCAAAUCUGAAAUUCUUACCAGUUCUUACCCGCCAGCAGGUGGUGAUCGGUAACCAUUGUAGUCAAAACUCUCAAAGCUUGGAUAAAGCGAUUGUCAGGUGGUGUCAAACACACGAUGUAGAUGUAUGUGGAGCUAGGAAGUUUUAUAAUAUGGUAGCAAAAAGAAUCAACAAUAAUCAGUUCAAAGAUGCAAAGUUGAAAGGACGCUCAAUGAAGGUACCGUGCUGGUCCUAGGCUAGACUGUACUAGAGACGCGAGCCUAGAACACCAAUAAAAUCAUGACGCUACACGUAAUCAAGGGAAGAGCCACUCUGUUUUUUUUUCGUCUUUUUGUGCUCUUUUUUCUCUCUAGAAAAUCACUAUAAUGGCGAGUAUCUCAAAACUCUUCCAAUUUUUUUGACUAUUCGUUUCCGGGAGCGAUUCGGGGCUGCAACGACCAAAAAUUGCAACAAAAAAUCGCUAUGAUGGCGAGUGUCUCAAAACACUCUGGAAAGCCUAAGACAGUAUAGGGAAAAAAUAUUUUCAUCCGUUGAAAUUUUAGCCUAAAAACUUGUAGUGCCCCAAGUGUAAAGUUUUCCCUUUUCGCAACCUUCCAUGUGGGACCACCUUGACAUUGAUAUGAGAGAGUCCCUUUGCCUGUAUGAUUUCAUGUGUCUCUUAUUUUUUGUCUCCCUUGCAUGCAUGCAUACCAUAAUGUUUCAUGCCAUGUGUUCUUGUUGUGAUUGCUUGUGAUCUUGCUAGGUGUGAUUUUGUGAAUUCAUGUGUUGAGGCACUUGUGAUGAUGUGGUGUGAAGUAGUGAAGUGUGGUGCUUGGCAUUAUUUUCAAACCCCCUUGUUUAGUUUCAAACCUUUUUUCUCUUUUUCUCCCAAGUUCAAAUCCUAUUUGCUCCUAUGUUGUGUUAAAAAUGUUACACCUUUAGAGCAUUUUAGUUGGAGUGUGGGCAUGUAGGAGAGGGGUUUUUAAAACCUAUUUUGUUUGGGGUUUUCCUUUAUUUCAGAUUAUUUAAAUCUGAUUGGCAAUUAUUUUUAGUUGCCCAAAUAGCCAUUUUGGUAUGUUAUUUAUUUGGGGUAUAAUUCCCUUAUGCCCAGGGAUAUUUUAUCUCUAUUUUUUUAUGCCUUAGUUUUUCCUAGAAAUAUUAGUUUCUGUCAUGUUGUUUGUAUAUUAGAGAGGGCCAGGUUUCCCUCUUUCUCUCAAACCUUCGCAGCAGCAGCCCAACUCCUCCCAGGCCCAAUAACCCUUCGCAGCACAGCAGCCCAGCGCCGUUCCUCUCCUACCUCCCGUCGACGUCACCUUGUACGACCAUGGCUCGACCUCCCGAUCGCCUCCCCCCAAUCCAGCGGCUCAUGCGCGUCCCCCGAGGUGUUUUAAGCUGCAGGAACCCUCCUCCGUACCUAGGGUUCCCUCUCCUUCCUCCAGUGCGCCGCCAUCUUCCUCCUUCUCUCUAACCCCCCCUCCUGGUAAGGUCUGUAGCUAGGACAGAGAAGGAGCUUGUCGCCGAUCGCCGCCCCCAUCGUCGUCCAGCACCGGCGGCCAUGUCUGGGGGCUCGGGGAAGGCGCCCGCGCUCCAUUCCCGCCAUCGUUGAGGUCGAGGGGCGACCACAACGACGGGCAGAAGCUCGUCACCGGCGUGUUCCCGGCGAACUCCCUCCCUGCUUCGGUUCUGCACACACGUCGACAUCUUCGUCAGAUCUUCCCCGGUUCUUCUUCAGGCUGCCUCUUCGAUCGAUCCUCUCCCUCCUUCCCCUUGGUGAGCCUAGAUCCCCCUUAGUUUUCCCCGCGGUAGUGUGCAGAAGAGCUCGUGGCCGAGCCUCUCAGAUCGGCAGGACCGUGGCUGUGUAGAGUUGUGUUGUGCUCGGCUCGACGUGCAGAGGGAGUCAGCUUCCCAAGCGGCUGUAGAUGUGGUGCACGUGUCCCGUAGAGCAGCAGUAGCCGAUUAGAGGUGCUCCGGCGAAGUCACUGUCCUCGGAUCACCGUGUAGAGCAGGGCAGGACAUCGCGGUAGAUGUGUGUGCGUGCAUGCAGCUUGAGUGUUGCUCGUGUAGAGCAGAGUUGGCGCGGGCGAGCAACGCGCAGCAGUGCUGUAGUUGGCAUAGAGGUACCCCUCGUGGUGCAGCAGCAGUGCAGAGAAGCCACGGCGGCCUUCCUGUCGCCGGUGCAUCUCGGUGCAGAGCAUAGUACGCGGAAGAGGCAGAAUACUUUGCAAACUACCUUUAUCUGUCAAGCUUCCAUAACGUAGCGCAGUGGUGUGUGCCUGUGUUUGAAACCGGGAGAUGCAGGGAUCGAAUCCCCCUGGCGCAACCCCCCUUUUUUUAGUUUCCUUUCGGCAGCAGUAGCAUUUGCAUCAGCGGGGCAGUUUUACCUGCUUAGUUAUCUUACCCUGUCGAGCUAGCGCAUGGUAGCAGGGUGGUUUGCUCCACAGGGCAGUACCAGGGGCACCUGGGAUCGAAUCCCAGGCCUGCCCAUUUUUUCCCCUUUCCUUGCUCCUUUUAUUUUCUUUCCCUUGCUGUUGAUUUUUAUGCAACCCCAUGCUCUUUGUAGACCUGUAGUUUUUCUACACAUGUAGGUUGGGAAUUACCCCCUCUCAUAAUCUGCUUGGAAGUUUGUGUGCUGCUAGUUAUGAUCCAUGUUGAUGCAUUGUGAGUGAAGGAGAUGUAUUUAGUAGAUGAGGUUGUGCUGGUCAUUGUGUUGUGAUCUAGCCUUAGUUCAGUGCUAGGAAUUUGGACCUGAUAUGUUUGUGAAGCUCCCUGUCAAAUUUCAUCUCAUUUGGAGUCCUGUAGGUUCUGUUUGGGUUGCUGUCAAAAAGCUUCAGAACUAAGACAAAAAGUCAGGUGCAGUAAUUUUCACUAAGUCCCUGAGAUCUGAUGGUUUUGGGAAAGUUUGUGGCCUUGUAUCUUCUUGUGUUUAAUUCCUUUUGGUGUGACUCUUGCUGGUUCUUGUAGUGUUCUUGGUUGGAUACAGCCACAUAUAUAAUUUUUCAUAUUUGGAGGGUUGUAGCUAUGUUGCAUGUAGCUCACAAAGAGCUAAGAUGCAGAUUAUGGCAGAUUGUGUAGUAUAGUCAUUUUGAUGAUUGUGGGUGAUUACUUGAUGUUGUGGUGUUCUUCCUUGCUCCAAUCCAUUCAUGAUGGGUUGUUAUAUGUCUUGGCAACCUGGGAAUACCAGAUUGUGCCAUUGGAGUGUGUGGUGUUGUUUUUGACACGUAGGGCUUCAUAUCUUGUUUCGUUGAUUCCCGUUGAUCCGUAGCUCCGAAUGUUAUGUUCUUUAUAUGGUUUUGCAUCGUUUUCAUGAGACGCAUCUGUUCAUGCCAUUAUCAUGCAUGUCAAAAUAGCCUAGUAUACAUCUCUGUCCAGAAACUUGUAGUGGUUUCUUUUGCUUGUGCUAGUGAUAGAAAUAGUGAUGCAUGCUCAUUUUUCAUCUCAUGCAUCUUGUGCUUGUUGCAUCUUGUGGUGCUGCUGUUCAUUGGUUGUUAUUCUUAUGUUGGGUAGCACCGGGAUCGGAGAACGAAUACGUGGAGUCAGGAGAGUACGUGCAGGACGAACCAGAACCAUUCCAAGCUGAGGAUAUCACAGGCAAGAUGAUAUGACCUUGAUUCCAUCUCUAGACUUGUUAUGCUAGUUUGCGUUUCCAUGUCAUAUUGCUCGCUGCCUACCACUGAAUUAGAUUGCCUCUUGAUAUGCCAUGAACCCAAACACUGAUCCCUUCCUAGCAAAACUUGUAUGGCUAAGUAGGCUUUGCUCAGCUACUAAUGUUAGCGUUGCUAGAUGCAUGUGCUUUGACUCAUGUGACAAGAGCUUGAUAUCAUUAUCUUAAAUUCUGUUAUUUAAUUAAUGCACUCAUAUACUUGGUAAAUGACGGAAGGCCUAGCCUUUUGCCAGGUGCUUUGUUCUGUUAUUGUCGCCUUAGUUACCGGUUACCGGUGUUUGAUUCCAUAUUGAUCGCUCCUAACACGUUCGGGGUUGUUAUGGGAACCCCCUUGAUAAAUCGCAUAGUGUUAAGGCUUGUCCGGCAGGACCCAACAUUGGUGUUAAUUUGCUAAUCACUUAAUAAACUGCAUAGGGAAUGAUCAACCCGAGGAUCUUCAAUCAACAACCCGGGCCAGUGCUCCUCAUGAGUGUUGGUCCAAACUGGUCUGCCUCCGGGGCCACCUCAAGGAAACUUGAGGUUUGGUACCUCUAGCUAGUUCCAUCCAGCGUGUCCUGAGACUGAGAUACGCGGCUCUUAUCGGGGUCGUCAACACGUCGGGAGGUCCUGCUAGUCUUGCCUUACCUUAGCGAUAUAUCUUGCGUAUAGGAAUCCCAAUGAAGCUUUGGUUUCCCCCAGAGUUGAGGUUUUUCCUCUAAGGAAUCCGACGAGAUCACGAGAUUCAUGAUAGAGGAUUACUUUGCGGCCUGUGUACGUUUAUGAUGGACUAGUUGGAGCACCCCUGCAGGGUUUAAUCUUUCGGAAAGCCGUGCCCGCGGUUAUGUGGCAACUUGGAAUAUUUUGUUAACAUCCGGUAUUAGAGAACUUAAACAUAAGCUAAUAAAAUUGCCAACUGUGUGCGUAACCGUGACUGUCCCCCUCGAAGAUCUCUCUUCGAUCGGGAACACGGUGGGGUUAUGAAUGUCAUAGGUCGGUGUUCAGGAUCACUUAGUGAUCAAGUAAUCAUGACCGCUAGUGUAGAGCACCUUCAUAAUUGCCUUACGUAAGUUAGCCACUAAAUCAAGCUUAGGAUGUUGCAGCCUUAUACACCUCACCUUACCCUACCUAAUAACAUGACUAGUUCUGGCACCAAGGUCUUAGAUUGCUGAGUCCCCGUGACUCACGAAUUCCUCCAAAACUCCCAACAGGCACAGGUACCCCAGAGAGAGAUGAUCCCGACGGCACUCAGCUGGCGUGGCAGUACGACGAGGAGACAGACCGCCUCUACGUGAACUAUCCAGGGGAUUGAGGCAUGGUCGUGAUCGUGGGCCUGCAUGCAGGGUAGCAUACCAUUUCCAUGUUUUGUAGUCCAUAGCGGAACUACCUUGAUUGUAUAUGUGAUGUACUCUGAGUUAUUAAUGAGAAGACAGUUGAAUCCCGAAUUGUCUACUUUUAUUAUUAUUUAUGCUAUGUUACUUGCUUGCGAAACGCUUAGAUGCGCUUCUUUCCUAUUUGGGGCCUCGACCCCGAGAUCGGAAAGGACCGCAUCUUGGUCGUUACAAGUUGGUAUCAGAGCCUUACGACCAUAGGAGCCUUUGUGUGAUCGUACUUGGCCGAGUCGAGUCUAGAAAAUGUUUUGAGUCUUAGUUAUAUCGGAGAGUAGGAUUCUUUUUUCUCUUCUUCUAUGCUCUGGUGAGGUUCCCGUCUUAGGAAAUCUUUAACUCUACUCCUUUUCUCGCUCAAAUUGUUUUUAGGAUCACGCGGGUAUUUGUGAAAUCUAUAUGAUUUCGAUGUGAUGGAAUUCUGUCCUGGUGCCUCCUAUCUGCUCUAAGUAUCAGGGGGGUUGAGUUCCGGGGGAUUCUUGCGCACAUCGCCAUCAUUCAGAUUUCUGAGUAUCUAAGAACGGAGGGUGAUCGUUAUUGCUUCAAUACUGGUAGUGGUGAGAUAACCCCGAUGUCCCCAGUACUGGUGUAGAUUGUUCGGGGGUACUACCACACUUGGUAUCGCUGUGAUCACGAGGAUCUGUUGUAGAUGAAGGUCCGAGAUGCUGGUUGUGUGUUGAAGGAUGUGAUACAGGUGACGGGUUAGUUUAGGAGUUGUGUGAAAUACUCCUUGUAUCCGUGUACCUGAUUGCAUGACCAGUUAUUUCGGGAAUUCAUAGGUGGGAUAUCUAGUAGUAUCUUAUAGGACUAUCUUCCUACAGACGCUUGAUUGAGGUUUGGGAAAUCUCGGUCAUAUGUUUGUUCCGAGCAGUUCUAGCUCACACUUGUUUGCAGUGGUCCUUAUCGGAAUUUUGUCGUCUGUUACUUUGAGGAUGCACUCUUGCUAUGUUGUUCGAGUGCAAUGCUAAAUUCUGUUCAGAUAUUCCUGUCUUUUGAUUCAGCAAUAUCUUCAAUUAUUCUGUGGACUAAUAUGAUGUCCGUCUUCAGGAUGGCUCCACCGACUCGUCAGACCCCAGCGCGUGAGGAUAUGCCACCUCCUCCUCCUCCUCCGCCGCCGCCUCCUCCUCCUGCAGAGGCCUGGCAGGCGAUGAUGGCAGCUACUAAUGCAAACACUCAGAUGUUGUUGCAGUUGAUCCAGGAGAGAGCCAAUCAUCAGCAGGGCAAUUUCCAGCAGGGUGGCAAUCACUUCGCCAAUCUGAGUCAGUUCCUGUCAAACCAGCCUAAGACGUUCACUUCUUGCGACCAGCCAUUUGAUGCAGAAGAUUGGAUCCGUGAUAUGAACAAACACUUCGAGUGUAGCAAUGUGCGUCCGGAGGACUAUGUCAAGUUUGCAACGUUUCAGUUGAAGGGACAUGCUUCUAUAUGAUGUCUUGGGACGAGUUUUGUCAUGACUUCAGAUCCCACUACAUCCCUUCCAGUUUUGUGGAGGAAAUGCGUGAGAAGUUCAGGCGUUUGAAGCAGGGCAGCAAUUCUGUGUACAAGUACAAUUUCGAGUUCCAUGAGCUUGCCCGUUAUGCGCUGCAGGAUGUCCCGGAUCAGAAGAGCAAGAUCUACCAGUUCAGGGGUGGCUUGAAGGAAGACUUGUAGUUAGCUCUUGCAUUGCACGAUCCUGAGGAGUUUGACAAGUUCUACAACCUAGCUCUCAGAGCAGAGGCAGCCUUGCUCAGGGUGGAAAACUCCAAGAAGCGCUUCAGAGAUUCCAGCUCUUCCUCGACUCAGGUGGUUCAGAAGCAACAGAGGUUUUGGGUUUCUCCUCCUCCUCCUCGGCACUCACAGCAUCUUAAGAACUCAGGUGGUCUUGGUUCUUCCCACCCACCCAACCCUGGCUUUCAACAGAGAUACCAACAUCAGAAGCAAGGGCCUCCUCAGACUCAGUUUCGGCAGCCAGCAGAUGUCACUUGUCACAACUGUGGGCAAAAGGGUCACUAUGCCAACAAAUGUACUUCUCAGCUCCGACUACCGCCUCCUCCUCCAGGCAAACCUCCAAGCAACGCUCUUGUCAAAUUCAACCCCACUCAGCUCUAGUCAACAUGGUGAAGCAGACAACUCCUCUGAUGUGAUCAUGGGUAACCUCCUCGUCAAUGAUAUCCCUGCUAAAGUGUUAUUUGAUUCUGGUGCUUUGCAUUCCUUCAUGUCAUACCCCUUUGCAUUUGGUAAUAAUAUUGCGACCGAGUUCCUUCCCAAGUAAUUGCAAGUUGUGUCUCCGGGUAUGCGGAUGAGCUCUCAGUUGUUCGUCCUAGAUGUUUCUGUCAAGAUGGGCGCUUAUGCUUUUCUGGAAUCUCCUAUUGUCUUGGGCAAUUCCGACAUUGAUUUGAUCCUUGGUAUGGACUGGUUGGCCAUGAACAAGGCGUCAAUUGAUUUUGAAGCCAAAGAAGUGAAGCUUACCCACUCUUCGGAGGAUGUGAUUAUAUUCGCGGCGCGCGAUGAUACAAUCCGUCUGUUCUCCUUGAAUGAAAAGGGUGAGAUCAAUCCUAUUGAGCAAGUUCCAGUGGUCUGCGAAUAUCAAGAUGUGUCUCCUGAAGAGCUGCCAGGCAUGCCUCCGCACCGUGAAGUUGAGUUUGUCAUUGAGCUUGAGCCAGACACAGAGCCAGUGUGCAAACGGCCGUACGUAAGUUAGCCACUAAAUCAAGCUUAGUGAUCAAGUAAUCACGACCGUUAGUGUAGACCACCUUCAUAAUUGCCUUACGUAAGUUAGCCACUAAAUCAAGCUUAGGAUGAUGCAGCCUUAUACACCUCACCUUACCCCACCUAAUAACAUGACUAGUUCUGGCACCAAGGUCUUAGAUUGCUGAGUCCCCGUGACUCACGGAUUCCUCCGAAACUCCCAACAGGCACAGGUACCCCAGAGAGAGAUGAUCCCGACGGCACUCAGCUGGCGUGGCAGUACGACGAGGAGACACACCGCUUCUACGUGAACUAUCCAGGGGAUUGAGGCGUGGUCGUGAUCGUGGGCCUGCAUGCAGGGUAGCAUAGCAUUUCCAUGUUUUGUAGUCCGUAGAGGAACUACCUUGAUUGUAUCUGUGAUGUACUCUGAGUUAUUAAUGAGAAGACAGUUGAAUCCCGAAUUGUCUACUUUUAUUAUUAUUUGUGCUAUGUUACUUGCUUGCGAAACGCUUAAAUGCGCUUCUUUCCUAUUUGGGGCCUCGACCCCGAGAUCGGAAAGGACCGCAUCUUGGUCGUUACAAAACUACUAUGAAAACUAUGCCAGACUAAGGCAAGGAAACGCAAAACCGAAAACAAAGGAAUCUCAAAAAUAAAGCUAAUACGUGAAGGACUCGCAUUGGUGGCGGAUAUGUGGACUCGGAUUGGUGAUGAUGAUGGUGUGGUGGUGGUAUAUGGCGGCAACAAUGAUUGUGGUGUGGUGGUGGUAUAUGGAGGCAACAAUGAUUGUGGUGUGGUGGUGGUAUAAGAUAGCAGCAAUGAUGGUGAGGCGGCUUGACAACUUGUGAAUAGAACUUGAAACUCUAAAAGACUAGACGCUAAGACCAACAACUUGACACGACGAUGCAACCGCAAAUUCAACAAAACAAAUAUCGAACAGAAUAUUGCAAAGGCUCAGAUUGGCUCGGAUAUGAUGAUCUAACCCUAAUUCUUCUUUUUGGUUUUUUUGUGGAUGGUAGGUAUGAAGAACAAAUGGAAUAUAAACUAUGAAAAACUGGUAAAUCUCACCGAGCAACCUGGAAAUCUGAUACCACUUGAUAGAGGCAAAGUUGUCCCGGUCUUUCGAUGAGACGUGUCUAUCAUUUUUGGUAGAGUCGACUUUGAUGAUCAGACUACAAACAUGCGAGGACAUCGCACCUUAGUAAUCGCUAAACCAACUCUGAAAGGUUAUUGACCAUGCUAAAGCAUGGUCAACCUGACCACGAGGGUGUGUUUCCUGCACGUAAAUGAAGAACAAGCAAGAAACUGAAAUUGCAAACUGGAUAUUGCGAAUAUAAGAUGAAAGCUUUAUUGAUGAAAGUGGGGUUCUGUGACGUCUUGGUCUGGUUGUACAACACAAAUGUGCAGCUAUGACGAACUUUUAAUUAAAAAAACCCAAGUCUAAACGGUGUCCUAAGGGCUGUAUAUAUGGGGGAAUAGAGGGGAAUUUCGUGAUCCCUUGGAGGAGGGGUCAGAAAACAACCCUAACUCCGUUUCCCCACACAUACAGACUCUAAAAAUAACCUAUAAUGUGGUAUUUCGAAAUUACAUGGACCUGGCCUAAAAAUAAGGUGACACAACAUCCAUAAUGGCAUAUGGACGAAAUUUAUGAAGUGACAUCUUGUAUAUUUCGUCCAAGCCUUCAUGCUCUCAUUAUGGUGGCUUCAACGUGCGAAAAUCACCACGGAUAGCUCCAUUGUUCUUUCCUACGCGCGCAUGUUCUCCUCCAUGCUUGUUCCUGUUCCAAUGAUCACCCUUCUUGUCCAUGCUAGGUCUUCCAUUCAUAAGUAAAACAAAAGUAUCUAACUUAGGCAACAUCAUAUGUUCAUGAACAUUAGAAGGAUUUCUAAAAAAUGAAAGUACGUGAUAAUUCAAUUGAUAUGUGCGUGCUUUAGUAACAGGUCCAAUAUGUAUAGCACUAUAGCAGCAGAUAUUGUGAGUGUAACAAUGAUAUUGAUGUCCUCAUCAGAAUCAUUCUAAAGAUAGAUGCAGGUGUACUGAAGCAGGCAAUCACAAGCGACCAGUAUGACGAAUCGAGUCUAGGCGUAGUGUUUAAAGAAAUUUUAGCAAUGAUGCAAUCCUUUUUCAAUCUUGUAAAGCAGAAACUUGUCUUAGGGCUUGUAAUAUCUCUGCGCACUAUUUAGCUGCUCAUGGUGCAAUGCACAGAACCUAGGAGUAUUAGAUAUGGUUGGAUCCACUCCCUAGAUAUGUAAAAGACCUUGUCGCUGUUGAGUCCAACUUGUAUUAUUAAGGAUGCCUUAUUAGGGAUGUGUUUGGUUGCUCUCAUGGACUAAAAUGUCACGGGUUGAAUCCGUUACUAAGGCCCUGUUUGGAACCACUCAGAUUAUAUAAUUCAGUUUUUAUAAUCUAUGAUGUCUCCAAACAGGACAGAUUACGAUGUAGAUUAUAAAAACUAGUUGGACAGAUUAUUAAAAACUCAUAAUCUACUCUACCCCACCUAAAAUCAGAUUAUGGAUUGCUAAUGACCCAUUACCCUUGUAAAAUUAGAGUUAAUUACAUUCCUACCACCGUCGUCCUCCUUUUUUUUAAAAAAAGACAAACAAGUCAUUAUGCAAUGUAAAAUCUGGAUUACAGUUCAUAUAAUCUGGCCUACAAACAUGUCCACCUAGAUUAUUUUUAUAAACCAGAUUAUAUAAUCUAUCUUCAUAAUCCAGAUUAUCAUAAUCUAUUGUGGUUCCAAACAGAACCUUAAGUUUGUUUCGAGUCCCCGAUCAUUCCACCACUGAAUAUUCUAUCCAGAUUCGAAAUGUGCCGAUACCACCAAAUCCACUGAAUCACCGGGAACCAGGCUCCUCCGCUCGACCGGCUCCUCCUCUCGUCCUGCUCAGGUGCGCCGGCCUCUUCCUCCCUCCCUUCCCUGCGUCGCCGGCCCUCUUCCUCCCUCCAUUCCCUGCGCCGCCGGCCCUCUUCCUCCCUCCCUCCGUCUGCCGCGCCGCCGUCAACCCUCGAUGUGCUGCGCCGCCGUCAACCUUCCUCCCUGCUGCACCGCCGGCCGUCUACCUCCCUCCCUCGUUCUCAUCCUCUCUCGAUCUGAUCUGAUGCAACUCAUUUCUUUCUUGAUCUGCAGGAUAGAAGGAGAACAAGGCAGGGUACUCCGGCGUGGCGGCAUUGCGAAGCAGAGCUUCCUCUCCUGAAGGUACGAACCUUCUUCCUCACACAUAAAAGAACAGACUCACACAUAAAAGCAAGCGCGGCACCGCCCUAGUCUCCUCUCUAUUGCGGCCUCCGCCUGGAUCUGACUGGAUCCUCAGCCCACUGCCGCGAAUUCCUCUCGUUUCUUCUGCCUUGCGUCGGUAAGUAACCUAGCCUGAAAUCUGCAUCGAUUUCUCUUGUUCUAAGCCAGCCUAGCCCAGCUCUUGUUCGAUGUCCAAUCCAGACCCUUGUUCUAGGUUUUGGGGCGGAUUGAUGGCCGCAUGCAGCCAGGAUGUGGACCCGGCCAUCCUGGAUGCCUCGUGCCUGCGUGGCGGCACCACUGCCGGCUGGAGUUGUAGUAUGAGUGGAGGGGAAUCGGCUUCAGCGCCUUUGAGGAGCAAAUGCACAGAGCCGCGCCUUAGCCUACAAUAUCUGCCACUCAUUCUACAUGGGACACACAGGAUUGUCUGAAACCAAAACUCACACAGACUUGGUAGUCAUCAGGAGAGACAGAGGAAUAGCAGCAGCGAUGGCACUAGGCACUCUCCAGCCUCAAGUUUUUCACACAAAAUAUUUGAUGCUAAAGACCAGGUUGUUAGUUUUCUGGUCAUUCGGCUCUCACUUAGCUCACUGGUGUUCGAAAAAUCUAACAAUAUGCACUGAAAAACCUGACAUGACUCAAUUCGCUGCCCUUUUUCUGAUGGCCUUCAUUGGCACAAACAAAUUUGCAAGAGGUUACCUUACCAUCAAAUUUGCUCACAUGGUUGUACCUUUUCCUCACAUCAAAGCCAGCACGACCACCAUAUGCUCUCCAAAAUAGCCAAGCCUCUGAACCUUUAAAUAACAUGCCAACUUGAGGCAUCCCCUUUACAGAUUGUGCAUUGGGCGGACGGCCAUCCACCGGUGCGGCACGACCAUAUCCCUUGCCUCCGUGGCGGCACGAGCUUCACCCCUUGCCGUGGCACCUCCUCGCUCUCUAGUGGAUGCGGUGCGAGGCCCUGCUCCCUCUCCUCUGUGGGGGAGCGGCUCUCUCUCUCUCUCUCUCUCUCUCUCACGGCGGCACGACACGGCUUGACUCCCUCUCUCUCCUCGGUGAGCUCGCCUGUCAAACCCUCACCUCCGUCGAGCGGCUCAGGAGAACUCGAUCCCACCCGCGUGCAAAAACCCCUCGCCCCGCCUCUGUCUCUCCUGAAAACUACCAAGUCUGGGUGUAUUUUGGUUUCAGUCAAUCCCGUGCAUCCGAUGUAGAAUUGAGUUGCAGAUAUUGUAGGCUAAGGCGCUCUGUGCCUUGGCUCUUCAAAGGCACUGAAGCUGAGUCCAGUAGGAGUAUAUGUUAUGUUCAUCUCAGAGUCCUCGGCUACCGCUACCACAUCUCUUCUUUUUAGCCUUUGAAUGCCAGUGUAAUUUCAAAUCAUUUAUGUUCAGUUGGUGAACCAAACAACACAUAAAAUGUCUUGCUUAUAUUCUUCUUCGUGUUUAUUGUGCAGCUAUCGGGAAACUGUUAACCUUGACACUCUAUCAAGGUGCAAACACAGCUGCUGACCAAUAAUUUGGGUCAUGUCUACGCCCGCUUGCAAAGACGGGGCUAAUCUUGACGACAACCAUCCCAACGGGCGACGUGCCAAGUCCAAACAUGCUCACCCGUUUGACCCCGAGAACCGCGGACCAUUGGUCUUUUUUGUCUUAGUCAUAAUUUUCUUCUGCUGCGUGAUUGUGAUCGCAGCUUUCAAUGAGGACGCAGCUUUCAAUGAGGACCAACCACCUGGCGUUGGCGAUAUCUUCCUCCGACUUAUAGGAAAAAGUGGGCUUGAUCCCGGUGCCUCUCCGCCGACUUCGCCGGCUUUCCGCCUUGUGUUGGACUUCGAACGAACACCACAAACCUACCGGCGCUGCAGCGGAGGAGGCAACUCGUUGCUGCACGUCUCCUACCAUGACAUGAUCCUGGCGUGGGCUCAAGUGCCAGAUUUCUGCAUCUACGGCGACCGGGGCAUUGGCAGUGUUGGUACCUUGGAGGUGGAGGCCAAGGCAGACGCCUCCGUGCUGCGAGAGGAGGUGCGCAACUUGCUUUGGAGCGAGAUUCAGGUCGUGGGGAAGGUCAAGUUCGACGUGCAAGGAGAGGUCGUGGGCCUAGGGUAUCUUCGCUGCGAGUUCUUCAUCAUGAAAGAUAAGGCUGCGCAUGUGCCCAAGAGCCUGUGCAUCCUCCGUCAAUAGGCUGGACCUAUGCCUUCUGAUAAGGGUGUUAUAUAUUCUCCCUUCUGUCACUGGAUUGCAUUUACUUUUGUAAUAGCUGCUAUAUUCUGCUUUGAAAUAAAACAAAACAAUUUCAGCUGCAUAUUGUUUUUAAAGAUUUGUACCGAUGCCUUGAGCCAAGCAAAUGAGUGCAACAGUGCCUCCCUCUCCCAGUCUACAUAUUAGCUGUUUUUCCCCUUGGUUCUGUAUAAGUCAGAUGCAACUGAAAACCGCAUAGCUACCCUGUUCAAGUCUACAUAUUAAUUAACUGUUUUUCCCUUGGCUCUGUAAGUCUGAUGCACCUGUAACCCAAUGGAUACGCUUUAAGUGCUCAGGUACUGGUACCGAACUAGGACAUUUCACCAUCUUAUGCCUAAUUUUUGUCUUAACCAAGAAAGGAAUUUGAAUGCGAAAUGGGCUUCUUUUUCAUUGUUUGAAUUGUAUCACUGCUAGUUAUGAUUGGUUCUGUUCUCUUACUCCCCAAGCUUCAGAAUAUCAAGCAUGAAUGGUGCAUUGUACUUCCUCCGUAAACUAAUAUAAAAGCAUUUAGAACACUAUCUUAGUUAUCUAAAUGCUCUUAUAUUAGUUUAUAGAGGGAGUAGCAGUUAAUUAAAUCACACAUAUAUAGUGAUAAUAGCACACAAUUUGUUGAACAAGUAGCUUUAUGUAGCAUGAAGAAUCAGUAUUUCCGACACAAUGAAGGACUAUGUUGCUCUAUGCCAAUGCGUGUGAACUGAACUAUUAGCGAGCAUGUUUGUUUUUGGCAGGUGUGAGGGCCCUAUUGCGAAUUUGCGAUGCUCAGGCUCUAAAUUAACCAGGCAGAGUUUGGACAUGAUUAGAUUGGUGAAGGUAGAUGCUAGGUAAAACCUCCCACCCGGCCUACACCCUCUUUGAUGUCAUUCGGAACAUGUAUUAGUUCUUCACCACAAAGGACAUUGAUGUAAAUGAUCAGGUGGUUAUGCUUGACAAUAUUCUGCGGGAACUAAACUGGACACAUCAUCUUUUGAACUAAAUUGGUUCCAGAGAGUGACGUUGGUUGCGUAAGUUGACGCUUGCCAUUUAUAUAAUUGUUUUCCUUAUAUAAUGCUUGAAUGUGCUGACACGUAAUAUAUCCAGGUGUACGUGUUAGUAAAAAGUUGGUCCCUCGAUGAUUUGUAUGUUGGCCAAAUUUACUGUUUUGACCCUUUGCUGAAAGUUAAACCUGAUCUGACCCCGCUUGAAAAAAAUAAUCGAACCUGAGCCUUUUGCUAUCGUCGACACCCUUGGCGGCGGGGUAUAAAGAUCGUAAAAAGAUCUCUAAGUUGUGGACACAGUACGCGCGUGUGUCUAUCGUCACAUGCGUGAACCUCUUCUUGGAUUGCUUCAUUUUAAACUUCUUCAAAACUUUAUCAAGGUAUGUGCUUUGUGAAAGUCCUAUUAGGCGCCUCGAUCUAUCUCUAUAGAUCUUAAUACCUAAUAUGUAAGCAACUUCUCCUAGGUCUUUUAUUGAAAAACAUUUGUUCAACUAAUCCUUUACGCUCUCUAAAAACUCCACAUUGUUUUCAAUCAGCAAUAUGUCAUCCACAUAUAAUAUUAGAAACGCUAGAGAGCUCCCACUCACUUUCUUGUAUAUACAAGAUUAUCCAGCAGUUUGUAUAAACCCAAACGCCUUGAUCACCUCAUCAAAGCGCUUAUUCCAACUCCGAGAUGCUUGCACGAUUCCAUAAAUGGACCGCUAGAGCUUGCAUACUUUGUUAGCAUUCAUAUACAAUUCUUCCUUAAGAAAACCAUUAGGGUGUGUUUGGUUGGAGAACCAACUGUCAUGGAAUGGAACGGUUCCAUUUCAGAGGAACGGGUCGGUUCCAUUCCUGUGUUUGGUACGAGCAAAAAAGUGGAACGGGAUGGUUCCGUUCCAGUGUUUGGUUGGGAGGCAUGGAAUGAAAAAUGGAAUAACAAAAAUUCAAAAUUUCAGCAGCAUUUCGUUUGUAUUUUGAAGAAAAACAACACAACAAUAUAUGUAUUGACAUGUAACACAAUUUGCAGCAACAAUAUCAUUAAAUACCAAUCAGGUUCACAUACUUGUCAAGUGCACUACAGCCAUACUUGACAAUCAGCCACAUCCAAAAGCAAACACCCAAAUAUCCAAAGCAAAGUGCACUACAGCCAUACAUGUUGUUCGCAUACGAAAUACACAAAAGCAACCAAAUGGCACUACAGCCAUACAUGUCAAGUUCGCAUACUUGACAACCAUACAACCAUAUCGAAUUUAGAAGUUCUUCUUCACAUACCUACUCACCCAAACAGAUUUGUUGGUUUGGGAAAGUGUCAUGAAGGCUUUUGUGAUCUUCGGAUUGUCAACAAGAUGAGCAUAGUAGUGGGCUAGGUGCUCUUCAUCAAAUUCUCCCAACUUGCAGACCUCAUCCCAAAGUUCAGCGGGUAUAUCAUCAUCAUCCCCAGACUUCACAAGAGCAUCAGCCACAAGUUUGAACCAGUAAUUGAGAGUCGUACCUAGUGGAUCUUCAAGAACUUUCACUACCUUAGCCUUCUUUUUUGGUGGUCCUUUGGGGUGAGAGGACUCAGCAACAUUUGGUGAUGUGUUCACCUCACCAUUCUCCUCAUCUUCCACAUUAAUAUAAAGUAGAUCAUUCCCAGACCUAGCAUUGAUCCCCGAAGCAGCGGUUGUCCCAAAGAUGGUCGCCAUAGCAUGAUAGUGUUCAAUUGGGGUGUUCAAGUAAGGGGCAUUAGCUUUGUGUGCCUACAAAAAAUGUGCAAGUGAUUAGCAUAAUGUAGGCCGAAAAUAGCAUGAUAAUGUAGGCCUACAAAAAAUCUCAUAGCAUUAGAAGCUUACCAUGCAAUGACCUGCAUAGUGUUUCCACUUGCAGCGGUGACUUCGGUAUUGUCCAUUUCUGUCAAGACAUCAAAAGGUUGCAAAAAAUGGAUUAUAGUUUAACAAAAUCAUGGUUUCAGCCAUCAAAUAUCAUAGAUGAUGCAAUCUGUCCAGCCAUCAAAUAAAUCCAAAGGAGUGGUUUCAACACUACAAAUACAUGGUUUUAACACAAUAAAUGAUACAUGAUACAUGGAGUGUCACACACUCAUAAAUUUGCAUACAUGAUUUUCCUAUCUUCCCACAUUUGGGCGGCAAUUUGCAGCCUACGGUCUACCGUGGCCCUAUGGUCACUUGCUUGUUGCCUUGUUGUUCGAAUUGGUUGGGUGGUCCAUGUCACUUCCGGUAUAAUAAAUUCAUCAAUCCCUUCCCAACCAGCCAACACAUAUGUGAAGCGUAGGUCAAAAUCUACCGCUGCCAUCACAUUUUGAGUGGUGAAGGCCUUCCUACCUCGAAAAGAAUGCUCCACAUCUUUGGUAACACCUGCUCGCACAUGUGUACCAUCGAUAGCUCCAAUACAAUCCUAUAUAGUGACAAGUAUUAAAUGGCAUAUCAUAUAGCCUUCAUAGCUAGCGAAUAGUUUCUGAGUUUACCUUAAAAUAUGGGUCAAAUCGAUGAUUUCCAGCAAUUUUGGCAGGGGUCUCCAAUGAUGGUGGCCUUAUGUAAUCAUUACAAAGCUCGCCUAUGGCAUGAAGAGCCUUUCUAAAGUAGAUGCUGGUUGUGCCAUAUGAUCUAAAAAAAUGGCUGAAAUAACCCUAUUCCGAACAUUGUGCCCAAUUGUAUGUAAAAGCAUCGCUAAUUGUUGCUCCACGCUAAGAUGUGGACUGUCUUCUAGCAACUUUCGAUCCCUCAGUAUGCCACACAAGCGAAAAAACGCAGCUCUUUCAAACCUUAACAUGUUUUUACACAACACAUCGCUUUUCCAAAUUUUUUGGUCUAGAUAAUCAAAUCUGACCCGAUCUCUUUCAUGCAUUAGGCCAUAUGUAAUACGUGGUCUUCUCUUCCUUAUUAUAGCUCUAACAAUGACUGCUAUUGCAGCAAGUGUGACAAAAACUGCAGCUCCCCUAAUCAUCCUUUUUCUUUUGUUCAUCUUCUUGACCAUCUACAAUUGCUAUCAAAUAUUACAAAGAUGUACUGGACAGAUAUAUUGCAAAGAUGUACUGGACAGAUAUAUUGCAAAGAACAAAAAAAAAAAUUGCUAGACAACACCAAUUUGAGCAAAAAAAUGUGCUGGACAUCAGCAUAUCCAAGGAGAUAGACAGAGGGAUUCGUACCUUGAGGAGAGGAGCGUCUCGUUCGCUGUGUCGCCGCGCCGGAGUAGCACCUUCUUCACCUUCUACCUGCAGAUCAAGACAUGGCAGGAAUCAGCAGAGAAAGAGGGAGGGAGCCGGCGGCGCAGCAGUAGAGAGACGGAGGGGCCGGCGGCGCGGCGCGACAGCAGAAAGAGGGAGGGGCCGGCGGCGCGAUAGGGAGAGGGGUCAUCGGCGCGGCAGCAGAGAGAGGGAGGGGCCGGCGGCGCAGCAGCAGAGAGAGGGAGGAGCCGGCGGCGCGGUAGCAGAGAGAGGGAGGAGCCGGCGGUGCAGCAGCAGAGAGAGGGAGGGACCGGUGGCGCGGCGCAGCAGCAGAGAGAGGGAAGGGCCGACGGCGCGGCAGGGAGAGGGCCGGCGGCGCGGCAGAGAGGGAGAGAGAGGGCCGGCGGCGCACCUGGGGAAGGAGGAGACGAGGAUAGGGUUGCGCGAGAGGAGAGGCUCGUUCCGUGUGAUUCCGUGGAUUUCCUCGUGCUAGCACGUUCCGGAUCUGAGUGGAAUAUUCCCUAAAGUGGAAUGAGUGGGUUCUGUUCCGGUUGGUAAACCAAACGCAGGAACGAGGACUAGGAACGAGGACUAGGAACGGGUCCGACCCGUGACAUUCCAGCCCAUGACAGCAACCAAACACACCCUUAAGGAACGCCGUUUUGACAUCCAUCUGUCAGAUUUCAUAAUCAAAAAAUGCAGCUAUUGCUAACAUGAUUGGGACGGAAUUAAGCAUCGCUACCGGUGAGAAUGUCUCAUCGUAGUCAACUUCUUGAACUUGUGAAAAACCCUUUGCCACAAGUCGAGCUUUAUAAAUGGUCACAUUAGCGUCCGCGUCCGUCUUCUUCUUAAAGAUCCAUUUGUUUUGAAUAGCCUUGCGACCUUCAGGUAAUACUUCUAAAGUCCACACUUUGUUUUCAUACAUAGAUCCUAUCUCGGAUUUCAUGACCUCUCGCCAUUUGUUGGAAUCCGGGCCCACCAUUACUUCUUCAUAAUUCGCAGGCUCAUUGUUGUCUAACAACAUGAUAGAUAAGACAGGAUUCCCGUACCACUCAGGAGCAGUACGUGAUCUUGUCGACCUGCGAGGUCCGAUAGUAACUUCAUCCAAAGCUUCAUGAUCAUCAUCAUUAGCUUCCUCCUCAACUGGUGUUGCCUCGACAAAGAUUUCUCUCUGCCCUGCGCCACCAUCCUGUUGGAGCAGAGGUUCCACAACCUCAUCAAGUUCUAUCUUCCUCCCACUCAAUUCUUUCGAGAGAAACUCCUUCUCAAGAAAAGCUCCGUUCGUAGCAACAAACACUUUGCCCUCGGAUCUGAGAUAGAAGGUGUACCCAACUGUCUUUUUUGGGUAACCUAUGAAGAUGCACGUUUCCGCUUUGGGUUCCAGCUUUUCAGGCUGAAGCUUUUUAAACAUAAGCAUCGCAUCACCAAACUUUAAGAAACAACAACUUUGGUUUCUUGCCAUGCCAUAGCUCAUAUGGUGUCAUCUCAACGGAUUUUGACGGUGCCCUACUUAAAGUGAAUGCAUCUAUCUCUAAUGCAUAACCCCAAAAUGAUAAUGGCAAAUCGGUAAGAGACAUCAUUGAUCGCACCAUAUCUAACAAAGUACGAUUACGACGUUCGGACACACCAUUACGUUGUGGUGUUCGAGGCAGUGUCAACUGUAAAACGAUUCCACAUUGUCUUAAGUGAGCACCAAACUUGAAACUCAGAUAUUCGCCCCCUCGAUCAAAUCAUAGGAACUUAAUUUCUUGUUACGAUGAUUUUCAACUUCACUCUGAAAUUGUUUGAACUUUUCAAAUGUUUCAGACUUGUGCUUCAUCAAGUAGAUAUAUCCAUACCUACUCAAAUCAUCAGUGAAGGUGAGAAAAUAACGAUAUCCGCCGCGUGCCCCCACACUCAUUGACCCGGACACAUCGGUAUGUAUGAUUUCCAACAAGUCACUUGCACGCUCCAUUGUUCCAGAGAACGGAGUCUUAGUCAUCUUGCCCGUGAGACAUGGUUCACACGUGUCAAGUGAUUCAAAAUCAAGUGACUCCAAAAUCCCAUCAACAUGGAGUUUCUUCAUGCGCUUUACACCAAUAUUACCUAAGCGGUAGUGCCACAAAAAGAUGGCGCUAUCAUUGUUAACUCUACAUCUUUUGGUCUCAAUGUUAUGGAUAUGUGUGUCAUCACAAUCAAGAUUCAAUAUGAACAAACCCCUCACAUUGGAUGCAUGACCAUAAAAGAUAUUACUCUAAAAAUAGAACAACCAUUAUUCUCUGACUUAAAUGAGUAACCGUCUCCCAAUAAACAAGAUCCAGAUCUAAUGUUCAUGCUUAACACACGCACUAAAUAACAAUUAUUUAAGUUCAUAACUAAUCCCGAUGGUAACUGAACUGAGACUGUGCCAACUACGAUUGCAUCAAACUUGGAACCAUUUCCCACGCGCAUCAUCACUUCAUCCUUUGCCAGCCUUCGUUUAUUCCGCAAUUCCUACGAGGAGUUGCAAAUGUGAGCAACAAAACCGGUAUCAAAUACCCAGGCACUACUACGAAAGUUGGUUAGGUACACAUCAAUAACAUGUAUAUCACAUAUACCUGGUUUUGCGUUGGCCGCCUUCUUAUCAGCCAAAUACUUGGGGCAGUUGUGCUUCCAGUGACCCAUCCCCUUGCAAUAAUAGCACUCUGUUUUCGGGUUAGGUCCAGCCUUGGGUUUUUUUCGUCGGAGGGGCAACAGUUUUGCCGCUCUUAUUGGAGUUACCCUUCUUUCCUUUGCCGUUUCUCUUGAAACUAGUGGUCUUAUUGACCAUCAACACUUGAUGUUCUUUCCGGAGUUUUGACUCUGCGACUUUCACAUCGCAAAUAACUCGUCGGGUGACUUGUUCAUCCCUUGCAUGUUAUAGUUCAACACAAAGCUCUUGUAGCUAGGUGGUAGUGAUUGAAGAAUUAUGUUAGUGAUAGCCUCUUGCGGGAGUUCAACUCCCAGCUCAGCUGGACGGUUUGAGUACCCAGACAUUUUGCGCACAUGUUCACUGACACACGAAUUCUCCUCCAUUUUGCAAGCAUAGAAUUUAUCGGAGGUCUCAUACCUAUCGAUCCGGGCAUUCUUGUGAAAGAUAAACUUCAACUCCUGGAACAUCUCAUAUGCUCCAUAACGUUCAAAGCGUCGCUGAAGUCCCGGUUCUAAGCCAUACAAGACUGCACAUUGAACUACUGAGUAGUCCUCCUUACGUGCUUGCCAAGCAUUCAAAACAUCUUGUUCAGACGUAGCGGGUGGUUCAUCUCCUAGCGCUGCAUCAAGGACAUAAUUCUUUUUCCCAGCUUGUAGGAUAAGCCUCAGAUUAUGAGCCUAGUCUACAAAGUUUCUACCAUCAUCUUUCAGCUUAGCUUUCUCUAGAGACGUAUUGAAAUUCAGGGUUGCUACUACGUGAGCCAUUGAGCUACAACAUAAAAAUAUUGCAAAGUGUACUUAGACUAUGUUUCAGACAAUUAGAGUUUAGCUAAUCAUAUUACUAACAAACUCCCACUCAAAUAGGCAUCCCUCUAGUUAUUUGAGUCUGGCAUGAUCCAAAUUUCAAUAACUCAAGUCCGAUCAUCACGUGAGUUGAGUGUAGUUCCAGUGGUAAACAUCUCUAUGUUAAUCAUAUCGACCAUACGAUUCAUGCUCGACCUUUCGGUCUCUUGUGUUCCGAGGCCAUGUCUGUACAUGCUAGGCUCGUCAAGUUUAACCCGAGUGUUCCGCGUGUGCAACUGUUUUGCACCGUUGUAUGUGAACGUUGACUCUAUCACACCCGAUCAUCACGUGGUGUCUCGAAACGACGAACUGUCGCAACGGUGCACAGUCGGGGAGAACACAAUUUUAUCUUGAAAUUUAGUGAGGGAUCACCUUAUAAUGCAACCGUCGUUCUAAGCAAGAUAAGGUGCAUAAAAGGAUUAACAUCACAUGCAAUUCAUAAGUGACAUGAUAUGGCCAUGAUCUUGUGCUUCUUGAUCUCCAUCACCAAAGCACUGGCAUGAUCUUCAUUGUCACCGACGCCACACCGUGAUCUCCAUCAUCAUGAUCUCCAUCAUUGUGCCGCCAUCGAGGUUGUUGUGCUAUCUAUGCUAUUACUACUAAAACUACAACCUAGCAAUAUAGUAAACGCAUCUGCAAACACAAACCUUAGUUUAAAGACAAUCCUAUGGCUCCUGUCGGUUGCCGUAGCAUCGACAUGCAAGUCGAUAUUUAACUAUUACAACAUGAUCAUCUCAUACAUCCAAUAUAUCACAUCAUGUCUUUGUUCGUAUCACAUCACAUGCAUACCCUGCAAAAACAAGUUAGACGUCCUCUAAUUUGUUGUUGCAUGUUUUACGUGGCUACUAUGGGUAUAUAGUAUGAUCGCAUCUUACUUACGCAAAACCACAACCGUGAUGUGCAAAUUGCUAUUUAACCUCUCUCCAAGGACCGCCUCGGUCAAAACCAAUUCAACUAAAUUUGAAAAAACAGACACCCGUCAAUCAUCUUUAUGCAACAAGUUGCAUGUUAGUCGAUGAAACCGGUCUCUCGUAAGCGUAUGAGUAAGGUUGGUCCGGGCCGCUUCAAUCCAACAAUACCGCCGAAUCGAGAAAAGACUAAGGAGGGCAGCAAAUUGAAUAUCAACGCCCACAAAAACUUUUGUGUUCUACUCGAUAUUACAUCUACGCAUGAACCUAGCUCUGAUACCACUGUUGGGGAACGUUGCAUGGGAAACAAAUUUUUUCCUACACGCACGAAUACCUAUCAUGGUGAUGUUCAUCUACGAGAGGGAGAUCAGAUCCACAUACCCUUGUAGAUCGCUAAGCGGGAAGCGUUAAGAAACGCGGUUGAUGUAGUGGAACAGCUUCGUGAUUCAAAUCACCGUCGUCCCAUGAUCCAUCCCGAUCUAGCGCCGAACGAACGGCACCUCCGCGUUCAGCACACGUAAAGCUCGAUGACGAUCUCCGCCUUCUUGAUCCAGCAAGAGAGACGGGGAAGUAGAUGAGUUCUCCGGCAGCGUGAUGGCGCGCCGGUGAUGGUGAUGAUCUAUUCCUGCAGGGCUCCGCCCGAGCUCCGCAGAAAACCAAUCUAGAGGAAGAACUACGAAGUAGAGGUUUAGGGUUGCACGUGGCAAAGUUUGACUCAAAAACCCUAAAACCUCUAGUAUAUAUAGUAGGAGGGGAGGGGCUAGCCUUGGGGCUCAAGAGAGCCCCUAGGGCGUCGGCCGAGUGGAGGAGGAAGGACUCCAACUCCAAUUCGGUUUGGGAAGGAGGAGUCCCUUCCUUCCUUCCCACCUCCCUCAUUUUUUUCUCCAUGAUUUUCUUUCCUUGUCUGAAAUAGUCCACUUGGGCUGGCCUCACCAUCCCACCAAGGGCUGGUGUGCCACCCAUGGGCUAUUAGGUUCACUCCCGGGUGGGUGGCCCCCUUCCGAUAAAAACCCGGGACCCAUUCGUCACUCCCGGUACAGUGUCGGUAAUACCUGAAAUCUUUCCAGAGGCCAAAUGAAACAAUCCUAUAUAUCAAUCUUCGUUUUCGGACCAUUCCGGAAACCCUCGUGACCUCCGUGAUCUCAUCUUGGACUCCGAACAAACCUUCGGUCACCAACACCUAUAACUCAACUAUACCGAAACGUCACCGAACCUUAAGUGUGCAGACCCUGCGGGUUCGACAACUAUGCAGACAUGACCUGAGACACUCCCCGGUCAAUAUUCAACAGUGGGACCUGGAUGUCCAUAUUGGAUCCUACAUAUUCUACGAAGAUCUUAUCGGUUGAACCUUUGUGCCAAGGAUUCAUAUAAUCCCGCAUACCAUUCCCUUUGUCCUUCGGUAUGUUACUUGCCCGAGAUUCGAUCGUCGGUAUCCCUAUACCUAUUUCAAUCUCGUUACUGGUAAGUCUCUUUACUCGUUCCGUAAUACAAGAUCUCGUGACUAACACUUUAGUCACAUUGCUUGCAAGGAUUGUAUGUGAUGUUGUAUUACCGAGUGGGCCCCGAGAUACCUCUCCGUCACACAGAGUGAGAAAUCCCAGUCCUGAUCCAUGCUAACUCAAAGGACACUUGAGGAGAUACCUGUAGAGCACCUUUAUAGUCACCCAGUGACGUUGCGAUGUUUGAUACACACAAGGUAUUCCUCCGGUGUCAGUGAGUUACAUGAUCUCAUGGUCAUAGGAAUGAAUACUUGACACGCAGAAAACAAUAACAACAAAAUGACACGAUCACAUGCUACAUUUAUAGUUUGGGUCUUGUCCAUCACAUCAUUCUCCCAAUGAUGUGAUCCAGUCAUCAGGUGACAACAUUUGCAUAUGGUUAGAAAACCUUAACCAUCCUUGAUCAACUGGCUAGUCAACUAGGGGCUUACUAGGGACAUAGUUUUGUCUAUAUAUCCACACAUGCAUUUAUGUUUUCAUUCAAUACAAUUAUAGCAUGGAUAAUAAACGAUUAUGUUGAAAUAGGAAAUAUAAUAAUAACUAUUUUAUCAUUGCCUCUAGGGCAUAUUUCCAACAGUGAGAUCUGAGGUACUCCGGGCCAAACACUUGCACAAUUCUGAAUGCGAAGCGCUUGACACACAUCAUGGCUUGGCUCUCAUCCAUGGCCAAGUGAUCAUCAACUAGAUCAGCGGGAAUACCAUAUGCCAACAUACGCAAAGCAGCUGUCACCUUCUGAAAGGUGUUAUGCCCGAGCUCUCCGGCAGCAUUCCUCCUCAGCUGAAAAAACCGGUCAUGGCUCGCUAGUUUCUCUGCAUUGUACCUGAACAACUCGGUGCUCAUCCUAAACCGACGACGAAAGUACGAGUCGAGGUAUGUGGGAUUCUCCACAAAAUAGUGCCUCAUCAAUAUGUUGUGGGCAUCAACCCUAUCCCUCCAAAUUUUCUGCCGACCCAUAACCGAACCACCGUGCUUCGAUUUUUUAUUGAUGUGCAUAGCUAGGAUCAUUACAAGAUCCUCCUCCUCUUCCAUAUCAAAUUCUUCUGCGGAAGAAUCAUAUGCCGAACUCAUCUAAAAUGUUCAAAACUAGGCUAUAAACAACAUGCACCAAAAUUCAUGUAAAAAUGUGAAGUUAGAAGCAAUACAUACCUUGCGAGCCUUUUGUCGAACACCUUGCGGGCACCAAGCGGCAGUGGGAGGCCGGGUGCUGUUCGUCGGAGGACUGCCGCGCGCGACGGACGGCGCUGAUGAGAGAGAGGGAGGAAGUCGCGGCCGCACGGGGAGAGACGCGGAAGCGCCGGAACAGUCGCCGGAGAAAUGGGGUGGCGCGGACGGCGACGACGGUGCGGCUAGAUGGGUAGGUGGAGUUUCGCGCGAGCGCUCGAGAGUUCAGCGCACGGGAGCGGAUGGAGCAAAUAAGCGGCGCGCGAUGGCGUUUCCUCCCGCGCGCUGAAUUACAUAUGCCGCGCGCGUGGUUUUUGCGUGUCCGCUGGAGCACACGGAACGAUAGCGCGCGCGCUAAAAUGACUACUUUUUUAGCGUGGCGCCUAUAUAGCGCGACUGUUGGAGAUGCUCUGAGGGCCCUAUUGCGAAUUUGCGAUGCUCUAACCACGCAGAGUUUGGACAUGAUUAGAUUGAUGAAGGUAGAUGCUAGGUAAAACCUCCCACGAGGCCUACACCAUCUUUGAUGUCAUCCGGAACAUGUAUUAGUUCUUCACCAUAAAGGACCUUGAUGCAAAUGAUCAGGUGGUUAUGCUUGACAAUAUUCUGCGGGAACUAAACUGGACACGUCAUCUUUUAGUAAAUGAAUCAAUGCAAACUAUAUUUAAUGGUUAUGUCUUGCUAGUAACACAAGAAAAAUACAUUUGGGUAGUACUAGGCUCCGGCGCGCCGACCCGAACACUCGUGUCGGUCGCAGCGUAGCCGUUAGAUUGAGGAUCCUUUGAUCGUCAGAUCUCCUCUUUCGUCGUCAACCUCGAGCCAUGAACGCGAGUCCCUUGCCGGUCAUCCUCGUUCAACACGCAACGACGCUCCCCACCCCUUCCCUCCCCCUGCCCUCCGGCGGUCGAGGGUCCUUCUUCCAUCGCCCCCUCUCGCCAAACGUCCUCGCCGUCGGUCGCCAUCCUUAUAGAGCCAACAAACGCGAGUACCUUGUCGUAUGUUCAUGCCAAUGACCGUUUGCAGCUUUUUAUAUGUCUCGUUGCAGCUUUUUUCAUCAACGGUUGUAGCAUUGUGGCAAUGACCGCUUGCAGCUUUUUAUAUGCCUGAUUGAAGCUUUUUCAUCUAGGUUUGAAGCUUUUUAAAAUAGUCAUUGCAGCAGUUUUGGGUGACGUUUGGUGAGACUGGUGAGGGAGAUGCUAGGUAAAAUCUCCCACCAGGCCUACACCCUCUUUGAUGUCAUUUGGAACAUGUAUUAGUUCUUCACCGCAAAGGACCUUGAUGCAAAUGAUCAGCUGGUUAUGCUUGACAAUAUUCUGCCGGAACUAAACUGGACACACCAUCUUUAUUAAAUGAAUGGAUGCAAAAUAAAUUUAACGGUUAUGUUUUGCUAUUAACACUUGGAGGCCCCCAAUGAAUCAUCUAUAUUAUGAGAGGCGCUAGAAAAAAAAGGUAAACCCAAUGAAUUCCAAUUCUCUUAAGAGAAUAGAAACAUCUGGUCAUCAACUUGUCAUAGCAGUCAUUUGAUAAUACACUUGAUGUCUCGUAAACAACAAUAAACUAACGGUAAGUACUAUUGGCCGCUGAUGGAGUUACUCUUGUCCAAGUUGAAUCACGACGUUGGAUCACUGAAUUGUUAUCUAAAGAAAAUGACACCUGAACUGAAGAUGCAGGCCAAUACUACAGGUACAUGACAAUGUCCCCUCCAAAGGUUCGACAUGUCCUCAUGGUGAUGAUGACGAAGGUGAAGCACGCCACUGUUGCUUGUCUCGCGGAAAAAAUGUUGGGAAUGUGCACUUCAUGAAGUAUGUGUCUUCCCAAGUCGCUUCUUCAGGUGAAAGGUUGGUCCACUGCACACAAGCAUUGAACGGCCGACAAGUUUCGCCACGGUAUUCGUCAGACCUGUAAGACCAUGGCUGGUGAAGUUUUGAGAGUACCAUCAGCGUUUGCAAUAGGCAUAUCAGGGCUAGGAUUGGCAUGCUUGCCCAAAUGCUUCUUCAACCGACUCACAUGAAAAACUGGAUGGAUCUUUUUGUGGCCAGGGAAUUGCGGUAAUUUGUAGGCUACAUUGCCCACUUUUUCUUAAUUAUGGCAAAAGGACCCUAGUAUUUGUGUUGUAAUUUGAUUGUUCGGCGACAUCCAAAAUCGACCAUACGAUGAGGUUCCAUCUUUAAGUAGACCCUCUUCAUUCUGUUUUGUCCAUGCUGUAAGAUGUUUUUUCAGCUACUCAUUCAUUCAUUUGUUCGAUCAAGGAAGAGUUAUCUGAAGAAAAUGACACCUGAACUGAAAGAUGCAGGCCAGAAAGGUGCAUGACACUAGACAAGACUGGGAAACAAAAACUGCUUUGAGAUUGGGAAAGGCACGUGGCGUCCUCUCUUCCAGUUCCAGAGAGGAUGAAGAGAUAGAGUCGGUCGGUCCGUUGGGGACUGGAUCGAUACGCAACAUACUCACGACGUAAAAGCGCUCCGCCGCCCAAGUCCUCCGUGUACUGCAGCCUCUGCCUCGCUGUGGCUUGGAUCCGCUGCCGUCGUUGCUGUUGACGCCGAUUUCAGCCGAAGUAAAACAUAGUGCUUAGAUAUUAUGCAAAUAAAAUAAUUUACAUAAAAUAAUCAAAUAAGAUAGUGAAUCACCGAAUACACGAAAAAAGGAUACAAUGAUGAAUUUUUGCCGCGCGUCUCAACAUAAAAUAACAAUAACAAAAAAAGAGACAUAUUAUCGUACAAACUACAUGACAUAUGACUUUCAUAUACAUAAGCCAUCAUCAACGGCUAAAUUCCAACGUUGACCUAGAUGCAAACAUCACCAAAAUGUUAUUUAUGAACAUUAUUCUGUCACCGCUAAAAGAAAUAUUGCACAAUAAUGUUUGUAUAAAAUAAUAUAGCGUACGAUGAUGUACGAGGGAAAAUAUCAAACCAUCAUAUAAUUAUCAGUAGAAGAAAUGCUUUUCCAUAUUACAACAACUAAUUUGGUCUAGCUAGCCCAAUCAUACAAAUGGCUACGUACAUAUAUGGUGCAAUUACAAGCUACGUGCAUGCAUGUAUUAUGCAUGGAUUAAUUAUGCGACAAGAUUAGGAACUAAUGAAGUAAUUAUCUAGCCCAUGCCCAAACGCAUACGCCCAUAUAGCAACAUCAUACGUAAUGGACGUCCUCCUCCCAUGCUUAGGCGUGCAUGCAUGGAUCAGGCUCCAAUUAUAUCAAAGGCCCACAGGUGAGCACCACAGGAGGGUGCGCACAAGAAAAAAAGACCACAACUUAAUUAAGCCCAUGUCAGAUGAUGGGACGUUGUCGGUCAAUUAUGAAUUAAAGAAAUAAAAGAAAGAAGGAAAGAGCAGCCAGCUCCACGGUCUCACACGAUCGCAUGAUCGAGGAUUGUGGGCACGCGCCACAAUGUCCCGCUGCUCGCCCGCUUGUUACAAAUAGCUGCUCGUUCAGCGUAGAGAGGGGCUCGCUGAUCCAUCUCACGUUCAUUCAGUCCAUCGCUGCUUUCAUCCAUCCAGCCACUGCUUCCAUACACAUCAGCCCAUCGUCAAGCACAUCAUCCAUCAUCGCUUCAUCGUAGUCGGCCGUCCGCUCGCCAUCGUCGCCACCGGCCGUUCGCUUGCCGCCGUCGUCAUCAUACGCUCGUCGUCGUCGCCGGCUGUUCGUCUCGUCGUCGUCGUCACUACGGUCAGCCGCUCGUCCGACUCUACCGCAAAGGUGAGAAACAAGGCAAGCUGAACUCCUUCCCCUACCACUCCGUACGUGGGAGAAAGAAAAGGUUGCGAGAUGGAAAUAUAAUUCAUUGUUUGCUCUAUGGUUGGCUACACUAACAUAAUCAUGGAGUCUUUCUCAUAAUUCUCAGUUUGGUCAUAUUGGCACAAACUAAGAAAUUAUAUCAUCAUAUUUGCUGCAUAAUUUCUUACUUCCUGGUUGAUCACAUUGAUACAAUCAUGGAGUUAUCUUUCAAUGAUUCUUAGUUUGGUUAUACUGACAUAAACUAGAGAAUCAUUUAUCCCAAAUUGCUACAUGUUUCCUUAUAUUCGUACAUGCCAAGUUGCUUCCUUAUCAUCAUGGAAAUUUGGUCCUUGGUUUGGUUACAUUGACACAAACCAAGUGGCAUUAAAACAUAUGUAUGUUUCUAAAAUUUGGCAUUUUGUUUGUUCAUGAUGACAUGCGUAAAUCUCCUCAAAUCAUAUAUCAUUAAAUUUUGGCGCUUGGUUUGGUCACAUUGACAUGAACCAGGUUGUCUUAAAACUAACGUUUGUUCCCAUAUUGAUACAAACCAAGACGCACUCUAAAUUCAUCUAUAAUUAAAUUAUGUACUUGGUUUGGUCACAUUGACACAAACCAAGUUGCUAAAAAUUGACAUCUUGAUAAAAUAUUGGCCCUUGGUUUGGUUAUAUUGACACAAACCAAGUGGCACUAAGAAACAUAUAUUCUUGAAAUUUGACAUUUAUUGGUUCAUGAUGGUAUUAUCUAAAUAUCUCUAAAUUCACAUAUCAUUAAGUUGGGCUUUUUGGUUUGGUCACAUUGACAUGAACCAAGUUGCACUAAAACUGUUUAGCUUGAUAAAAUCAUGCCAUUGGUUUGGUCAUAUUGACACAAACCAAGGUGUACUCUAAAUGUAUCUAGAGAUAAAUAUUGUGCUUGGUUUGGUCAUAUUGACAUAAGCCAAAUCACUUCAAAUGUAUAUCACUAAAUCAUGUUGCACCCUCCAUAUGUGUCAUUUAUCCUAUGAUGCAAAGUAAGAUGAAAUCAAAUAGUAUGCCUAGCUAAACCAAAACUAUGUUAUCACACCAAAUAUUUUGGUAGUAAAAUAAAUGAAGCUCGCCAGGUAAAUAUGUUAGCUCAAACAAAAUAUUGUAUGACAAGCAUACCAUGCAUUGCUUAAAUUCUCGUGCAUGUAGGAAAUACCACGCACAUGAUCCUAUACCCCUUUAGUGCAUGCGACAAUUAAUCAUUAAGGAAAACCAUAUAGUAUAAUCAAAAGUACAAUCUAAAACAAAAUGCAUCGGCCCCAAAUUAUGCUAGCCUGCAUCAUCGGCAAAUAACUAGAUAUUGGAGAAUCUAGUAUGCGCAUGCAAGGUAAAAUGAAUAUGUUGUACGUAGCUAAUUCUAAGCUAAUUGGCGUGCGUCUACCUGACUAAAAUGAGGUGUAUGGUCCCUGUAUAUGGACGUACACACACAUAAAAACAAACUAAAAGAUGACCAGAGUCAUAAUUUGAGUCUGACUGCACUUAAAAUAUUGUAGUGCAUGCGUUACCAAAGUAAAUCAAAUAUUUUAUCCCCCUCAUAUAUGUUAUGCUUAAAAAGCACAUCUAGCUUAUCUUCACAUAAGAUGAAAGUUAGACCACGCAUCCCUCAUACGGCUUGCAUAUAUUUAGAAAACAUAGAUAUAAUCAUUUACUUACAAAAGAAAGGGUACUAUGUCUGUCAGUACUAAAGUGUUUUACAUGCAUAGCAUACGUGCAUGAUUUCAUGCCCCAUAUUAUGAUGUUUGAAAGCUCAUCCAGCAGAUUGAUUAACCAUUAAUUAAGAUAAUCUCCACAUAUAAACUAAAGGGAAAUAGAUCAAAGUAUAUAUGUUGGUUAAUCAGUUCGGGAAAAUUGACAAAGCCAUUCAAGCAUGCAUACAUGUACUGCCAAUAUCAGUAUAAGUCAAAGAAAAAUAUAAAAUGAAAGGUAUUACAUGUGAUAACAUCAACAAAGUUCAAAGCUCCCCCGAGCAUGCCGACAUUGACGACAGCGAGGAGGAUCUUCCAUUUUAUUUUUUUUAGUUUGUAAUAGUCAUAUGUGAUGUAAUCCUUUGUAUUAGAAAUGUUGAAAUUCUUAAUCAGGGAUUUUCUCUUCGGAUAUGUAAUUAACAGUUCUUUUAUGUAAAUGUAAGAGUGCUGGAAAUAAAGUACCCGCAAUACUUGAUAUUUGUCUCGUUUACAUUCGCGCACUUUAAAUACUAUAUUCUAUCUGUCUCUAUGACGUGGACGAGAAGUUAGUAUUUUUCUAUCACCCCAUUUUCCCGUCAUCAGUCGCCGCCUCUACUCGGAAGCGAAUCUCUCUUUUGUCGGUAAGCAAUCUAUAAGCUUCAAGUUUGCAUAGGUUUCUCUUGGCCCCUUGUAGUGUGUAUAUUGGAUAUAAGAUCCGUGCAUGAGCCUAGUUAUUAUUUAGAUUUUUCUUUUCCCGUCCUCUCUUUUCUCCACGGGCGCAUUGGUGUCCGCAGAUCCGGCCUACUCGCCGGGAGUAUGUGAUAUGUUCAUCUCCUCGUUGUAUACUACUAUAGGAGAUGCAUCCCAGACUCUUGAGAAAUUGCCUUCUCAAAACCAAGGCCGCUUACUUUUCAAAAUUGAUUAAAUCAUGUCUCUAAUUAGAGACGAGCAUAAUCCACACUGCUACCACAUCUCUCCUCUCCUUUAUAUGUGUGUGUAUAUGGUUGCGCUAUUCGUCAUCCUGGGUGAGUUAUAGUUAUUCUUCACUCCCCUCUAUUUUAACGUCAAUGCAUCGUAAUUUUACAUUCUAUAAAUUUUGUCUUAUUUUAUAUGUAAAAAGAGACCUAAAAAUUAUAAUGAACAUAAAAAUAUUUUAUGUCACAUAAAAUUACGAACAUACAAAAAUAGUGUAAAAAAUACAAUAAAUUCAAUUUUUUUAGUCUUGUGACCUGUAUUUUUGUUUUUCUUUUGUUAAAUUGUAUGUAGUGAUUCAAUAUAAAUGUAACUAUUUGUAAUUCAAAUGUAUCUCUGGUGAAAAAUAAGCUAUUCCGCACCCGAGGUGAUGAAUAGAGUUUCUAAUACACAUAUAUAUAUAUAUAUAGGAAAAAUACAUCCUACCACCCAGGGGUAGUUACCCUACAUGUUCCAUAUACUAUCAUGUGGUAGUAUAUAUAUUAAUUUAUCAUUUUUAUUAUGUUCUAUAUUAUAUAUAAGAUUNNNNNNNNNNNNNNNNNNNNNNNNNNNNNNNNNNNNNNNNNNNNNNNNNNNNNNNNNNNNNNNNNNNNNNNNNNNNNNNNNNNNNNNNNNNNNNNNNNNNNNNNNNNNNNNNNNNNNNNNNNNNNNNNNNNNNNNNNNNNNNNNNNNNNNNNNNNNNNNNNNNNNNNNNNNNNNNNNNNNNNNNNNNNNNNNNNNNNNNNNNNNNNNNNNNNNNNNNNNNNNNNNNNNNNNNNNNNNNNNNNNNNNNNNNNNNNNNNNNNNNNNNNNNNNNNNNNNNNNNNNNNNNNNNNNNNNNNNNNNNNNNNNNNNNNNNNNNNNNNNNNNNNNNNNNNNNNNNNNNNNNNNNNNNNNNNNNNNNNNNNNNNNNNNNNNNNNNNNNNNNNNNNNNNNNNNNNNNNNNNNNNNNNNNNNNNNNNNNNNNNNNNNNNNNNNNNNNNNNNNNNNNNNNNNNNNNNNNNNNNNNNNNNNNNNNNNNNNNNNNNNNNNNNNNNNNNNNNNNNNNNNNNNNNNNNNNNNNNNNNNNNNNNNNNNNNNNNNNNNNNNNNNNNNNNNNNNNNNNNNNNNNNNNNNNNNNNNNNNNNNNNNNNNNNNNNNNNNNNNNNNNNNNNNNNNNNNNNNNNNNNNNNNNNNNNNNNNNNNNNNNNNNNNNNNNNNNNNNNNNNNNNNNNNNNNNNNNNNNNNNNNNNNNNNNNNNNNNNNNNNNNNNNNNNNNNNNNNNNNNNNNNNNNNNNNNNNNNNNNNNNNNNNNNNNNNNNNNNNNNNNNNNNNNNNNNNNNNNNNNNNNNNNNNNNNNNNNNNNNNNNNNNNNNNNNNNNNNNNNNNNNNNNNNNNNNNNNNNNNNNNNNNNNNNNNNNNNNNNNNNNNNNNNNNNNNNNNNNNNNNNNNNNNNNNNNNNNNNNNNNNNNNNNNNNNNNNNNNNNNNNNNNNNNNNNNNNNNNNNNNNNNNNNNNNNNNNNNNNNNNNNNNNNNNNNNNNNNNNNNNNNNNNNNNNNNNNNNNNNNNNNNNNNNNNNNNNNNNNNNNNNNNNNNNNNNNNNNNNNNNNNNNNNNNNNNNNNNNNNNNNNNNNNNNNNNNNNNNNNNNNNNNNNNNNNNNNNNNNNNNNNNNNNNNNNNNNNNNNNNNNNNNNNNNNNNNNNNNNNNNNNNNNNNNNNNNNNNNNNNNNNNNNNNNNNNNNNNNNNNNNNNNNNNNNNNNNNNNNNNNNNNNNNNNNNNNNNNNNNNNNNNNNNNNNNNNNNNNNNNNNNNNNNNNNNNNNNNNNNNNNNNNNNNNNNNNNNNNNNNNNNNNNNNNNNNNNNNNNNNNNNNNNNNNNNNNNNNNNNNNNNNNNNNNNNNNNNNNNNNNNNNNNNNNNNNNNNNNNNNNNNNNNNNNNNNNNNNNNNNNNNNNNNNNNNNNNNNNNNNNNNNNNNNNNNNNNNNNNNNNNNNNNNNNNNNNNNNNNNNNNNNNNNNNNNNNNNNNNNNNNNNNNNNNNNNNNNNNNNNNNNNNNNNNNNNNNNNNNNNNNNNNNNNNNNNNNNNNNNNNNNNNNNNNNNNNNNNNNNNNNNNNNNNNNNNNNNNNNNNNNNNNNNNNNNNNNNNNNNNNNNNNNNNNNNNNNNNNNNNNNNNNNNNNNNNNNNNNNNNNNNNNNNNNNNNNNNNNNNNNNNNNNNNNNNNNNNNNNNNNNNNNNNNNNNNNNNNNNNNNNNNNNNNNNNNNNNNNNNNNNNNNNNNNNNNNNNNNNNNNNNNNNNNNNNNNNNNNNNNNNNNNNNNNNNNNNNNNNNNNNNNNNNNNNNNNNNNNNNNNNNNNNNNNNNNNNNNNNNNNNNNNNNNNNNNNNNNNNNNNNNNNNNNNNNNNNNNNNNNNNNNNNNNNNNNNNNNNNNNNNNNNNNNNNNNNNNNNNNNNNNNNNNNNNNNNNNNNNNNNNNNNNNNNNNNNNNNNNNNNNNNNNNNNNNNNNNNNNNNNNNNNNNNNNNNNNNNNNNNNNNNNNNNNNNNNNNNNNNNNNNNNNNNNNNNNNNNNNNNNNNNNNNNNNNNNNNNNNNNNNNNNNNNNNNNNNNNNNNNNNNNNNNNNNNNNNNNNNNNNNNNNNNNNNNNNNNNNNNNNNNNNNNNNNNNNNNNNNNNNNNNNNNNNNNNNNNNNNNNNNNNNNNNNNNNNNNNNNNNNNNNNNNNNNNNNNNNNNNNNNNNNNNNNNNNNNNNNNNNNNNNNNNNNNNNNNNNNNNNNNNNNNNNNNNNNNNNNNNNNNNNNNNNNNNNNNNNNNNNNNNNNNNNNNNNNNNNNNNNNNNNNNNNNNNNNNNNNNNNNNNNNNNNNNNNNNNNNNNNNNNNNNNNNNNNNNNNNNNNNNNNNNNNNNNNNNNNNNNNNNNNNNNNNNNNNNNNNNNNNNNNNNNNNNNNNNNNNNNNNNNNNNNNNNNNNNNNNNNNNNNNNNNNNNNNNNNNNNNNNNNNNNNNNNNNNNNNNNNNNNNNNNNNNNNNNNNNNNNNNNNNNNNNNNNNNNNNNNNNNNNNNNNNNNNNNNNNNNNNNNNNNNNNNNNNNNNNNNNNNNNNNNNNNNNNNNNNNNNNNNNNNNNNNNNNNNNNNNNNNNNNNNNNNNNNNNNNNNNNNNNNNNNNNNNNNNNNNNNNNNNNNNNNNNNNNNNNNNNNNNNNNNNNNNNNNNNNNNNNNNNNNNNNNNNNNNNNNNNNNNNNNNNNNNNNNNNNNNNNNNNNNNNNNNNNNNNNNNNNNNNNNNNNNNNNNNNNNNNNNNNNNNNNNNNNNNNNNNNNNNNNNNNNNNNNNNNNNNNNNNNNNNNNNNNNNNNNNNNNNNNNNNNNNNNNNNNNNNNNNNNNNNNNNNNNNNNNNNNNNNNNNNNNNNNNNNNNNNNNNNNNNNNNNNNNNNNNNNNNNNNNNNNNNNNNNNNNNNNNNNNNNNNNNNNNNNNNNNNNNNNNNNNNNNNNNNNNNNNNNNNNNNNNNNNNNNNNNNNNNNNNNNNNNNNNNNNNNNNNNNNNNNNNNNNNNNNNNNNNNNNNNNNNNNNNNNNNNNNNNNNNNNNNNNNNNNNNNNNNNNNNNNNNNNNNNNNNNNNNNNNNNNNNNNNNNNNNNNNNNNNNNNNNNNNNNNNNNNNNNNNNNNNNNNNNNNNNNNNNNNNNNNNNNNNNNNNNNNNNNNNNNNNNNNNNNNNNNNNNNNNNNNNNNNNNNNNNNNNNNNNNNNNNNNNNNNNNNNNNNNNNNNNNNNNNNNNNNNNNNNNNNNAUUAAGGAGAUAAAAAGACAAAACAAAAAAUGAAUCCUGCGAUGAACAAUAACCCUUAUUUUUCCUUUUCCUUAAGUAUUGCAAAAAAAUAAUUUGUGGUCGGGGCUCUCCCAUGCGUGACAUCUUCUUUGAAAUUAAGAUUAAGGAGAUAAAAAGACAAAACAAAAAUGAACCCUGCGAUGAACAAAAACCCUUAUUUUGUUCAUUUUCCUUUUGAAAUUCCCCUCUUUUUCUGAAUUAAAAAAUUAAAGUUAAAAAUUUAAAAAAACGUUUCCCCAAGUUCUAAAACAAAUAUUACACCACAUUUUAAAAUUAAGGUGAUAAAAAUACCAAAAAAUAAAAACAAAUAAAUACAUCGCUUUUCUACAAAAUAAUAGUAGUAGUCCAACAGUAACUACGAGUGCGAUGAACAAUACCUCCCCCGCCCCCAUGAAUAACCUACCUCUUUUUUCUCCUUCUUUAAAAUUCAAAUUAAGGAGAUAAAAUUCCAAAUAAAAAUGAAAACAUAUAUUAUUUAUUUAUUCCCCUUCUUAUUUAAAAUUCAAAUUAAGGAGAUAAAAUUCCGAAGAAAAAUAAAAACAUAUAUUAUUUCUCCUUUUCCCCCUUCUCCAUUGAAAUUUAAAUAUUAAAAUUACAAAAUUACCAUUUUCCCCCUUCUUCUUAAAAACUUAAAAUUACCAACAAAAAUUGAAAACAAACAUUACAUCACCUUUUUGUAAAUAGUAAUUGCAGUCAAAAAAUAAGCUAUGGUUACAACGAAUCCACAUUUUUCCUCCUUCUUUAAAAUUAAACUUAAAAAGAUAAAUUUACCAAAAAAAUAUAUUAUAUCACUUUUCUACAAAUAAUAAUAGUGGGUAAACGGUAACUAUAAGUAACCAAUAAUUAUAACGCAAAAUUUUUCACACUUCUUUCCAAGUGAAAGAUAAAAUUACCAAAAACAAAUAUGAAAAUAAAUAUUACAUAAAAAAUAAAUUUGCUAAAUGACGGGCUUUAACUCGGGUGCGACGUGCCGCCGCACCUUCUGCCCUACUAGUUUCAAAUCAUUUGUGUACGGUAUUUCCUUUAUUUUAUGGAAAAUUGUUUAUGUGUAGUCGGUGAACCAAACAACACCAAAAGGCAUCCAUCCAUAUGUUGUGUUUAUGUUCUUCUUCGUGUUCUUGUGCAGCUAUCGGAGAUUGGUUAACAUCAAUUGAUGCUCUUAUAUACUGAGCAGUAUCUUGGGUCAUAUGUCUCAUGCCCGCCCUCACUUGCAAAGACGGAGCUAAUCUUGACGACCACCAUCCGAAUGGGCGAUGUUCCAAGUCCAAACGUAGUUGCGCAGAUGGUUACAUUGACCACUUUGACCGCAAGGAACACCUAGUAAUUUGUGCAAGUGCCCUUGGCUAUAUGUUUACAAUGAGCAUUUUCUGCUUCACUGUGUUGUACACUAUAGUCACGAAUGGCACAGCUAACGUGGCCCAAGGACCCAGGGACAUCUUCGUCCGACUUGUAGGAAAAAGAGGGCUCGAUCCCCGUGCCUCUCCGCCGACUUCACCGGCUUUCAACGUUGCCUUGGACUUUGAUCGGAGACCACCAACCUACCGGCACUGCAGCGGAGGCGGUAACUCAUUGCUGCUCGUCUCCUACCAUGAUAUGAUCCUAGCGUGGGCUCAGGUGCCGCUUUUUGCGUCUAUGGCGACGGGAGCCUUGCCAGUGUUGGUACCUUGGAGGUUGAGGCCAAGGAAAACGCCCGCGUGCUGCAAGAGGAGGUGCGCAACUUUCUUCGGAGCGAGAUUCAGGUCGUGGGCAAGGUUGAGUUCGCCGUGGAUGGAGAGGUGUGAUACGUCUCCAUCGUAUGUACUUUUCCAAACUCUUUUGCCCUUGUUUUGGACUCUAAUUUGCAUGAUUUGAAUGGAACUAACCCAGACUGACGUUGUUUUCAGCAGAAUUGCAAUGGUGUUGUUUUUGUGCAAAAAUGGAAGUUCUCGGAACGUCCUGAAAAUUUAGAGAAAAUAUUUCUGGAAAAUAUGAAAAAUACCUGCGCAAAGAUCCACCGGAGGGGACGGGCCACUGGGCCACAAUCCCUGUAGCCGCGGCCUCCCCCCUGGCGGCGGCUACCAAGCUUGUGGGGCCCACGUGGCUCUGCUGCCCCCAAUUCCAGGGCUAUUUAUUCCCUUUCGUCCUGGAAAAAAUCAAGAUAGAAGAUUUCAUCGCGUUUCACGAUCCAGAGGCGCCGCCACAUCCCGUUCUUCAUCUGGAGGGCAGAUCUAGAGUCUGUUUUGGGCUCCGGAUCAAGGAGAUCGUCGCCAUCGUCAUCAUCAACCUUCUUCCCUCUCCAAUUUCAUGAAGCUCUCCGUCGUUCGUGAGUAAUCUAUUCGUAGGCUCGCUGGACGGUGAUGAGUAGGAUGAGAUCUAUCAUGUAAUCGAGUUAGUUUUGACGGGGAUUGAUCCCUAGUAUCCACUAUGUCUUGAGAUUGAUGUUGCUACUACUUUGCCAUGCUUAAUGCUUGUCACUAGGGCCCGAGUGCCAUGAUUUCAGAUCUGAACUUAUUAUGUUGUCACCAAUAUAUGUGUGUUUUAGAUCCGAUCUUGCAAGUUGUAGUUACCUACUAUGUGUUAUGAUCCGGCAACCCCGGAGUGACAAUAACCGGAACCACUCCCGGUGAUGACCAUAGUUUGAGGAGUUCAUGUGUUCACCAAGUGCUAAUGCGUUGGUCCGGUUAUUUAUUAAAAGGAGAACCUUAAUAUCCCGUUGUAUCCUUUUGGACCCCGCUGUCACGGGAGGGAUGGACAAUAGAUGGCAUGCAAGUUCUUUUCCCUAAGCACGUAUGACGACACACGGAAUGCAUGCCUACAUCACAUUGACGAACAGGAGCUAGCCACAUAUCUCUCCGUGUUAUAACUGUUGCAUGAUGAAUGUCAUCAAACAAAUCACCACCCAUUGCCUACGAGUUUGUCCCACUGCUGUUGUUACUUGUUUUGCUCUGCUGCUGUUACUACUGUUGCUGCUACUGUUACUUGCUUUGUCUUGCUGCUGCUGCCACUACUGUUACUUUUUGUUGAUGUUACUUGCUACUGUUGCUACUUGCUACUGCUGUUCCUUGCCACUGUUCUUACUCGUUACACUUCUGCUACCUGCUAUAAUACUUUUCUGGCGCCAUUGAUACAACAGUUAGGAAUAGUCUGCCGUCAACAGAUCGUUUCUGGCACCGUUGUUAUCAUACUACUUUGCUGUUGACACUUUGCUUGCAGAUACUAAUCUUUCAGGUGUGGUUGAAUCUAACACAUUCAGCUGCUAAUACUUGAGAAUAUUCUUUCACUUCCCGUCGCGCGAACCAACAAAUUUGGGUUGAAUACUCUACCCUCAAAAAAUGCCUUGAUCCCACGCGUUGGUGGGCUAUUGCAAGACAAUUUCUAAUUGUUGAGCAAUUGGGAGCAGCUCUUUUCUGACUCCGUUGCCGUGGAGGCAUCAAGUAAGGAAUAGUUGCACAUCAACAGCAUUUUUCUCGCGCGGUUGCCGGGGAAGGAUUGCUAUAUUCUCUGAGUCACUUGGAAUUUAUAUCUGCUGAUCACUAUGAAGAAUCUGAAAGAUCCAAAAACCAAAGUCUUGCCCUCAACCACGAGGGGAGGUAAGGAACUGCCAUCUAGCUCUGCACUUGAUUCACCUUCAAUUAUGAGUAAGUUUGCGACACCACCUCCUGCUAGAAAUCUUGAUAUGUCGCCUAUGCUUGAUGAUGUUUAUGAUGCUACUAUGCCUGAUACUGCUAGAGAUGCUAUGCCUGAUACUGCUAGAGAUGCUAUGCUUGAUACUGCCUUGCCUGAUGAUGUUAUGCUUGAUACUGCUUUGCCUGAUGAUGCUAGAGAUGCUAUUUUUCCUGAUGAUGCUAUGCUUGAUACUGCUAGAGAUACUACUUUGCCUGAUAUGCCACUAGGGGUAUUCCUUGAUGCUCAUAUUGCUAGAGUUACUGCCAAUGCUCGUGAUGCUUCUGAAACUGCCGAUACUAUUGAGAUAGAACCUGCUUUUGCUCCUGCUAGAUCUAGAUCUCCUAGAUAUGAAUUGCUUGAUAUACCUGAGGGUUAUGUUAUGGAGGGAGAGAUAGCUGAGGAUUUUCUUGCGUGUAAGGAUGACUAUGAUGCUGAGAAAUUACUUCUCAAGUGGAAGGAAAAAUCUCUGAAAGCUAGGAUGAAAUACGACCCGAAGUUUGCCACUUCACCUAUCGUUAUCACCGAUAAGGAUUAUGAAAUCUCUGUCGACCCUGAGAUAAUCUCUCUAGUCGAAUCUGAUCCUUUCCAUGGUUAUGAGUCUGAGACGGUCGUAGCCCAUCUUACCAAACUACACGAUAUAGCCACCCUUUUCACUAGUGAGGAGAAGAUUCGCUACUACUAUAUCCUUAAGCUGUUUGCUUUCUCUCUAAAGGAUGACGCUAAAGCCUGGUUCACUUCUCUUGCUCCUGGAUGUGUGAGUAGUCCCCAGGAUAUGGUCUAUUACUUCUGUGAGAAAUAUUUCCCUGCCCAUAAGAAGCAAGCUGCCUUGCAGGAAAUAUACAACUUUGCUCAACUCAAAGAAGAGAGUCUCCCACAAGCUUGGGGGAGGCUCAUCCAGCUACAGAAUGCUUUGCCUGAUCACCCUCUUAAGAAGAACAAGAUACUUGAUAUCUUCUAUAACGGACUUACCGAUGCUUCUAGAGACCACCUAGAUAGUUGUGCCAGUUGUGUUUUUAGGGAACGAACUAUAGAACAAGCUGAGAUUCUACUGAAUAACAUCUUGAUCAUAGAUAAUGCUUGGACUAUUCCCGAACCACCUCCUAAGCCAACUCCUAAGAAAAGAGGUAUUCUAUUCCUGAGUCCCGAAGAUAUGCAAGAAGCCAAGAAAUCUAUGCAAGAGAAAGGCAUUAGAUCUGAAGAUGUCAAAAAUCUACCACCUAUCAAAGAGAUCCAUGGUCUCGAUAACCCGAUACAAGUAGUAGAAGUGAAUUCUCUGCGUAGGUUUGAUGAGAGUGAUAUUCCUUUUGAUAAACCUGCUAGCAUAUGCUUUAAUGAAUUUGACAACUUUGUUGCCAAACAACAGAGUUUCAAUGGUUAUGUUAGCAGACAUUUGGAACAAAGUACUCGUAUCCUUAGUCAUUUAAGUGCUUGUGUAGACAGAAAUGUCAAUGAUCUGAAGCUUCUGAGUAAACAUGCCUCUAUGAUUACUACUCAGGUAGAACAAGUACUUAAAUCUCAGAAUGACUUGCUCAAUGAAUUAAAUGACUACUCUGUCAGAGUCAUUACUAGAGGAGGCAAAAUGACUCAGGAACCUUUGUAUCCUGAAGGCCAUCCUAAGAGAAUUGAUCAAGAUUCUCAAGGAAUUAAUGCUGAUACACCCAGUCAUCCUAAGAAGAAGAUGGAUGAUAGAAACCUACAUGUCAGUACACCAAAUACUGUCACACCUGAAGAACCAAAUGAUAUUUCUCCGUCUGAAGUAGAAACACAAUCUGGUGAUGAAUAUGAACCUGGUGACAAUAUGGACACCGAUGUUCAUAAUAAUGCUCAACCUACAAAUGAUAAGGAUGUGGAGAUUGAACCUACGGUUAAUCCUGAUAACCCACAACCAUCCAAGAAAAAGGAUGAUGAGGAUUUUGAGCACUUUAUUGAAAUGAUAAGACCCAACUUUCUGCAGAUGCGGUUAAUUGAUAUGCUCAAAAUGUCUCUGUAUGCCAAGUACAUGAAAGAUAUCGUGACUAAUAAACAGAAGAUACCAGAUCUUGAUAUCUCCACCAUGCUUGCCAAUUACACUUUCAAAGGUGGAACUCCUAAAAAACUUGGUGAUCCCGGAGUGCCCACUAUACCUUGCUCCAUUAAAGGAAACUACGUAAGAACUGCCUUAUGUGACCUUGGAGCCGGUGUUAGUGUUAUGCCUCUCUCUCUUUAUCAUAGACUUGAACUGGAUAAGUUGACACCCACUGUAAUCUCUCUGCAAAUGGCCGAAAAAUCAACUGCUUUCCCUAUCGGCAUUUGCAAGGAUGUGCGUGUUGUGGUUGCUAACACCACCAUCUUAACAGACUUUGUUAUCUUGGAUAUUCCCGAGGACGAUGCCAUGGCUGUCAUCCUCGGAAGACCCUUUUUAAACACUGCAGGGGCUGUUAUAGAUUGCAACAAAGGCAAUGUCACUUUCCAUGUCAAUGGUAAUGAGCAUACAGUGCACUUUCCGAAGAAACGAUAUCAAGUACAUUGCAUCAAUGCUAUCGAAAAAACUUCAUCGAUUCUUAUUGGGAGCUUUGAAUGCCCUAUUCCUCGUGUCAAGAUGAAGUAUGAUUUGCUUGUUGGGAAUAUACAUAUCCCCAUUGAGGUGACUUAGUGGCUAUUCGACAAUUCUCUGUUUCCUCUUGCGAUUCGAAAAGGUUUUUUCAUGAGGAUUUGAUCAACCCCAUUGACGGAUUUCUUUCGAUGACCAUGAAAUGGAUGAAUCAAGGAGUCACAUACCUCUGUUUUAAGCUUUCACUUUCUGUUGCUUAGAAGAAAAAUGAUAGAUUUACUUUAGUUUUCCUGCUUUCUGUUUUAGCACCCCGGAGAAAAGUACCCCGAAAAUAAAAGUUCUCCGAUGGUCCUAAAAAUCUAGUAUGAUUUUUUCUGGAAUAUUUGAAAAAUACUGGGACUGAGAGCUGGCCUGGGGGCCACACCAGUGGGCCACAAGCCAUGUAGCUGCGGCCCUCCUGGCGGCGGCUACCAAGCUUGUGGGGCCCACAGGGACCCCCCACUCAUUCCAGCUCCCAUCCUCUUCUUCUACCUCUAGAAAAAAUUGUUUCGCAGCUCAAACCCGUGUUCUUGCUCAUUUGGCUGAGAUUUUCGAUCUCCUUGCUCAAAGCACCAUUCUCCGAACCGUUUUGGGGAAAUUACUCCUUGGUAAGUGACUCCUCCAUUGGUCCAAUUAGUCUCUACUCUAGUGAUUUAUCCUUCACGUAUUCUUGCUACCUUGGUGACCCUGUUCUUGAGCUUGAAAUGUUGAUUUUAGCUGGUCCCAAGUAGUUUUAGCGCGUGAUACGAUCUCUAGGCACUAGUAGGAGUAGUUGCUACAAGUUGGGUUAAUCCUUACUCACUUUUCUUUCGAAGUCUCUAAAAAUUUCAGAAUUUUUCAGAGCUAGAAAAAGGAAAAGAUGAGGAGGUUCUUGAGAGGCUCUUCAAGUCGUAACCCCAAGGAGGAUGAGAAGAACCACCCCAAGUACGUGGUUCCUCGAGUCACAGAAGUUCGAGCGUGCGAGUGGCCAAGUGAUGAAUUUUUGCGCGCCGCUAGGCUUUAUGAAGACUUUUAUUACUUGGUGGAGAACGCAGGUCUUACCGCGUCCGUUGAAGAUAAGUGCUCACAAUACCUCCUCCUCACCAAUAUUUUCGUUCAAAGCUUCAACUUUUAUCCGAGGAAGAAUCCUCCCAUGGUUGAGUUCAUGUUAUACGACAUCCCCCAGUGCAUGACACUACAGGAUUUUUGCAAUGUAUGCAAAUUACCUUAUGUUGGGGAUAUUCAUGACCCUCGUCCACGGGACUUGGAGGAUUUCAUAGGUACUAUUGUUGUUGGAGAGGAGAGAGGAGUGUCUCGCGCUAGAAUUUCUAGCAUACAUUUUCCUGUGCUUCGGUACUUCUCAUUAUUUGUGGGAAAAUGUUUGAUUGGCCGUGGGGAGGCUGGAUCACUUAGCUCUCCAGACCUUGCGGUUUUGCGUGAAGGCCUUUAUAACAAUAAGACUUAUAGCCUAGGUGCUAUUGUAGCUCAGCGGUUGAACACAAACCGUUCCAAAGGUGUCGUAUAUGGAGGUAUCUAUGCUACUCGUCUUGCUAGACACUUUGAGAUGCCUAUUAGACUUCGCGAGGAAGAAGAGAUGCUUCUUCCUGAGAAAUAUCUGGAUUAUGACAGCAUGGUUCGCCAUGAUUUUCUGGAUAGAGAUGCUAGUAGACGGAUGAUUUAUAACCCGGUAUUUAGUCAGGGUACUCGAGAGACUAUUACUUUGCAUGCUCCUUCUUUGUUCGAUCUUCAUGCAGGCAGGUACACUAUUAUGCCUCGGACAUCUACGCAUAUUGGGGCUUGGCCCAACCACAGGUGCCCGUGCUCGAGCCGCCAGUCAAGUACCAGACGCCAAUUUAUCAGUGGGAGCCAGAGGAGCUCACACAGCAGUGGCAUCCACAGUCUGCUCCGGAGUAUCCCGGAGCUGGAUAUUUCCCGCCUUGGGAGUAGACCAAGCUAGGCCAAAAGCCUAAGCUUGGGGGAGUAUGUGUUCUCACCGACCUUACAUUCAUGCUUAUGCUUUCACUUUGUUAGCCGGUGUUUACACUUUGCCACUGUAUUAUCCAUGCUAGUUUAUUUUCGUUUUCUUGUUUUCUUGUUUUGUGUCCUUUUGAGAAAACCCAAAAAUAUUUUCCUUUCUUAUUUUGCUUGUUGGGAGCUUUCCCGUGUAAAUAGUUUUCUUUUUCUUUGGGUCAAGGUAGAAGACCAUGGUUACAAUGUUUAGUGGCUCUUGCAUGCAUACCCGUUCAUUUGUUAAAGAGUCGUAUUACUUUGUCUUCUCCUUUGUGUUUGCCUGCAGAUUCCAGCUUUAGUCCAAUGCACGAGCACUCUUAUUAUUGUUCACAUCGUUCGAUCGUGCAAAUGAAAGGCAAUAAUGAUGAUAUAUGAUGAAGUGACUGAGACUGGAAAAGCUGGUAUGAACUCUAUCUAUUUUGUUUUUAUAAAUAUGACUAGCUUGUCGUCCCAGAUUCAGCUUUGUUGUGAGAGAACCAUGUUUGCAAUGACAACUUAGAGAUCAUAGUUUCUGAUGCCAUGCUUAAUUAGCUGAGAGCUUAUAAUGGUUUGUCUUGAAUGCCAACAUAGAUUUUGAGAUGACUAUGAUGUAGUAUGAUAGGAUGGUAUUCUCCUUUGAACGAUUCAAGUGGCUUGACUUGGCGCAUAUUCAUGCAUGUAGUUGAAACAAAAUCAACAUAGCCUCUAUGAUGUUCGUAUUCGUGGUGAUUUAUAUCCUGCUCAUGCUUGCACUCAAUGUUAGUCAAACUCAUUGCAUCUUGAUGACUGUUGUCGCUCUCUAGUUGGUCGCUUCCCAGUCUUUUGCUAGCCUUCACUUGUACUAAGCGGAAUACUUCUUGUGCAUCAACUUCCAUAAACCCAAAAGUUUUUCCACGAGAGUCCACCAUACCUACCUAUUUACGGUAUCUACCUGCCGUUCCAAGUAAAUUUGCAUGUGCCAUUCUCUAAACCUUCAAGAAAUAAUCUGUUUUGCAUGCACGAACCGCUCAUGUGGUGACAGGGGGCUAUUGAUAUCUUCCAUGUUAGGCGUGUUAUCCUCGACAUGUGUUUAUUCACUAUCAUUCACGAGAGAGGGGCCGGUAAUUGGAAUGCCCAGUUCCAUGUUUAAAUCGAAAACAUAACUGUAAAACAAGACUCCCCCCGGAUUGAUGUUAGUAUGGACGGUACCCGAGAAUUUGGCUAGCCGUGGAGUGUGAUUGAUUGGUGGUGGGGGAGUUAAAACUUUACUUUUCUGUUUGGGAACCGCCUAUAGCAUGAGUAGCAUGGAAGAUAUUGAGAACUCUUAGUCAUUGCAUUGACAAUGAAAGAAUGCCACCCAAAAUUAUUAUCUCUGUUUUCAAAGCUUGAGGUCUGGCACCUCUGCAAAUUAAUGCUUCCCUCUGCGAAGGGCCUGUAUAUUUAUUUUCCUGUUGAGUCAUCCUCUUCUUAUAUAAGCACCAAUUAGAGAGCACCUUUGUCAUUUUUAUGCUUUGCUUUUGAUUGAUAUUGAGUAUGACUAUGACUGGAUCUUCGUUGCUAUGAAUUACAAUGUUUAGUCAGCCCUUGAUAUUUGAAAGUGCUCUGCAUUUAUGUUUUGCGGUCUCAGAAAGAGCUAGCGAGAUACCACCUAUUCAUAUUGCUUCAUGCUUGUUUUGAUUGAAUUGUUGGUAUCUGAAACUCAUUAUUAUUUGCUUGCUAGCUGAUUCUGCCAUUGAUAUUAGUUUACCGUGAGACCUAUGUGUCACUUGCUUAUGUGGUUAACUUGUGAUCUUGCUGAAAUUAUGGUUAUGAGUUAGACAUAGUUGCAACAACAAGAUCAAACAGAGUUUGUCAAAGUUUUUCUUUUUCUUUCAGUUUUUCAACUGAGUUGCUUGAGGACAAGCAAGGUUUUAAGCUUGGGGGAGUUGAUACGUCUCCAUCGUAUCUACUUUUCCAAACUCUUUUGCCCUUGUUUUGGACUCUAAUUUGCAUGAUUUGAAUGGAACUAACCGGACUGACGCUGUUUUCAGCAGAAUUGCCAUGGUGUUGUUUUUGUGCAGAAAUGAAAGUUCUCGGAACGUCCUGAAAAUUUACGGAGAAUAUUUCUGGAAAAUAUGAAAAAUACGUGCGCAAAGAUCCACCGGAGGGGACGGGCCAGUGGGCCACAAGCCUUGUAGCCGCGGCCUCCCCCCUGGCGACGGCUACCAAGCUUGUGGGGCCCAUGUGGCUCUGCCGCCCCCAAUUCCAGCGCUAUUUAUCCCCUUUCAUCCCGGAAAAGAUCAAGAGAGAAGAUUUCAUCGCGUUUCACGAUCUAGAGGCGCCGCCACAUCCCGUUCUUCAUCUGGAGGGCAGAUCUGGAGUCCGUUUUGGGCUCCGGAUCAAGGAGAUCAUCGCCAUCGUCAUCAUCAACCUUCUUCCCUCUCCAAUUCCAUGAAGCUCUUCGUCGUUCGUAAGUAAUCUAUUCAUAGGCCCGCUGGGUGGUGAUGAGUAGGAUGAUAUCUAUCAUGUAAUUGAGUUAGUUUUGACGGGGAUUGAUCCCUAGUAUCCACUAUGUUUUGAGAUUGACGUUGCUACUACUUUGCCAUGCUAAAUGCUUGUCACUAGGGACAGAGUGCCAUGAUUUCAGAUCUGAAAUUAUUAUGUUGUCACCAAUAUAUGUGUGUUUUAGAUCCGAUCUUGCAAGUUGUAGUUACCUACUAUGUGUUAUGAUCCGGCAACCCCGGAGUGACAAUAACCGGAACCACUCCCGGUGAUGACCAUAGUUUGAGGAGUUCAUGUGUUCACCAAGUGCUAAUGCGUUGUUCCGGUUCUUUAUUAAAAGGAGAACCUUAAUAUCCCGUAGUAUCCUUUUGGACCCCGCUGCCAUGGGAGGGAUGGACAAUAGAUGGCAUGCAAGUUCUUUUCCCUAAGCACAUAUGAUGACACACGGAAUGCAUGCCUACAUCACAUUUACGAACGGGAGCUAGCCACAUAUCUCUCUGUGUUAUAACUGUUGCAUGAUGAAUGUCAUCCAACAAAUCUCCGACCCAUUGCCUACGAGUUUGUCCCACUGUUGCUAUUAUUUGUUUUGCUCUGCUGUUGUUACUACUGUUGCUGCUACUGUUACUUGUUUCUACUGUUACUUGCUUUGUCCUGCUGCUGCCACUACUGUUACUUGCUGUUGCUGUUACUUGCUACUGUUGCUACUUGCUACUGCUGUCACUAUCGCUGUUCCUUGCCACUGUUGUUACUCGUUACACUGCUGCUACCUGCUACAAUACUUUUCUGGCGCCAUCGAUACAACAUUUAGGAAUAGUCUACCAUCAACAGACCGUUUCUGGCACCGUUGUUAUCAUACUGCUUUGCUGUUGACACUUUGCUUGGAGAUACUAAUCUUUCAGGUGUGGUUGAAUCUGACACAUUCAGCUGCUAAUACUUGAGAAUAUUCUUUCUCUUCCCGUCGCGCGAACCAACAAAUUUGGGUUGAAUACUCUACCCUCGAAAACUGCCUCAAUCCCACACGCUGGUGGGCUAUUGCAAGACUAUUUCUAAUUGUUGAGCAAUUGGGAGCAGCUCUUUUCUGACUCCGUUACCGUGGAGGCAUCAAGUCAGGAAUAGUUGCACGUCAAUAAGGUGGCGGGCCUAGGGUAUCUUCACUACAAGUUUUUCAUCAUGAAGGAUCAGGCUAUGGAUGUGCCCAAGAGCAUGUGCAUCUUCGGUCAAUAGGGUGGACCUAUGUGUUCUAAUAAGGGUGUUAGAUAUUCUCCUUUCUGUCACCGGAUUGCAUUUAUUUUUGUAAUAGCUACUAUAUUCUGCUUUGAAAUAAAACAAACAAUUUCAGCUGUAUAUAUUUUUUCGAGUGGUUAUUUUCUUCAGAAAAUGCUACCUCAAUCCUCCGUGCAAAAACCCGACGGAAAGUUUCGCCAUACUAUGUAGGCUUUAGACUUGCAUAACACCUAGUAGGUCACUUUGGAACUGGAAGCUUGGUCAGCUCGAAGGAAGGUUACUCUACUCAACUAUUGGACUUUCAGGGGGACUUGCUUUGAGUAUAUACAUUGGGAUUUUGUGCUAAUUUUGCUAAUCUAAUUUAUGAUAAGGGUGUACACCUGAAGCUUCACUUAGUUUUAUUCAGUUACAAGCUAGUCUAGGAUCUUUCCUGCGCGCGCACCUUCUCCUCCAUGCUUGUUCCUUCUUGAACUGAAGUCUUCCUCGACGGAAACCCAUCUUCCUCACCCAAAUAAGGCUUCAAAUCUGCAAUGUUUAAAGUGGGACUAAUCCCAAACUCUGCAGGAAGCUCAAGUUUAUAUGCAUUAUCAUUUAUUUUCUCUAACACCUAAAAAACGACCAUCAUCACGUGGCAUUAGCUUUGACUUUUGUAAAUCAGGAAAUCUAUCCUUUCGCAAAUGUAACCAAACAAGAUCUCGAGGUGCAAAGACAACAUGUUUUCUACCCUUAUCUCCAACAAGUUUGUAUUUAGCAUUCAUACGCUCAAUGUUUUCCUUAUGUAACAUCCCAAACUCUAGAAGGUUAUAUUAUUAAAAUUUAAUGAUUGAUUGUUUGAAUGAUUGUUUGAAAUUGAGUGAAAAUUGAAAUUUUUUGGAACUUUUAAAUGAGAGGGAAUAACAUGACUUUCCCCCUUUGUUCUUGCAUUCAAAUUCAUCCAUUUCAAAUCAUUGAGACAAGAUGACAUGACUUCUUCAAAAUAAAAGAUUUGAAAUUUUGGAUUUGAAAACUACUCAUAUUUUCCAUUUGGAAUUUAUUUCAUAAUGAGUUCUAUUUCUAUUUUAAAUUUGAAUGAAUUCAAACUUCCUUGCCAAAAUUCAAAAAAUUCUUGAGAGGAGAAAUUUGACACUCCAAACGAGGGGAAAGAUUGAAUUAUAUUUGAAUUUAAAAUGCUCAGAAAUUGUUUGGAAAAUAUUUCAUAUUGGGUUUCCAAGCCAUUCUUUAAGUGGUUUUCAAAAUUAUUUUCCUCCAAAAAUAAAAUACUUGGAAAAUAGGUUAAAAUGAUUCCCUUCAAUAUAAAAAUGGAGAAAAAUGAAUUUGCAAUCAUUUUGGUAUUUUUGAAAAUAUUGUAUUACAUUUUAAACUCAAUAGUAGCACUAUUUGAAUUAUUUGAAUCGGUCAGAAUUUUGUUUGAACUUGACAAUAUGUUCAUGUUGUAGGAAAUCUUUUUCCUGUCAUUUGGUAUACUAUAUGCCUAUAUGUGGUUUCCAUUUAUUUUCAUUUUAUUUAUUUUAUGUCUUUGUUUGAAAAUAUAAAGAAAAGGGUUUUCUGUUAAAACAAAAGGGUGAAGCCCAACAGAGCGCCCGAGGCCGAGGUCGUCGACAACCCACCUUUCGCCCACGCCUGAAAUGGCAAGCGUCCGGCCGACGAUCCCCUCGGGAAUCCUCUUCCUCUCACUAAUAUGAGGGCCCAGCCGACCGUUCCCGAGAUCCUCAUGGUCACCUUCCUCCCACGCUCCCCUUUCCUUCCAGUUGUCGGCGUCGCCGCGAUCCGUCGAUCCUCUACCAUUUAGACUCGCCCUCCUUCAUGCAAGGCCCCCAAUAAAUACCCCACCUCCCGCACUCAUUCCUCGCCCGAAGCCCUCUCUCUUACUCCCCAGCGCCCACACAAUCCCUCGCCAGAGUUAGCCACGGUUGCCUCGCCAUUACCAUGCCACCACUCCCCCUAGCCCUCCCCAACGAAUGUAGACACCUCCAUUCGCUUCGCCACUCUUGUUUGUACCUCCCCAUGCACUCGCGCGAGCUACAGAAUGAGGGAAGCUAAUCCCCCCCGACAACCACCGAAUGUCGUCGUCACUACCACGCUCGCCGCCGUCACUCCCGUACACCCCGAACUCCACAUGGACCACCAGAAGAACCGCCUUGCUUGUCCGCGUCGUUGGAGUCGUCCUCGACGUCGUAGGACCAUCGGAGCACCGCCCCGCAUUGCCUCACCGCCUCGGACAUUGUCGAAGCCUCGCCGGAGACCUCCACCAUCGCGGUAAGUCACCAGCACCAUCCUCGCCCGUCCGAUCUAGCAUCUACGGUGUAAAUUAGAUCAAGCGUACCCCUUCGGUUUAUUUAAAGAACCGGUCGGUUUUUCUUUGUUUAUUUAGACCAAAGGGUUUUCCUCCAACGUGCGGUUGUCCGCUAUUUUACACCGCGCGUGCACACCAGUAAGCCUACCAGAGCGCGCCACGUAGCCCCUGUCCGUUUAUUAGGACUUUUUCUUUUUGUGUUUGAGUUUCUUUACACAAUUAGUUCAAUUUUUAGAUUUCUUAUAUCGUUUAUGUUUUUAAGUUAUUCCUUUUCCAUUAGUUCACGAAUUUGUUUUAGUUUCUGUUAGUGCAAUUAGAUUUCAAAUUGUAUAGUUUUAAAUUUGAAUUCAAACAAAUUUUCUUCAAGCCUUCUUUUGUGGAUAACUUGAGUUUAAAAAUAGGUAUUUAGCUCAUUCUUUUUGCUACUCGUCACUUCUGACUUUAGUUAUCAUUGUGUAUAAUUUGAGGAAUUUUAGUAUAUUUUAAAUUAAGGUUGUAAGAAAACAGAAUUGUUUUAGUUCAUUUUGGGUUUAUUGUUAUUUCUUUUUAUUAUUGUUAUGCGAUCUUUAGAAGACCUAACCCGUGAUGAAUAGUCAUGUUAGAUGCGAAGAUUUGUGAGUUGUCCCUUGUGUGUCCGCUUUUCCGACAGCAAACAAAUAAAAUAUUUUUCAAAACUAUAUUGUUUGUAUGGUUAUAUUUCUCCCUCUCUCUCCAACCUUGCCUCAUUGCUGCUAAACCCAUCAGAUGCCGCCGAGAUGGAACAACACCAGGAAUAGCUCAAGGAACAAUGGACUUAGCAUAGAACAGUUACUCCAGACCCAGAACCAAAUGUUGCAACUCUUGAUGCAGAACGAGAAUGAGAACAACAACAAUAACCCGCCACCCCAAGUUGAUAACCUUACCCGCUUUCUAAAGUUGAACCCACCAGUGUUCUCUAGCAGCAUAGAGCCAAUUGUGAUAGAGGACUGGCUCCGCAAGAUAGGAAGAGAGCUGGCCACUGUAGGAUGCACAGACAGAGAGAAGGAGAUGAUUGUUGCUCACCAGUUGGAUGGACCAGCAGCUUCCUGGUGGGAGAAUUACACUGCUACAUACCCCAUGACGAAUGUAACUUGGGAUCGGCUCCAACAAGCUUUUCGCAUCGCACAUGUUACAGGUGGAGCCAUGAUUCUGAAGAAGGAGUUCCACAACCCACGCCAAGGAAGCCAUGCAGUAGCACGGUAUGUGGAUGAGUUAUGCCAGCUACCCCGCUAUGCUCCACGAGACAUAGCGACAGAUGUCGCUAAAUAUGAGAAGUUUCUGGAGGGACUGAAUUAUGAGCUGGGAAUGCAGUUGACCAUGGCUACUUUUAAUAACUAUCAAGAAUUGGUAGACAAGGCUAUCAUUCUUGAAGGCCAGCAAAUGCAGACGGAGAACCGCAAGAGAAAGUACGAACAAGGUAUAACUCUAGAGUUCAGGAGGAGCCCCGCUACACCCCGUACCUAGGAAAUUCUGGAUCAGGACCCGUGAAGUUUGGAGGACCCAAUCAUGAGAACCAUUGAGGUCAUUCUCAUCACAGAAGCAUUGGAUACCACCCUAAUGGCCGCAAGCAUGAAAAUGAAACUGGAGGAAUUGGAAAACAACGUCAUCCCAACCCAGCUGCACCAACAAAGAAAGAUAAGAGUCAUAUUACCUGUUUUGAGUGCACGAAAACGGGACAUUGUGCCAAUGAUUGUCCAGAAGAUAAGCAGAAGCCCGGAGAAUUGUUGGAACUUAACUGCUUUCUUUGUGAUGCUGUGGGGAAUUAUGCCAUUGACUGUCGAGACCCAAAGAAUGUUGGAUCUGAGUAGUUGAGAUCAUAAUGUUGGCAAUAAGUGUAAUAGGUGACACUCUCGUUUUCAUGAGAUUAUGGAGUUGAAUGUUGUAACAAAAGUUUAAGACAUUGUAAUAACUUAAUGAAUCAAUAGAAUUUAUUUUUUCAUGACUUCUUGUGUCGAAUUAUAUCAGUUGUUACUCUAUAAACAAAGAUCUCUGGCCAUUUUCGAGGAUAUGAGAAAAUACGAUCUUCACAUGCAUGUGUACAUUUCAUUUUAAGUGUGGUAGUAAUCGGUAAAACCAUAGGAAUCCAAGGAAAAAAUAAUGUACCAUAUAUGCCAAGGAGUCUGGACCAAUCAAUACAUCUGAAGCUCAUACUGGACCAUAUCAAACUGUGUGGAUGACAACAUUUGUAAUAAAGUGCUUUUGGGGAACGUGGUACAGGAAACAAAAAAAUUCCACGCAGACGCAAUACCUAUCAUGGUGAUGUCCAUCUACGAGAGGGGAUUUCCGAUCUACGUACCCUUGUAGAUCACACAACAGGAGGCGUUAAGAAAGGCGGUUGAUGUAGUGGAACGUCCUCACAUCCCUUGAUCCGCCCCACGAACCGUCCCACGAACCGUCCCGCGAUCCGUCCCACGAUCCGCUCCGAUCUGUGCCGAACGGACGGCACCUCCGCAUUCAGCACACGUACAGCGCGACAAUGAUCUCGGCCUUCUUGAUCCAGCAAGAGAUACAGAGAGGUAGAUGAGUUCUCCGGCAGCGUGACGGUGCUCCGGAGGUUGGUGGUGAUCUAUCCCAGCAGGGCUUCGCCCGAGCUCCGUGGAAAUACGAUCUAGAGGAACAACCAUGGAGGUAUGUGGUCGGACUCUCGUGGCAAAGUUGUCUCAAAUCAGCCCUAAUACCUCAGUAUAUAUAGGAGGGAGGGGGAGGGCCUUUCCUUGAGGCUCAAGGGAGCCCCAAGGGGUCGGCCGCACCAAGUGGAGAAGUCCUCCUCCUCCAAUCCUAGUCCAACUAGGAUUGGAAGGUGGAGUCCUUCCCUUCCUUCCCACUUCCCCUUUUUUCCAUUUGACUUCUUUAUCUCCUGCACAUAGGGCCUCUUGGGCUGUCCCACCAGCCCACUAAGGGCUGGUACGACACCCAUAAGGCCUAUGGGCUUUCCCCGGGUGGGCUGCCCCCCCCCCCCCCGGUGAACAUCCGGAACCCAUUCGUCACUCCCGGUACAUUCCAGGUAAUGCCCGAAAACUUUCCGGUAAUCAAAUGAGGUCAUCCUAUCUAUCAAUCUUCAUCUCCGGACCAUUCCGGAAACUCUCGUGACGUCCGUGAUCUCAUACGGGACUCCGAACAACAUUCGGUAACCAACCAUAUAACUCAAAUACACAUAAAACAUCGUCGAACCUUAAGUGUGCAGACCCUGCGGGUUCGAGAACUAUGUAGACAUGACCCGAGGGACUCCUCGCUCAAUAUCCAAUAGCGGGACCUGGAUUCCCAUAUUGGAUCCUACAUAUUCUACGAAGAUCUUAUCGAUGGAACCUCAGUGCCAAGGAUUCAUAUAAUGCCGUAUGUCAUUCCCUUUGUCCUUCGGUAUGUUACUUGCCCGAGAUUCGAUCGUCAGUAUCCGCAUACCUAUUUCAAUCUCGUUUACCGGCAAGUCUCUUCACUCGUUCCGUAAUACAAGAUCCCGUGACUUACACUAAGUCACAUUGCUUGCAAGACUUGUGUGUGAUGUUGUAUUACCGAGGGGGCCCCGAGAUACCUCUCCGUCACACGGAGUGACAAAUCCCAGUCUUGAUCCAUACUAACUCAACGGACACCUUCGAAGAUACCUGUAGAGCAUCUUUAUAGUCACCCAGUUACGUUGUGACGUUUGAUACACACAAGGCAUUCCUCCGGUGUCAGUGAGUUAUAUGAUCUCAUGGUCAUAGGAAUAAAUACUUGACACGCAAAAAACAGUAGCAACAAAAUGACACGAUCAACAUGCUACGUUCACUAGUUUGGGUCUAGUCCAUCACAUGAUUCACUCAACGAUGUGAUCCAGUUAUCAAGCAACAACAACACCUUGUACAUAGUCAGACGACCUUGACUAUCCUUGAUCAACUGGCUAGCCAACUAGAGGCUUGCUAGGGACAGUGUUUUGUCUAUGUAUCCACACAUCUAUCUAAGUCUUCAUUCAAUAUAAUUAUAGCAUGGAUAAUAAACUAUUAUUUUGAUACAGGAAUUAUAAUAAUAACUUUAUUUAUCAUUGCCUCUAGGGCAUAAUUCCAACAGUCUCCCACUUGCACUAGAGUCAAUAAUCUAGUCCUCACAUCGUCUUGCGAAUUACAUUGUAAUAAGUCUAACACCCAUACAGUUCUGGUGUUGAUCAUGCUUUGCCCGUGGAAGAGGUUUGGUCAGCGGGUCUGCCACAUUCAGAUCCGUGUGUACUUUGCAGAUAUUCACGUCCUCCUCCUCGACGUAGUCACGGAUGAGGUUGAAGCGUCGUUUGAUGUGUCUGGUCUUCUUGUGAAACCGUGGUUCCUAUGCUAAGGCAAUGGCACCCGUGUUGUCACAAAACAGGGUUAUUGGAUUCAGUGUGCUCGGCACCACUCCAAGAUCCAUCAUGAACUGCUUCAUCCAGACACCCUCCUUAGCUGCAUCCGAGGCAACCAUGUACUCUGCUUCACAUGUAGAAUCAGCUACGACGCUUUGCUUGGAACUGCACCAGCUUACCGCACCCCCAUUAAGAAUAAAUACAUAUUCGGUCUGCGACUUAGAGUCGUCCGGAUCUGUGUCAAAGCUUGCAUCGACGUAACCUUUUACGGCGAGCUCUUUGUCACCUCCAUAUACGAGAAAGAUCUCCUUAGUCCUUUUCAGGUACUUCAGGAUAUUCUUGACCGCCGUCUAGUGAUCCACUCCUGGAUUACUCCGGAACCUGCCUGCAAUAUUUAUGGCCAUGCUAAUGUCUGGUCUAGUGCACAUCAUUGCAUACAUGAUAGAACCUAUGGCUGAAGCAUAGGGGACGGUACUCAUAUGCUCUCUAUAUUUAUCAGUUGCUGGGCACUGAGUCUUACUCAAUCUCGUACCUUGUAAAACUGGCAAGAACCCCUUCUUGGACUGUUCCAUUUUGAAACUCUUUAAAACUUUAUCAAGGUACGUGCUUUGCGAAAGUCCUAUCAGGCGUUUUGAUCUAUCCCUAUUGAUCUUUAUGCCUAGAAUGUAAGCAUCUUCUCCUAGGUCCUUCGUAGAGAAACUUUUAUUUAAGUAAUCCUUUAUGCUCUCCAAAAGCUCCAUGUCGUUUCCAAUCAAUAAUAUGUCAUCCACAUAUAGUAUUAGGAACGCCACAGAGUCCCACUCACUUUCUUGUAAAUACAGGAUUCUCCAACCACCUGUAUAAACCCAAAUGCUUUGAUCACCUCAUCAAAGCGUUUAUUCCAACUCCAAGAUGCUUGCACCAGUCCAUAAAUGGAUUGCUGGAGCUUGCACACUUUGUUAGCAUUUUUAGGAUCGACAAAACCUUCGGGUUGCAUCAUAUACAACUCUUCCUUAAGGAAACCGUUAAGGAACGCCGUUUUGACAUCCAUCUGCCAGAUUUCAUAAUCGAAAAAUGCAGCUAUCGCUAACAUGAUUCGGACAGACUUAAGCAUCGCUACGGGUGAGUAUGUCUCAUCGUAGUCAAUUCCUUGAACUUGUGAAAAACCCUUUGCCACAAGUCGAGCUUUAUAAACGGUCACAUUACCGUCAGCGUCCAUCUUCUUCUUAAAGAUCCAUUUGUUCUGAAUAGCCUUGCGGCCUUCAGGUAGUACUUCCAAAGUCCACACUUUGUUUUCAUACAUAGAUCCUAUCUCGGACUUCAUGGCCUCCAGCCAUUUGUUGGAAUCCGGGCCCACCAUUGCUUCUUCAUAAUUCGCAGGCUCAUUGUUGUCCAACAACAUAAUUGAUAAGAGGGGAUUACCGUACCACUCUGGAGCAGUACGCGGUCUCGUCGACCUGCGAGGUCCUACAGUAACUUGAUCCGGAGUUUCAUGAUCAUCGUCAUUAACUUCCUCCUCAACCGGCGUCGCAACGACAGGGGUUUCCCCUUGCCCUGCGCCACCAUCUAGAGGGAUGAUAGGUUCGACAACCUCAUCAAGUUCUAUCUUCCUCCCACUCAAUUCUCUCGAGAGAAACUCCUUCUCGAGAAAAGCUUCGUUCUUAGCAACAAACACUAUGCCCUCGGAUUUGAGAUAGAAGGUAUACCCAAUUGUCUCUUUUGGGUAACCUAUGAAGACGCACUUUUCCGCUUUGGGUUACAGUUUUUCAGGCUGAUGCUUUUUGACAUAAGCAUCACAUCCCCAAACUUUAAGAAACGACAACUUUGGUCUUUUGCCAUACCACAGCUGAUAUGGUGUCGUCUCAACGGAUUUCGAUGGUGCCCUAUUUAAAGUGAAUGCAGUUGUUUCUAAUGCAUAACCCCAAAACGAUAACGGCAAAUCGGUAAGGGACAUCAUAGAUCACACCAUCUCUAAUAAAGUACGAUUACAACGUUCGGACACACCAUUACGAUGUGUGUUCCACGCGGUGUCAACUGUGAAACAAUUCCACAUUGUCUUAAGUGAGCACCAAACUCGAAACUCAGAUAUUCACCCCCACGAUCAGACCGUAGGAACUUGAUCUUCUUGUUACGAUGAUUUUCGACUUCACUCUGAAAUUGUUUGAACUUUUCAAAUGUUUCAGACUUGUGUUUCAUCAAGUAGACAUAACCAUAUCUACUCAAAUCGUCAGUGAAGGUGAGAAAAUAACGAUAUCCGCCGCGUGCCUCCACACUCAUCGGACCACACACAUCGGUAUGUAUGAUUUCCAACAAGUCACUUGCACGCUCCAUUGUUCCGAAGAACGGAGUUUUAGUCAUCUUGCCCAUGAGGCAUGGUUCGCACGUGUCAAGUGAAUCAAAAUCGGUAUGGAGUUUCUUCAUGCGCUUUACACCAAUAUGACCUAAGCGGCAGUGCCAUAAAAACAUGGCGCUAUCAUUGUUAACUCUAACUCUUUUGGUCUCAAUGUUAUGUAUAUGUGUAUUAUCACUAUCAAGAUUCAAUAUGAACAAUCCUCUUACAUUGGGUGCAUGACCAUAAAAGAUAUUACUCAUAGAAAUAGAACAACCAUUAUUCUCUGACUUAAACGAGUAACCGUCUCGCAAUAAACAAGAUCCAGAUAUAAUGUUCAUGCUUAACGCAGGCACUAAAUAACAUUUAUUUAAGUUCAUAACUAAUCCUGAUGGUAACUGAACUGAAACUGUGCCGACGGCGAUUGCAUCAACCUUGGAACCAUUUCCCAUGCGCAUCGUCACUUCAUCCUUCGCCAGCCUUCGCUUAUUCCGCAUUUCCUGUUUCGAGUUGCAAAUAUGAUCAACAUAACCGGUAUCGAAUACCCACGCACUACUACGAGAGCUGGUUAAGUACACAUCAAUAACAUGUAUAUCGAAUAUACCUGAAUUUUCUUUGGCCGCCUUCUUAUCAGCCAGAUACUUGGGGCAGUUGCGCUUCCAGUGACCCAUACCCUUGCAAUAAUAGCACUCCGUUUUAGGCUUAGGUCCAGCUUUGGGUUUCUUCGUCGAAUUCGCAACAGGCUUGCCGCUCUUCUUUGAGUUAUCCUUCUUUCCUUUGCCUUUUCUCUUGAAACUAGUGGUCUUAUUCACCAUCAACACUUGAUGCUCUUUACGGAGUUCUGACUCUGCGACUUUCAGCAUCGUGAAUAACUCAUCGGGUGACUUGUUCAUCCCUUGCAUGUUAUAGUUCAACACAAAGCCCUUAUAGCUUGGUAGCAGUGAUUGAAGAAUUUUGUCAGUGAUAGCCUCUUGCGGGAGUUCAAUCCCUAGCUUAGCUAGACAGUUUGAGUACCCACACAUUUUGAGCACAUGUUCACUGACACACGAAUUCUCCUCCAUCUUGCAAGCAUAGAAUUUAUCGAAGGUCUCAUACCUCUCGAUCGGGGCAUUCUUCUGAAACAUAAACUUCAACUCCUAGAACAUCUCAUAUGCUCCAUGAUGCUCAAAGCAACGUUGAAGUCCCGGCUCUAAGCCAUACAAGACUGCACAUUGAACUACUGAGUAGUCCUCCUUGCAUGUUAACCAAGCGUUCUUAACAUCUUGGUCAGCCGCGGCAGGUGGUUCAUCUCCUAGUGCAGCAUUAAGGACAUAAUCCUUCUUCCCAGCUUGCAGGAGCAACUUAAGAUUACGAGCCCAGUCUACAAAGUUGCUUCCAUCAUCUUUCAACUUAGCUUUCUCUAGGAACGUAUUAAAAUUUAGGGUGACUGACGCGUGAGACAUUGAUCUAGAACACAAAUAUUAGAGUUUAACUAAUCAAAUUACUUGCUAAACUCCCACUCAAAAAGUGCAUAUCGACGAAACUCCACGUUUAAUUAUUUAAUUCACUCCCGUUAAUUAUCACGUCAAUAUUACAUUGUUGUUAUCAUGGCAAGGGUGAAGCGAUGGUCCUACAAGUCAUCCUCGACGGUUAACUCGCGGAGCAAAGAACGGACGCUACGGCACAAGAGACAUGCAACACAAGAAAUAUUAUGCCAUGAAUGCGACAUGCAUGCAAGUUACAACACGGGCAAGAAGGGAAAGAAACAGGUGUCGCCACGGCGAGCGAGAGGGAACCAUGGCGGCAAAUCGGAAACGAUGCCACGGCAAUGUUCCUAUCCCGAUAACUCGUCGAGAUAUCGUGCCAACAUACUGGAAGCGUGUGCGGGAACGUUAAAUAAAGAUGGGGUGAUCCCGUAUCUCAGGUUCCCAUGUGUCGGGCACAACAUAGAGGGACAACGUGCAACGUCAAACAUACGGUGCAAUCAUACAUUACAUCUCAUACAUCACAUGCACAUGGUCACGAAACGUCUCAUCGGUAUACCUUUGACACAUGCAUAUCGGAGCGGUUCGGUUCGGUUCGGAGACCAACGGUCGUCGUGGAAGUAGUCGUACACGGUCUCGUCGACGGUAGUCGUUCGCUCGGCGUCGGAAAACGGUCUUCGGCGUCGGUAGUCGUUCGCGAAUCCGUAGAUGUCCGGGGGUCGUCGAGGACGUCGUGGUACUCGGCGAACUCAAUGUCGGUGACUCACGGCAGGCAGGGAUGGUGCACGCGGCGACAACANNNNNNNNNNNNNNNNNNNNNNNNNNNNNNNNNNNNNNNNNNNNNNNNNNNNNNNNNNNNNNNNNNNNNNNNNNNNNNNNNNNNNNNNNNNNNNNNNNNNUAUAGGAGACGCCACGCUCUCCGUCGUCUGGCUCGGGCCCGCCCAACCCCCCGAUAGUUUUAGCGGUUUCUUUGUGGUUGUUUGAUUAGAUAGGUUUGUUCAAUAUGUUGGUAUGUUAUUUUGGUCUAAUAUGAUGUGUUGUAGAUUUUAUUUAAUAAUUUAGUGUAUCAUAUGAUGUGGGCCAUGGCGUCUGGUCCCACCCAAACGCCAGGCACCCUCGCGCGUUCCUCGAAUCACUUACCUACCCAUCUUUCUCCCCCACCUCCUAUUUCUGCAUCACCCCCACCCCUCUCACCCCCCCCCCCCCCCCCCCCCCCCCCCCCCCUUGAUCUACUCCCUCCUCCAUCAAAAUCCUUAUAUCAGAGCCCCCCAAGCUUACUUGAGGUAAUCUCCCCCGAUCCCUCCAAUUUUUUUUUGUUUCAACAUCUUAUUUUGAGAGUAUUUUUGAAUAUUAGGUUAUGUUAGAUAAAUAGGUUACUUGAUAGUUUUAGCGGUUUCUUUGUGGUUGUUUGAUUAGAUAGGUUUGUUCAAUAUGUUGGUAUGUUAUUUUGGUCUAAUAUGAUGUGUUGUAGAUUUUAUUUAAUAAUUUCGUCUAUGANNNNNNNNNNNNNNNNNNNNNNNNNNNNNNNNNNNNNNNNNNNNNNNNNNNNNNNNNNNNNNNNNNNNNNNNNNNNNNNNNNNNNNNNNNNNNNNNNNNNUCUAGCAGGCAAAAGCUAGCAAAAAUCUACCUAGCAGCAGCAAAGCAAGCAAUCAACUAGCAGCAACACGCAAGCAAGCAUAGCGCAGGCAAGCAAGCUAGCAAAGCAAGCUUGCUAAGCGGCAUGCAAUAGCAGCUAACAGCAAAAGCUACCAACAACUACUAGCUAGCAAAGCAGCAGCAUCUACAGCAGCCUAACAGCAAAAGCUACGGCAACACAGCUAUGGCAACGACAAACUAGCAACCGGCUCGACAGGCUACGCAGCAGCACGCGGCAACAGCAACAAGAUCCUAUCGGCACAGCAAGCAGCAGCACGGGACAGCAACAGCAAACGCACGCACAACAACUACCUAGCGGCGGCAGGCACACCUAGCAGCAGCUAAGCUAGCUAGCUGCGGCAGCACAAGCAGCAGGACAACGGCACGCAUCGGCUAGCCAGCGCGCCGACAACAACAACGACAGCGGCAAGCAGGCACAUCUAGCAGCACAGCACACAGUAGCAACAACACACUGCAGCGGCGGCUCGGCAUAGGACGGCUCGGGCUUGUCUUCUGCAGAGAAGGCGGCCACAGUUCCUGCAGCAGCAACAGCAACAGGAGGCGAGCGAGCCACGAGGAACGAGGAGGCCACAGCGCGGCAAGACGAUGGGGCGAGCAACCGGCGGGGUACCAUGGAGAGGCGAGCACGGCGGGGCGCCAUGGGGAGUGGCGGAGACCUAGGUGGUAGUGGCGCCGGCCUUGGCCUCUCUGGUGGCUCGGUCGCAGCAGGCAGCACGGCCUCGGGACAAGAGGGAGGAAGGAACGGGGCUGGCGAGCUCGCGAGGCGGCGCACUGGCGAAGGACCUCGGCACAGGGGCGAGCCGGUGGCGGGGGGGAAGGCCAAGGGCGGCUUGGCGCUGGGCAUCUCGCAGGCGGGGCGGUGGCAGGAGGAGAGGAAGGAGGGAUCGGGACGGGCUACACAGGGGAGAAACGGGGAGAGAAGGGGAUCGAGAGGAGGGGGAUGAUGCGCCGGGGAGGACGAGAUCGGGCAAGGGUGAUCUCUAUGGCACGGGGAGGAGGCCUGGGCCUUGGCCGGCUUGGCCUCUCCCUCUCCCUAUUGUUUUUUUAAACUCUUGAAACAGAAAUUUUUAAAGAAAGAAAGGCUUAUAACAAAAAUAAAAUAUGAUAAAUGUCUUUGACCCCUUUUUGAAAAAAAUAUUCCCAACUAUAAGAAAUAGUGGGCAUUUUUAAAAGAAAAAAUACAAACCCUUUUUGAAGAAUUAAAAAUUGAAACCAUUUUUAAAAAAGAAUAAAAUAAACCUCUUUUAUUUAAAGAAUAAAAUAAAAAGCUUUAAAAGAGAAAAGAAAAUGAUACGGAUUUAAAAUAAAACAAAAGGAGGAAAAAAGAAACCCAAGGGGUUGCCCCCACACUUAAUAAAAGGGGUUUUAAAAGAAGACGCUUUUUUUAAAAGGGUUAAAACGGAAACUUUACACAACCCCAAAACAAAAUCAAAGAGAAGAGAGGAGGGGAGUGGUUCGCGGUGAAAUGGGGCUUAGCGGUGGCUCUCACGCACACACUCUCAUCAUGCCAACAAACGACGUCACACUCACAAAGCACUAACACCCAACAACACAGUAACAAGCAACACCGACAACUAACACGGAUGACAUGAUGCCAUGCAUGAUGCGAUGAUGCAAACUAAAUGAAGAUGCAACAAAUAAAACUAACCACACGACGGAAACAGAAAUAAAGGGGAAUCUUCUGGGAUGUCGUUCUCGGGCUGUCACAACUCUCCUACACUACAAGAGGAUCUCGCCUCGAGAUCCAAGAAUGAAAGGGGGAGAGGAUGAGAAAGAACAAGAGGUAAAAACUUAGUCGCUUCUUUGACAAAUGAGUGAAACCAACGAUCCUUGAAGGUUACAAAGAGAUAAUGAUAUGAGAAACAAGCAAGAAUUCACGGAAAAUUUCGACAGCACUUCGGUAGGAAAAUGGGACAAAAAAUUCGAUAAGAUGGAAGAAAUAGACAAUAUUCACAACAAACAAGUAAAUAGAACAAGGCAACACCAUGAUCUUGAUAGAACAACAUAAUAGACCCAAAAGAGCAACAUUACAAUGCCUCCGGAACAAUAGAAUAGGAACUAGCUCAUACGGAAGAAGAGAAUGAAGAGAGAAUGACAACUACUACUCCAAUGAACUUGGCAAGCAACCUUGCAAGAAGAAUUGGACGUAGUUGUUGGAAAAAAAAAACAACGAAAAGAACAAGAUAGUAGUGGGCUUAUGGAAACCUUCCAAACUAAUGAAGUGACAACCAGCCACUAACAGAAUUAAGGAUUGCUUGGGAGCAACAAGAAAUGGACACUUCUUACACCAAGAGGGUACAUUGAGAACUAGGAUUAAUGACAAGCACCAUGAUAGCAUAAUCCAUAGGAAAAGCUUUAGGUGAAAACCAAAGCAAGAUAGCUCAAUGAAGAAAUCAUGGGUAGAAAUAUCUCAUGAUCAUAGAAUUGGUGGUUUAAUUAUCUCAUUCUUGAGAGGAAAUCUCUUCGAGGCUCCUACACUAACAAGAAUGCUAUAAUACCACCUCAAAGGAUAAAGGAAGAACAAUUGCACAUAUAAAUGCAAGAGAAAGGAUACUUGAGGUUCUCCAACAAGAAUCUUGAAGAACACUUGAGAAUGGAUUGAAACCUUGAUGAACCACCAUGAAGGACCUCCGUAUAAAAAUGAAUGAAGCAAAGAUAUGAAGGUAGAAAAUAAUAAUAUUAUGACCUUGCCAAGAUUUAGNNNNNNNNNNNNNNNNNNNNNNNNNNNNNNNNNNNNNNNNNNNNNNNNNNNNNNNNNNNNNNNNNNNNNNNNNNNNNNNNNNNNNNNNNNNNNNNNNNNNCGGCAGCCCGACCACAUAUCUCCACGGUUUUACCUCUAGAUCGCGUUUCUGCAAAGCUCGGGCGGAGCCCUGCCGAGACAAGAUCAUCACCAACCUCCGGAGUGUCGUCACGCUGCCGGAGAACUCUUCUACAUCUCUGUCUCUCUUGCUGGAUCAAGAAGGCCGAGAUCAUCGUCGAGCUGUACGUGUGCUGAACGCGGAGGUGCCGUCCGUUCGGCACUAGAUCAUGGGACUGAUCGCGGGACGAUUCGCGGGGCGGAUCGAGGGACGUGAGGACGUUCCACUACAUCAACCGUGUUCACUAACGCUUCUGUUGUACGGUCUACAAGGGUACGUAGAUCACACAUCCCCUCUCAUAGAUGGACAUCACCAUGAUAGGUCUUCGUGCGCGUAGGAAAAUUUUUGUUUCCCAUGCGACGUUCCCCAACAGUUCGGUGACCGCCCUCAAGGGUCCCUUAGUGGAAUCACGACAUCUUGCAUUGUGCGAGGGCGUGAGGAGAUUAUGGUGGCCUUAGUUGCAUCUUGGGGAGCAUUGUGCCUCUACACCGCUCCAACGGAGAUUAGCAUCCGCAAGGGUGUGAACUUCGGGAUACAUCAUCGUCUCCGUGUGCCUCGGUUAUCUCUUACCCGAACCCUUUACUUAUGCACUUUACUUUGUGAUAGCCAUGUUUCUUGUCAUAUAUCUUGCUAUCACUUAGUUGUUUAUCUUGCUUAGCAUAAGUUAUUGGUGCACAUAGUUGAGCCUAGUUGUUUUAGGUUUUGUGCUUGACAAAUUAAACGUUAAUUUUAUUCCGCAUUUGUUCAAGCCUAAACCGUAAUUAUUUUAAAGCGCCUAUUCACCCCCCCCCUCUAGGCAACAUCCACGUCCUUUCACACUGCACCAGUUGCGUUGACAGGCCAACGCACCCUUGAUCAGUUAAACGCUCUCGAGCCUGAUCCUUUGCGUCCAGGGUAUAUCAAAGGGUAUAAUACGAAACACGCCUGAACUCACAAGUCAUGCUUAUGGGAUCUGCCUUACUUCAAAGACCUCCUUUGCCCACACAACAUAGACGUGAUGCACACUGAAAAGAAUAUUGCGGAGGCCAUUUUUGGUAUAUUGUUCGGCAUAGAGGGGAAGUCAAAGGAUAAUCCUAAGGCUAGAAUCGACCAGGAGGCUCUAUGUGAUAGACCGUUACAAAACUUGCGACAACGGGAAGGAAAGCAAAGCAUAGCGAAGCCAAAGGCAUGGUUCAAUCUUGAAAGGCCAGCUAUGAGGGAAAUGCUAUUGUGGGUGAAAAUGCAGUUGAUGUUCCCCGAUGGGUAUGUUGCGAAUCUAAAGAGGGGAGCGAGUCUUGAGAAACUGAAAAUAUUUGGUCUCAAGAGUCAUGAUUGACACAUAUGGAUUGAGCGGGUAAUGCCGGUGAUGUUGCGUGGAUUUAUCCGUGAGGAUAAAUGGCUAGUACUCGCAGAGCUGAGCUAUUUCUUCCAUUCUCUUUGUGCGAAAGAACUAUCGCCUGGUGUGCUAGAUGAAAUGGAAGAGUUGGUGGCGGAGUUGAUCUGCAAAUUAGAAAAGAUCUUUCCACCGGGCUUCUUGAAUCCAAUGCAGCAUUUGAUUUUGCAUGUCCCGACCGAGGCAAGAUUGGGGGGCCCGUUCAAAAUAGAUGGUGCUUCUCACGUGAGAGGAUGCAGAAGACGCUUCGAGCUAAAUGUAAAAAUAAAUGUAGAAUUGAAGCAUCGAUGGCCGAGGCAUUCAUUACUUAGGAGGCGGCAAACUUCGUGACAACACAGUAUGAAGCCAAAAAUCAUCAUUUGCAUAACCCGAAGCCUCGGUACAAUGAUGGCGAUCCUAAAAAAGGUCGAUCCAACCUCAGCCUAUUCAAAGGGAAGCUCGCACCAUCCGGUGCUUCGAAAGGGAAAUUGUUGGAUGUCGAAGAAUGGCGGACCAUUUCAUUGUAUAUCUUCACCAACCUAACAGAAGUGCGGCUGUACAUCGAGUAAGUUCUCGGUAAAUUAUUGUUCCGCGACUUCUAAUUCCUUUGAACUGCUCUUAUUCCCGGAUAUUUGAUAUAGUCGAUACGUCGCUGAAUUCUCGGAUGGAGCGGUCAUCGAAAAGGAUUCCGUCGAAUAGUAUGAGCUUCUCGCAAAGCAUGGAGGCGACUAUCUCGGUUUCAUCUCUUGGUUCAAACAAAGGGUAAUUAAUUACCAUUAAUGGGCCAUUUGAUUUCUUGGUCUAAUUUGAGGCUAAUGCAUCCAUUCUUUCAUAUUAAACUUGUAGGAUGAUGUAGAGUCUAUGGACGCCAAGUUGAGACAAGUCGCUAACAGUUUUGACUAUAAGGUUCGUUCAUUUGACAAAUACAACAUCAACGAGUAUCACUUUCGUACCUUUGGCUAAGAACUAUCUAUGCCUGACCUAAAGACUACAAAUUGUUUUGUCUUUGCUAUCGGCGAAGGAGGUACCGAUUAUUAUGGAAGAGUUGAAGCAAUUUAUGAACUUCUAUUCUAUGGUGAAAACCCACCAACCGUCGUAGUCUUCAAAUGUUAUUGGUUUGAGCUAAGGGAGACUAGAAGGACUCAUGAACAUAUAGGACUAUUGGAAAUCAACCAAAACACCCACUUAGAUGUUAUCGAUGUCUAUAUUACGGCUCAACAGGUGACACAAGUUUUAUAUCUACCGUGGGCCUGCCAAACUGAUCCAAAUAUGAAAGGUUGGGAUGUCGUUUAUGAAGUGUCGCCAUGUUUUAGACCACCUACCCUCAAUGAAGAGGAUUACGAACCUCACAUUAACCCAGACACAUAUGAAGGAUAAUUCUUCCAAGAAACACGUAUGUCCAAGAAAUGUUUCAAGAACUGCUCUACUUCACCCCAGAACAUUGAAGUAGACAGCGAUAGUGAAUCCGUCUUAACCCCUGAGCCCGAACAGGAAGAGUCGGAAGAAGAAGAGGUUACUACUGCGGAUGACCUGUCACUUCUUGACCGAUUACAUAAUGGUGGCCUUCCACAUGUUCUUCCUGAUAGUGAUGAUGAUGUAGCAUUUAUUGAUGAUAGUGAUGAUCAAGAUGCAUUUAUUGACCCCGAAGCAUAUAUAGACGAGCACGAUUGUUAUUAGUUCAUGUCAGGUAUUCAACUAUUACUAUAUAUACAUAUAUAAAUUUUUAGUUCAUGUUAGGUAUUCAUUUUUUAUUAGUCAUGUUGGUAUUUAUGAUGAUGAUACACUUAAAUUAUAUACAUUUUAUUACUCAUGUUGGCAUUUAUGUUGUACUAAUUAAUUUCAUUUACUCUUUGUCAUGGCAGGUGUUGAAAGAUGGUGGAAAAGGGUCGAAAGCAUUCAACGGAUCCUUCUUCGUCGGCGGGUGGUGGGAUGGAUACUUCCAUUCCUGCCUCGCCUCUCCGGAGAGUGUUGCUCUCUACUCUGCAUGGAGUGGUCGCUUCUUCGACUCCUGCAGCCCCCGUGAGAGGAGGUCGACCCCCCAUGAAGUCGAGAGGUACUAAAGGUACACAUGGCCGCAGGAGAGGUAGGGUGGCUGCCACGCCUUCCUCGCCGCCACCCCUAGCUGAUUCACCUGAGCACAGGACUACUAGGGUGGACCCGUCUGAGGUGGAGGCUACACGGUCUCCGGUUCACAAUCCUCAGGUCGAGGAGCCUUCGACCCACGAGACUCGUGUCCCAGAGGCUUCGUUCCAGGAGACUUCGGAGCAAAGCAGGGAUGAGAGUACGUCCCAAGAGUGGGAUACAUGGACUGAUCUAGGGCAGUCGGAGCCAACUGGCCAUGCUGAUAGCGACGAGGAGCUGGGUGAGGGGGCCACCCUGUACCAGCGUGGUAGUUCGGGGCUCCCGCUCGUGCCAGCAACCCGCGAGCAGAGGUGGUCGAUUAAGCCAAAUGGGGACAAGUUAAUUUACUCUUAUUUAACCUUUUGCCUUGACGUUUUCUCAAAUAUCUAAUGUUCUGGCUUUAAUUUUUCAUACUGCAGGUGUUGGAUUGUUGCCAAGGGUCUCCGCAAGCCCAACAACGUCCUUGUUGUGAUUUGCUAGCAAAACUUCCCGAGGUUUGUUACGUUGCCCGGUCGGGAGCGAGAGGUAGAAAUGACCUGGGAGCACUACUUGGGUGCCCCGACCCCCGGUAGGUGUGCCACACCAUUAAGGGAGCGUCAACUUAAUCCAAUUUGGCGAGAACUGGGUGUGUGGUUUGCUUCAUGACUCAUGCAAUUCAUUCUUAAUGCUAGCUUGGUCCCUUUACUAAUACAUUUUUCCUCUCUCUCUCUUUUAGGCGCGUCACAAUAAGACGGAGGUACCACAGAUGUACGACCUCGAUGCGUUGUCCCAUACUGCCUCGUACAAGAAGGUCAAGGCAUUCUCUGAGUCUGACCUCGAGCAUCCUGAAAACUUCACCAACAUCUCCUCCCACCACAAGCUCGUGAAGUACAGAGAUCACGGGAAGGCGAGGAAAGGGGAGGACUUUAACCCGAGCCAGGGGCCUAUUGAUCCAGAGCUGGUGAUGAUAGCUCGCAACGGGAGGCCCCAUGGCUCGAUCGCCGUCAGAGACGGCCUUAUACGUUGUCCUAGCACUCUCCGGCAAAUAAAGGCACGCCAAACAAGCUCCUGUCCUGAGAUAACACCUUGUCCACGGCCAGUCGAGCUCGCCAUCGAGGUUAGUUUAAUGGACUCAACUAUCUUUCCGCAUUACGUUGUGUGUGCGAACCAAUAUGAUUACAAUGCUAACAAUGAGUUGUGUUGCAGGCUGCUAUUCUGAAAGAGAGAGAGGCAAUGCAGGCGCUUUUGGCGGAGAAGGAUAAGGAGAUGAAGGAGCGGGAGGAGAGGAUGGCUACGUUGGAGGAGGCGGAAAGGGCAUGGAAUGAUGCGUCUAACAGGGCGAUGUAAGAGCUUAUCGUGGUAAGUUUCUUAUUCAUAUUUGUCAAAUCUUGCAUUUUAAUGUGCGUUUCAUUAAUAAUUAAAAAGUUUGACUUGUCGAAACCAAAUGUACAGUCUAUGUGCGAGAAGACCGGCCACGUCCCUCCCGGAAUGCCAGUCAUUAAAAUGGCGGGGACGGUUAGUUUCAUUUCAAUGCAGUGAUCUUUUGAGUGUCAUCAUGAUAACGACACAUUGCAAACGAUGUUUGGUGCAGAAUAUCUCCCAAAACGCAUCGCACGACCCUUCUACAGUGGAGCCUUCUCCAGGGCAGCCUUCUCGAGGUGAAACAAGCCAGAGCCACCAUGCUUCACCGCCGUGAUGACGAGAAUGGUAUGUUUUUUCUAGUGUUUUGCUUAACAACCGCAUAAUGAUCUUUACUUACCUUACCUUAGCUCCAAAAUGACAUAUUUUACCCAAGUUAGCUCUAGAAUGACCUAUACUUGGCUUGGCUUCCACCUAAAUGACAUAAUUAGCUUAGUUAGCUCCAAAAUGGCCUAUUUGAUAAAAAAAAUGACCUAUACUUAGCUAAGUUCUCUCCUAAAUGACAUAAUUAGCUUAGUUAGCUCCAAAAUGGCCUAUUUGAUAAAAAAAAUGACCUAUACUUAGCUAAGUUCUCUCCUAAAUGACAUAAUAAGCUUAUGUAGCUCCAAGAUGACCUAUUCCCCCUAACUUAGCUAUUAAAUGGCCUAUAAUUAGCUUAGUUAGCUACAAAAUGGCUUAAUAAGCAUAGUUAGCUUUAAAAUGACAUAUUUUACCCAAGUUAGCUCUAGAAUGACCUAUACUUAGCUUGGCUUCGACCUAAAUGACAUAAUUAACUUACUUAGCUCCAAAAUGGCCUAUUUAAUAAAAAAAUGACCUAUACUUAGCUAAGUUCUCUCCUAAAUGACAUAAUAAGCUUAUGUAGCUCCAAGAUGACCUAUUCCCCCUAACUUAGCUAUUAAAUGGCCUAGAAUUAGCAUAGUUAGCUUCAAAAUGACAUAUUUUACCCGAUCCUGAUUAUCCCAAAACCCAAUGUGAGUUUUUUCUAUUUUUACAUACUCCCCCGCCACGAGCUAACGAGUUAGCUCUAGAAUGACCUAUACUUAGCUUGGCUUCCACCUAAAUGACAUAAUUAGCUUAGUUAGCUCCAAAUUGGUCUAUUUAAUAAAAAAUGACCUAUACUUAGCUAAGUUCUCUCCUAAAUGACAUAAUAAGCUUAUGUAGCUCCAAGAUGACCUAUUCCCCCUAACUUAGCUAUUAAAUGGCCUAUAAUUAGCUUAGUUAGCUACAAAAAGGCUUAAUAAGCAUAGUUAGCUCCAAAAUGACAUAUUUUACCCAAGUUAGCUCUAGAAUGACCUAUACUUAGCCUGGCUUCCACCUAAAUGACAUAAUUAGCUCAGUUAGAUCCAAAAUGGCCUAUUUAAUAAAAAAAUUGACAUAUACUUAGCUAAGUUCUCUCCUAAAUGACAUAAUAAGCUUAUGUAGCUCCAAGAUGACCUAUUCCCCCCUAACUUAGCUAUUAAAUGGACUAUAAUUAGCUUAGUUAGCUAAAAAAUGGCUUAAUAAGCAUAGUUAGCUCCAAAAUGACAUAUUUUACCCAAGUUAGCUCUAGAAUGACCUAUACUUAGCUUGGCUUCCACGUAAAUGACGUAAUUAACUUAGUUAGCUCCAAAAUGACAUAUUUUACCCAAGUUAGCUCUAGAAUGACCUAUACUUAGCUUGGCUUCCACGUAAAUGACGUAAUUAACUUAGUUAGCUCCAAAAUGGACUAUUUAAUAAAAAAUAACAUAUACUUAGCUAAGUUUUCUCCUAAAUGACAUAAAAUGCUUAUGUAGCUCCAAGAUGACCCAUUCCCCCUAAGUUAGCUAUUCAAUGACCUAUAAUUAGCUUAGUUAGCUCCAAAAUGGCUUAAUAAGCAUUGUUAGCUCCUAAAUACCUAUUUUUACCUAAGUAGCUCCAAAAUGACAUAUACUUAGCUUAGUUUCGUCCUAAAUGAUGUAGUAAACUAAAUUAGCUCCGAAAUGACCUAUACUUCUCUUCUUCAUCUAGUCUUCUUCUUCUAACUUACUUAUUUCCCAUUUUGCAGAUUACAUUCACUUCACGGAAGUUUGGAUUGAUGGAGUGCUUCAAUAUGGUUUCUUCUAAAAUGGCGUCACGAAAGCUUGGAUUGAAACUAUUGUAAUAUAUGGAUAUGAAACUUUGUAUGUAUGGAUGAAACUAGUGUAAUAUAUGGUUUUGGUACGGAUGAAACUUGCAUAAUAUGUAUGUAUUAUGGAUGAAACUUAUUUUAAUAUGGUUAUCAGUAUGGCAACACAACAUUAUUUAUGUCAUAUAUAUAUAUGAUUUAUGUGAAAAUUGCUGGAUAUAAUAAAAAAUAAAAUAAACAGGGGCAGUUUGGAGCCUUUGCCGUCCGCCCACCGACGGCAAAGGGGUUGCAGCAAACGACAAAGGGUCCAAAGCCCUGGGCUGAAGAAGACUGGGUGCCCCCUUUGUCGUCAGCCCACUAGCAUGGCAGACGGCAAAGGGGGCAAGGGCAGACGACAAAGGGUCUGAAGCCCUGGGCUGUAGCAGAAUGGGUGCCCCCUUUGCCGUCAGCCCACAAGCAUAGCAGGCGGCAAAGGGGGGCAUGGCAGAUGGCAAAGGGUCUGUGGGCCCAACAGGCUGCCGUUAACACUUGACGGAGGUGCCCCACGGAUCUGCCGUCCCAUGUUCUCUGCCGUAUGCCCCCCACGGCAAAGGUUCUUUGCCAUCCGCAGGACCAAUGCAGACGGCAAAGAACCCCUUCACCAGAUUUUUCUUUGCCGUCCAUUUUGUCGUCUGCAGACGGACGGCAAAGGCCUUCGCCGUCCGGGGUGCUUCCCUUUGCCGUCAGCCAUGGCAGACGGCAAAGUCUUUGAUUCCUGUAGUGAUGGAUCAUUCAAGACUAGAAGCUUCCAUGUGCAGCCGCAAGCUAUUAUGGGCUCCAGCAUAGUUGUGUACUCCAGAAAUACUGUGUCUCGGUCAUCCUAUUCUCAAACACCAUGUAGUGUGAGGACUUCAAGGGAGGUGAUCGAGUCUUGCGGGAAAAGUGUGGAAACCUCUGUAGAGUGUUAAACUAACCGAUUAGUCGUGUCCCCGGUUACGGACAAUUUGAGCGACUAGAAUUGGAUUAUCUAGAUAUUCUCAACACUUGAUACAUUAAAUGAACAUGGGAUUAUUGACAACCUUGGGUUAUGAGAAUUUGGUUGGUGGAACCAUCUCUUUAGUUACACCAUCUUUGUAGAAAGAAAUCUGAUUUAACUUUGAUUUAGGACAAAACUGGCUUUUAUGCAAAAAAAACUCAGACAUAGAGCCUCCACUGCCAUAUUGCAUAUAGUGAUAGACUUAUUUUCAUCUCCCUUUAUAUGUGAUCUUGCCAGUACUUUCAAUGUAUUAACCUACAUGGCUCCAACGUAUUAUGUUGUAGAUAUUCAUACGAUGAGUAAGAGUACGACUUAGGGUUACGGUUUACACUCAACCUGUCGUUGGUGUUUAUUGGGACUCCGCUCCCGUUGACUGUUUCUGCUGAGAAAGAGGUGUAUAUCAUUAUUGCGUUAUUUACACGUGAUUGCACUUUGAGAUAUACAUUGAUGUAUUGUGUGUGCCAACAUACUGAUCCAGGGAUGGCAGAGAGACAUAGAGGCUUGACUCGUUUUGAUUUGGGUCACUACACCUUAGUUACUUCAUGCAUUUUUAAGAUCAAUUCAGCAUGUUGUUAGCUUCAAAAUUAACCUUCUUCGAAGAUGGGAGAGACAACAAAUCAAUAGGUGCACGAGGUAGGAAACCAUACAAAAUUUCAAAAGGGCUCAUCUUAGUAGUAGAAUGCAACGAACGAUUAUAAGCAAAUUCAAUAUGAGGCAAGCAAUCUUCCCACAUUUUCAAGUUAUUCUUCAAAACAACCCUAAGCAUAGUAGACAAUGAUCUAUUGACUACUUUAGUUUGUCCAUCAAUUUGGGGUGACAUGUAGUACUUAAAAGCAGUUUAGUCCCCAACUUAGCCUAUAAACAUCUCCAAAAAUGGAUAAGGAAUUUAGCAUCACAGUCUGAAACAAUUGUAUUUAGCACAUGAUGCAAGCGAGUAAUAUCACAAAAGAAAAAUCAGCAACAUUAGCGGCAUCAUCACUUUUAUGACAUGGUAUAAAGUCUGUCAUUUUAGAAAAUCUAUCCUCGAAAACAAAUAUGCUAUUCGUCCCCUUCAUUGUUCGAGGUAAACCUAAAAUAAAGUCCAUAGAUGUAUCCUCCCAAGGAACACUAGGUACAGGCAAAGGCAUAUAUAAACCAUGAGGAUUGAGUCAUGACUUAGCUUUUUGACAUGUAGUGCAGCGAGCAACAAAACGCUCCACAUCCCGUCUCAUAUUUGGCCAAAAUAAAUGUGUAGCAAGUACGCCCUCUGUCUUUUUCAUGUCAAAGUGCCCCAUUAAUCCUCCUCUGUGCGCCUCCCGCAACAACAAAAGACAAACAGAGCUACCUGGAAUGCACAACUUGUUAGCACGGAACACAAAUCCAUCAUGAAUGACGAACUUGUUCCAUGUUCUCCCUUCUUUACAAUUAUGCAACACAUCUUUAAAUUUUACAUCAUGCACAUAUUGAUCUUUGAUGGUAUCCAAACCAAAUAUUUUAAAGUCAAGUUGUUAAAGUAAAGUAUAGCGAUGAGACAAUGCAUCGGCAAUAAAAUUUUAUUUUCCCUUCUUGUGUUUUAUGACAUAAGGGAAAGUUUCAAUGAAUUCAACCCAUUUAGCAUGUCUACGGUUCAUUUUUGCUUGACUUCUAAUAUGUUUCAAAGAUUCAUGAUCAAAAUGUAUAACAAAUUCUUUGGGCCAUAAAUAAUGUUGCCAUGUUUCCAAAGUCCGAACAACACGUAAAUGUUUCAAGUGUUCCUCCAAGGAUCUACUACAAAUCAAUAUAUCAUCAAAAUAGACUACCACAAUUCGUCCAAUGAAAGCACGUAAAACCUCCUUCAUUAAUCUAAUGAAAGUACUAGGUGCAUUAGUUAACCCAAAAGGCAUGACUAACCACUCAUAUAAUCUAAAGUUAGUUUUAGAUGCUCUUUUCCAUUCAUCCCCCAAUUUCAUAUGAAUUUGAUGGUAUACACUACGCAUAUCAACUUUGGAGGAAAUUGUAGAGCCACUUAAUUCAUCAAGCAUAUCAUCUAACCUGGGAAUAGGAUGAUGAUAAUGAAUAGUAAUAUUAUUAAUGCCUCUACGAUCAACACGGAUACGCGAUGUACCAUCCUUUUUCGGCACUAGGAUAAUAGGAACAAGACAAGGACUAAGGGAUUCUCAUAUAUAACCUUUGUCAAGCAACUCCUGUACUUGACACAUAAUUUCCUUCGUCUCCUCUGGAUUUGUACGGUAUGGAGCACGGGUGGGUAGUGAUGCACCGGGAAUUAAGUCAACUUGAUGCUCAAUCCCUCUAACAGGUGGUAAUCACGGGGGUACGUCUUGUGUAAAGACGUGUGCGAACUCCUCAAAAUGUUAAUUACAACAAAAGUCAAAGAGGGAGGCAUGUCCUCGAAUGAAAAUAAUACCUCUUUGCAUAUGAAAGCAUAGCAAACAACUAUAGUAACAUCCAAAUCAGUAAUAUCAGAUUUAUUCGCAAGUAAACAACCACUCUUCAGUUUUAUUUCAGAUGCAACACUAGAUGAUGGUUUAUUAGGCUUAUUGUGUUGCUCAAAUUCCUUUGCCGCAAUCUGAUUUUCACUCUCAUUUUGCUCUUGUUUUGCUUUACUAGCUCUAGCAAUGUCAUCUUUCAUAAUAUGUUUAGGAGACAUAGGAAGCAAAGUUAUAUUUUUAUCCUUAUGAACAAGAGUAUAUUGAUUUGUCCUACCAUGGUGUACAUAUUUUUUAUUUAUCAAAUUGCCAUGGUCUACCAAGUAAAUCGGAGCAUGCUUGCAUGGGUACCACAUCACAAUCAGCACCAUCAAAAUAUGUAGCAAUGCUAAAGUGCACACGAACAAUACGUGUUACCUUAACCUUGCCACUGUUGUUGAACCAUUGGAUGUAAUAUGGAUGAGGAUGUGCUCUGGUGGUUAGAGACAACUUCUUCACCAUCUCCAUGCUAGUCAAGUUGUUGCAACUCCCUCCAUCGAUGAUUAUCCGAACAUAACGUUCCUUCACUACUCCCUUUGUAUGGAACAAGUUGUGGCUCUGAUUUUUCUUAGCAUGUGUUACUUGCACACUUAAAACACAUUGAGCGACUAAACUUUCAUACCCGUCGGCGUAGUCAGCAACCAUGUAGUGUGUCUCUUGUUGAGUCUCAUCAACACCCUGUUCUUCACUUGCAGUAAGAGGCAGAGUCUCCUCAUUAUAAUCACUAGCAGAGUAAUAUGCACCAUCCUAAGUAACAAUCAUGACACGCUUGGACGGGGCUGUCUCUCGCAUAGUGACCUCCACCCAGGCAACGGCGACAUAUAACCUCAUGUGUUCUCCCUAUUGAUGCAAUGGAUGAAGAAGAGCUCUAUGCAGACCCGGAAGGUGUGCUCUUGGCGGAGGGUGGGCAUGUGCCUGUUUCCUGGUAUGUCAGUUGGAGUUGAUUGCUGAAGUAGGUGGUGCUGCAACAGGAUGUGUGGAAGUAGAUGAGGUACGUGGCGUCCAUGAUGAAGUGCAACCUAUAGAAAAAUUAGUUAUGGCCAAUGCUUGUCGAUCCUGCACUUCAUGUUCAGCUUUGCAAGCAAUAUGGAAUAAACGAGUGAUAGUGUUGUACUCUUUAUAUUAUAAAAUAAUAUGAAUAUCUCUAUUUAAUUCACCCCUAAAACGUGCAAGCAUAGCUUCAUUGUCCUCAACAAUACCACAUCUAACCAUGCCAGUUUGUAAUUCCUCACAAUAUUCUUCUAUAAAAUUCUUUCCUUGUCUUAAAUGCUGCAAUUUUGAAGUGAUUCACGUUGAUAAUAUGGAGGAACCCAACGAGUACGCAUAGCUGUUUUCAAAGCAGGACAAGUAGUUGGUAUAUUAGCAUGAUGUAUUCUACAAUGUUCAGACCACCAAACACAAGUAAAACUAGUGAAUGAACAAACAACGAAAUCAACACGUCUAUCAUCAGGAAAUUGUAAGCAUGUAAAACGUUGCUCUGUUUCUAACUCCCAAGUAAGAUAUAUAUCAGGAACAUAUAUACCAUCAAAUGUAGGAAUAUUCAAUUUAAGUUUAGGGAUAUGGUCAUGAUCCCGUACCUGAGGAGGUGGUGCAACCCUACCAUUGCGAUUGUAUCCAUGUGGACGACACGGUUCUUGUGGUGGUGGAUGUUGUCCCCGGUGCUGAUUUGGAGCAACCUCUCCGUCAUCAUCGUAAUCACCAUCAUAAUCCUCAUUCUGCUCAACUACAGUAGCAGCAGCAUCCACGGAAACCACAGUAGUAGCAGCAGGAGCAACAACACCAGGGUUCUGGACUUGGCCGGCAGGCACACGUCGCGCUCGUCCCACACAAUUCUGGCCUUGUUCCUGUCGUUGUUGUUUUUGUUGGACUGAGACGGAAGCUGCAGCUGGUGGUGGUAGACGGGCAAGCACCUCAUUGAACUUGGCGUCCAUCCUGGUGUCGAAUGUCUUAUCCAAACUGUCUAUCUUCUCCAUGGCCUCUCCAAGGCUAGUCAUGAAGUCUUUUACCUGGUCAGCCAUAAUUUGCUGAAAUUUAUCAUGGAGAUCCUGGUUGGUCAGGCUCUCCCAGUUGAUCUCGUCGGCUUGUGAUCCUGGCAUUGUUAGUAGCAAUAGGAACAUAGAAUAAUAUGAACCUACAGACUACUAACAAGUGUUGUUGGUGGUGGUGUGUCAUAAAUCCGUCAAGCAAAUCUGAAAUUCUUACCAGUUCUUACCCGCCAGCAGGUGGUGAUCGGUAACCAUUGUAGUCAAAACUCUCAAAGCUUGGAUAAAGCGAUUGUCAGGUGGUGUCAAACACACGAUGUAGAUGUAUGUGGAGCUAGGAAGUUUUAUAAUAUGGUAGCAAAAAGAAUCAACAAUAAUCAGUUCAAAGAUGCAAAGUUGAAAGGACGCUCAAUGAAGGUACCGUGCUGGUCCUAGGCUAGACUGUACUAGAGACGCGAGCCUAGAACACCAAUAAAAUCAUGACGCUACACGUAAUCAAGGGAAGAGCCACUCUGUUUUUUUUUCGUCUUUUUGUGCUCUUUUUUCUCUCUAGAAAAUCACUAUAAUGGCGAGUAUCUCAAAACUCUUCCAAUUUUUUUGACUAUUCGUUUCCGGGAGCGAUUCGGGGCUGCAACGACCAAAAAUUGCAACAAAAAAUCGCUAUGAUGGCGAGUGUCUCAAAACACUCUGGAAAGCCUAAGACAGUAUAGGGAAAAAAUAUUUUCAUCCGUUGAAAUUUUAGCCUAAAAACUUGUAGUGCCCCAAGUGUAAAGUUUUCCCUUUUCGCAACCUUCCAUGUGGGACCACCUUGACAUUGAUAUGAGAGAGUCCCUUUGCCUGUAUGAUUUCAUGUGUCUCUUAUUUUUUGUCUCCCUUGCAUGCAUGCAUACCAUAAUGUUUCAUGCCAUGUGUUCUUGUUGUGAUUGCUUGUGAUCUUGCUAGGUGUGAUUUUGUGAAUUCAUGUGUUGAGGCACUUGUGAUGAUGUGGUGUGAAGUAGUGAAGUGUGGUGCUUGGCAUUAUUUUCAAACCCCCUUGUUUAGUUUCAAACCUUUUUUCUCUUUUUCUCCCAAGUUCAAAUCCUAUUUGCUCCUAUGUUGUGUUAAAAAUGUUACACCUUUAGAGCAUUUUAGUUGGAGUGUGGGCAUGUAGGAGAGGGGUUUUUAAAACCUAUUUUGUUUGGGGUUUUCCUUUAUUUCAGAUUAUUUAAAUCUGAUUGGCAAUUAUUUUUAGUUGCCCAAAUAGCCAUUUUGGUAUGUUAUUUAUUUGGGGUAUAAUUCCCUUAUGCCCAGGGAUAUUUUAUCUCUAUUUUUUUAUGCCUUAGUUUUUCCUAGAAAUAUUAGUUUCUGUCAUGUUGUUUGUAUAUUAGAGAGGGCCAGGUUUCCCUCUUUCUCUCAAACCUUCGCAGCAGCAGCCCAACUCCUCCCAGGCCCAAUAACCCUUCGCAGCACAGCAGCCCAGCGCCGUUCCUCUCCUACCUCCCGUCGACGUCACCUUGUACGACCAUGGCUCGACCUCCCGAUCGCCUCCCCCCAAUCCAGCGGCUCAUGCGCGUCCCCCGAGGUGUUUUAAGCUGCAGGAACCCUCCUCCGUACCUAGGGUUCCCUCUCCUUCCUCCAGUGCGCCGCCAUCUUCCUCCUUCUCUCUAACCCCCCCUCCUGGUAAGGUCUGUAGCUAGGACAGAGAAGGAGCUUGUCGCCGAUCGCCGCCCCCAUCGUCGUCCAGCACCGGCGGCCAUGUCUGGGGGCUCGGGGAAGGCGCCCGCGCUCCAUUCCCGCCAUCGUUGAGGUCGAGGGGCGACCACAACGACGGGCAGAAGCUCGUCACCGGCGUGUUCCCGGCGAACUCCCUCCCUGCUUCGGUUCUGCACACACGUCGACAUCUUCGUCAGAUCUUCCCCGGUUCUUCUUCAGGCUGCCUCUUCGAUCGAUCCUCUCCCUCCUUCCCCUUGGUGAGCCUAGAUCCCCCUUAGUUUUCCCCGCGGUAGUGUGCAGAAGAGCUCGUGGCCGAGCCUCUCAGAUCGGCAGGACCGUGGCUGUGUAGAGUUGUGUUGUGCUCGGCUCGACGUGCAGAGGGAGUCAGCUUCCCAAGCGGCUGUAGAUGUGGUGCACGUGUCCCGUAGAGCAGCAGUAGCCGAUUAGAGGUGCUCCGGCGAAGUCACUGUCCUCGGAUCACCGUGUAGAGCAGGGCAGGACAUCGCGGUAGAUGUGUGUGCGUGCAUGCAGCUUGAGUGUUGCUCGUGUAGAGCAGAGUUGGCGCGGGCGAGCAACGCGCAGCAGUGCUGUAGUUGGCAUAGAGGUACCCCUCGUGGUGCAGCAGCAGUGCAGAGAAGCCACGGCGGCCUUCCUGUCGCCGGUGCAUCUCGGUGCAGAGCAUAGUACGCGGAAGAGGCAGAAUACUUUGCAAACUACCUUUAUCUGUCAAGCUUCCAUAACGUAGCGCAGUGGUGUGUGCCUGUGUUUGAAACCGGGAGAUGCAGGGAUCGAAUCCCCCUGGCGCAACCCCCCUUUUUUUAGUUUCCUUUCGGCAGCAGUAGCAUUUGCAUCAGCGGGGCAGUUUUACCUGCUUAGUUAUCUUACCCUGUCGAGCUAGCGCAUGGUAGCAGGGUGGUUUGCUCCACAGGGCAGUACCAGGGGCACCUGGGAUCGAAUCCCAGGCCUGCCCAUUUUUUCCCCUUUCCUUGCUCCUUUUAUUUUCUUUCCCUUGCUGUUGAUUUUUAUGCAACCCCAUGCUCUUUGUAGACCUGUAGUUUUUCUACACAUGUAGGUUGGGAAUUACCCCCUCUCAUAAUCUGCUUGGAAGUUUGUGUGCUGCUAGUUAUGAUCCAUGUUGAUGCAUUGUGAGUGAAGGAGAUGUAUUUAGUAGAUGAGGUUGUGCUGGUCAUUGUGUUGUGAUCUAGCCUUAGUUCAGUGCUAGGAAUUUGGACCUGAUAUGUUUGUGAAGCUCCCUGUCAAAUUUCAUCUCAUUUGGAGUCCUGUAGGUUCUGUUUGGGUUGCUGUCAAAAAGCUUCAGAACUAAGACAAAAAGUCAGGUGCAGUAAUUUUCACUAAGUCCCUGAGAUCUGAUGGUUUUGGGAAAGUUUGUGGCCUUGUAUCUUCUUGUGUUUAAUUCCUUUUGGUGUGACUCUUGCUGGUUCUUGUAGUGUUCUUGGUUGGAUACAGCCACAUAUAUAAUUUUUCAUAUUUGGAGGGUUGUAGCUAUGUUGCAUGUAGCUCACAAAGAGCUAAGAUGCAGAUUAUGGCAGAUUGUGUAGUAUAGUCAUUUUGAUGAUUGUGGGUGAUUACUUGAUGUUGUGGUGUUCUUCCUUGCUCCAAUCCAUUCAUGAUGGGUUGUUAUAUGUCUUGGCAACCUGGGAAUACCAGAUUGUGCCAUUGGAGUGUGUGGUGUUGUUUUUGACACGUAGGGCUUCAUAUCUUGUUUCGUUGAUUCCCGUUGAUCCGUAGCUCCGAAUGUUAUGUUCUUUAUAUGGUUUUGCAUCGUUUUCAUGAGACGCAUCUGUUCAUGCCAUUAUCAUGCAUGUCAAAAUAGCCUAGUAUACAUCUCUGUCCAGAAACUUGUAGUGGUUUCUUUUGCUUGUGCUAGUGAUAGAAAUAGUGAUGCAUGCUCAUUUUUCAUCUCAUGCAUCUUGUGCUUGUUGCAUCUUGUGGUGCUGCUGUUCAUUGGUUGUUAUUCUUAUGUUGGGUAGCACCGGGAUCGGAGAACGAAUACGUGGAGUCAGGAGAGUACGUGCAGGACGAACCAGAACCAUUCCAAGCUGAGGAUAUCACAGGCAAGAUGAUAUGACCUUGAUUCCAUCUCUAGACUUGUUAUGCUAGUUUGCGUUUCCAUGUCAUAUUGCUCGCUGCCUACCACUGAAUUAGAUUGCCUCUUGAUAUGCCAUGAACCCAAACACUGAUCCCUUCCUAGCAAAACUUGUAUGGCUAAGUAGGCUUUGCUCAGCUACUAAUGUUAGCGUUGCUAGAUGCAUGUGCUUUGACUCAUGUGACAAGAGCUUGAUAUCAUUAUCUUAAAUUCUGUUAUUUAAUUAAUGCACUCAUAUACUUGGUAAAUGACGGAAGGCCUAGCCUUUUGCCAGGUGCUUUGUUCUGUUAUUGUCGCCUUAGUUACCGGUUACCGGUGUUUGAUUCCAUAUUGAUCGCUCCUAACACGUUCGGGGUUGUUAUGGGAACCCCCUUGAUAAAUCGCAUAGUGUUAAGGCUUGUCCGGCAGGACCCAACAUUGGUGUUAAUUUGCUAAUCACUUAAUAAACUGCAUAGGGAAUGAUCAACCCGAGGAUCUUCAAUCAACAACCCGGGCCAGUGCUCCUCAUGAGUGUUGGUCCAAACUGGUCUGCCUCCGGGGCCACCUCAAGGAAACUUGAGGUUUGGUACCUCUAGCUAGUUCCAUCCAGCGUGUCCUGAGACUGAGAUACGCGGCUCUUAUCGGGGUCGUCAACACGUCGGGAGGUCCUGCUAGUCUUGCCUUACCUUAGCGAUAUAUCUUGCGUAUAGGAAUCCCAAUGAAGCUUUGGUUUCCCCCAGAGUUGAGGUUUUUCCUCUAAGGAAUCCGACGAGAUCACGAGAUUCAUGAUAGAGGAUUACUUUGCGGCCUGUGUACGUUUAUGAUGGACUAGUUGGAGCACCCCUGCAGGGUUUAAUCUUUCGGAAAGCCGUGCCCGCGGUUAUGUGGCAACUUGGAAUAUUUUGUUAACAUCCGGUAUUAGAGAACUUAAACAUAAGCUAAUAAAAUUGCCAACUGUGUGCGUAACCGUGACUGUCCCCCUCGAAGAUCUCUCUUCGAUCGGGAACACGGUGGGGUUAUGAAUGUCAUAGGUCGGUGUUCAGGAUCACUUAGUGAUCAAGUAAUCAUGACCGCUAGUGUAGAGCACCUUCAUAAUUGCCUUACGUAAGUUAGCCACUAAAUCAAGCUUAGGAUGUUGCAGCCUUAUACACCUCACCUUACCCUACCUAAUAACAUGACUAGUUCUUGCACCAAGGUCUUAGAUUGCUGAGUCCCCGUGACUCACGAAUUCCUCCAAAACUCCCAACAGGCACAGGUACCCCAGAGAGAGAUGAUCCCGACGGCACUCAGCUGGCGUGGCAGUACGACGAGGAGACAGACCGCCUCUACGUGAACUAUCCAGGGGAUUGAGGCAUGGUCGUGAUCGUGGGCCUGCAUGCAGGGUAGCAUACCAUUUCCAUGUUUUGUAGUCCAUAGCGGAACUACCUUGAUUGUAUAUGUGAUGUACUCUGAGUUAUUAAUGAGAAGACAGUUGAAUCCCGCAUUGUCUACUUUUCUUAUUAUUUGUGCUAUGUUACUUGCUUGCGAAACGCUUAGAUGCGCUUCUUUCCUAUUUGGGGCCUCGACCCCGAGAUCGGAAAGGACCGCAUCUUGGUCGUUACAAGUUGGUAUCAGAGCCUUACGACCAUAGGAGCCUUUGUGUGAUCGUACUUGGCCGAGUCGAGUCUAGAAAAUGUUUUGAGUCUUAGUUAUAUCGGAGAGUAGGAUUCUUUUUUCUCUUCUUCUAUGCUCUGGUGAGGUUCCCGUCUUAGGAAAUCUUUAACUCUACUCCUUUUCUCGCUCAAAUUGUUUUUAGGAUCACGCGGGUAUUUGUGAAAUCUAUAUGAUUUCGAUGUGAUGGAAUUCUGUCCUGGUGCCUCCUAUCUGCUCUAAGUAUCAGGGGGGUUGAGUUCCGGGGGAUUCUUGCGCACAUCGCCAUCAUUCAGAUUUCUGAGUAUCUAAGAACGGAGGGUGAUCGUUAUUGCUUCAAUACUGGUAGUGGUGAGAUAACCCCGAUGUCCCCAGUACUGGUGUAGAUUGUUCGGGGGUACUACCACACUUGGUAUCGCUGUGAUCACGAGGAUCUGUUGUAGAUGAAGGUCCGAGAUGCUGGUUGUGUGUUGAAGGAUGUGAUACAGGUGACGGGUUAGUUUAGGAGUUGUGUGAAAUACUCCUUGUAUCCGUGUACCUGAUUGCAUGACCAGUUAUUUCGGGAAUUCAUAGGUGGGAUAUCUAGUAGUAUCUUAUAGGACUAUCUUCCUACAGACGCUUGAUUGAGGUUUGGGAAAUCUCGGUCAUAUGUUUGUUCCGAGCAGUUCUAGCUCACACUUGUUUGCAGUGGUCCUUAUCGGAAUUUUGUCGUCUGUUACUUUGAGGAUGCACUCUUGCUAUGUUGUUCGAGUGCAAUGCUAAAUUCUGUUCAGAUAUUCCUGUCUUUUGAUUCAGCAAUAUCUUCAAUUAUUCUGUGGACUAAUAUGAUGUCCGUCUUCAGGAUGGCUCCACCGACUCGUCAGACCCCAGCGCGUGAGGAUAUGCCACCUCCUCCUCCUCCUCCGCCGCCGCCUCCUCCUCCUGCAGAGGCCUGGCAGGCGAUGAUGGCAGCUACUAAUGCAAACACUCAGAUGUUGUUGCAGUUGAUCCAGGAGAGAGCCAAUCAUCAGCAGGGCAAUUUCCAGCAGGGUGGCAAUCACUUCGCCAAUCUGAGUCAGUUCCUGUCAAACCAGCCUAAGACGUUCACUUCUUGCGACCAGCCAUUUGAUGCAGAAGAUUGGAUCCGUGAUAUGAACAAACACUUCGAGUGUAGCAAUGUGCGUCCGGAGGACUAUGUCAAGUUUGCAACGUUUCAGUUGAAGGGACAUGCUUCUAUAUGAUGUCUUGGGACGAGUUUUGUCAUGACUUCAGAUCCCACUACAUCCCUUCCAGUUUUGUGGAGGAAAUGCGUGAGAAGUUCAGGCGUUUGAAGCAGGGCAGCAAUUCUGUGUACAAGUACAAUUUCGAGUUCCAUGAGCUUGCCCGUUAUGCGCUGCAGGAUGUCCCGGAUCAGAAGAGCAAGAUCUACCAGUUCAGGGGUGGCUUGAAGGAAGACUUGUAGUUAGCUCUUGCAUUGCACGAUCCUGAGGAGUUUGACAAGUUCUACAACCUAGCUCUCAGAGCAGAGGCAGCCUUGCUCAGGGUGGAAAACUCCAAGAAGCGCUUCAGAGAUUCCAGCUCUUCCUCGACUCAGGUGGUUCAGAAGCAACAGAGGUUUUGGGUUUCUCCUCCUCCUCCUCGGCACUCACAGCAUCUUAAGAACUCAGGUGGUCUUGGUUCUUCCCACCCACCCAACCCUGGCUUUCAACAGAGAUACCAACAUCAGAAGCAAGGGCCUCCUCAGACUCAGUUUCGGCAGCCAGCAGAUGUCACUUGUCACAACUGUGGGCAAAAGGGUCACUAUGCCAACAAAUGUACUUCUCAGCUCCGACUACCGCCUCCUCCUCCAGGCAAACCUCCAAGCAACGCUCUUGUCAAAUUCAACCCCACUCAGCUCUAGUCAACAUGGUGAAGCAGACAACUCCUCUGAUGUGAUCAUGGGUAACCUCCUCGUCAAUGAUAUCCCUGCUAAAGUGUUAUUUGAUUCUGGUGCUUUGCAUUCCUUCAUGUCAUACCCCUUUGCAUUUGGUAAUAAUAUUGCGACCGAGUUCCUUCCCAAGUAAUUGCAAGUUGUGUCUCCGGGUAUGCGGAUGAGCUCUCAGUUGUUCGUCCUAGAUGUUUCUGUCAAGAUGGGCGCUUAUGCUUUUCUGGAAUCUCCUAUUGUCUUGGGCAAUUCCGACAUUGAUUUGAUCCUUGGUAUGGACUGGUUGGCCAUGAACAAGGCGUCAAUUGAUUUUGAAGCCAAAGAAGUGAAGCUUACCCACUCUUCGGAGGAUGUGAUUAUAUUCGCGGCGCGCGAUGAUACAAUCCGUCUGUUCUCCUUGAAUGAAAAGGGUGAGAUCAAUCCUAUUGAGCAAGUUCCAGUGGUCUGCGAAUAUCAAGAUGUGUCUCCUGAAGAGCUGCCAGGCAUGCCUCCGCACCGUGAAGUUGAGUUUGUCAUUGAGCUUGAGCCAGACACAGAGCCAGUGUGCAAACGGCCGUACGUAAGUUAGCCACUAAAUCAAGCUUAGUGAUCAAGUAAUCACGACCGUUAGUGUAGACCACCUUCAUAAUUGCCUUACGUAAGUUAGCCACUAAAUCAAGCUUAGUGAUCAAGUAAUCACGACCGUUAGUGUAGACCACCUUCAUAAUUGCCUUACGUAAGUUAGCCACUAAAUCAAGCUUAGGAUGAUGCAGCCUUAUACACCUCACCUUACCCCACCUAAUAACAUGACUAGUUCUGGCACCAAGGUCUUAGAUUGCUGAGUCCCCGUGACUCACGGAUUCCUCCGAAACUCCCAACAGGCACAGGUACCCCAGAGAGAGAUGAUCCCGACGGCACUCAGCUGGCGUGGCAGUACGACGAGGAGACACACCGCUUCUACGUGAACUAUCCAGGGGAUUGAGGCGUGGUCGUGAUCGUGGGCCUGCAUGCAGGGUAGCAUAGCAUUUCCAUGUUUUGUAGUCCGUAGAGGAACUACCUUGAUUGUAUCUGUGAUGUACUCUGAGUUAUUAAUGAGAAGACAGUUGAAUCCCGAAUUGUCUACUUUUAUUAUUAUUUGUGCUAUGUUACUUGCUUGCGAAACGCUUAAAUGCGCUUCUUUCCUAUUUGGGGCCUCGACCCCGAGAUCGGAAAGGACCGCAUCUUGGUCGUUACAAAACUACUAUGAAAACUAUGCCAGACUAAGGCAAGGAAACGCAAAACCGAAAACAAAGGAAUCUCAAAAAUAAAGCUAAUACGUGAAGGACUCGCAUUGGUGGCGGAUAUGUGGACUCGGAUUGGUGNNNNNNNNNNNNNNNNNNNNNNNNNNNNNNNNNNNNNNNNNNNNNNNNNNNNNNNNNNNNNNNNNNNNNNNNNNNNNNNNNNNNNNNNNNNNNNNNNNNNAUUCUUCACCCCUCUAUUUUCCCAUCAAAGCACCGUAUUUUUAUGGAUGUUAUUUUUUUCUUACUUCAUACCUAAAAGGAGAACGUAAGAAAAUAUUAAAAUCAUCAUAAAAAAUAUUUUAUGCUACGUAAAGUUAUAAACGUAAAAACAUAGUUUAAAAUAUACACAAAAUGUAUAUAUAUGUGUUUGUGUGUGUGUGUAUUAUGGAGAUUUUCUACAGUAGCACAUACAAUGCCCGGGGGCUCGGCUCGAGGAGCCAAACAUGACGGCCUUGACAUAGAACUUGAGACAUUCUAGCAAUAUUAUGAGCAUCUAUGUUGUACACCCUCGUUUUAUGUUUAAAGGAAACAUUUCGUAGUACCUCCAGCUUGCGCGUGACUUCUGUUAGCCCCCUCCUCUCCUGUGCUUCCUUCAUAGAUACUCCCUCCAUCGAGGUGCGUUGGGCACGUAAGAGAAUUUUGGAAUUCAAAAAUUAUAAGUCGCGUAAGUUAUUAUAGAUGCAUUAAUCUUCGGAAUUAGCUCUUCCUGGAAAAACGUUGGACCAAUGCAUGCAAUCCUCCUCCUCUUAAACUUAAUCCCAAUUAAUUGGAUAACAAUAUAUCAAGCAUGAGGAUUGGUUGCAUAUUAUAAAUUUACAUGCAUGGGUUAGCCAAACCGUGCCAGCUAUUAUUGUUCUAUUUAUUGCAGCAUUUUGGAAAAGGAGAUUUGGAUGGUGAUUGGCUUCCUUUAUGAUUCAAAUUAUUUGGCUAGCCCAAUCUCCUUGUGCCUAGAUUGCAGUGCUCCUCCUUAGUGCCCAAUACACCUGGAC
RNAcentral lists this long non-coding RNA (136319 nucleotides) under Hordeum vulgare. Its description in RNAcentral is "long non-coding RNA (HVUL_LNC013182)". The record is from RNAcentral. Lineage: Eukaryota; Viridiplantae; Streptophyta; Magnoliopsida; Poales; Poaceae.